GAACAUUGCUGGGUUUUAAAUCACAAUGGGCCACAGGAAUUGUCUGACCAUGAUGGAGGUAUUCUAAUGCAGCUGCCACAUCAAUCAUAAUGUUCAACCUAUGCAACAUAUCAAGAAAAUAGUUAUGAGAAUACAACCACUUCUCGAGGCUUCCAUUGGGCAUGAACUCAAGCACCAAGGCUUUAAAGUCAACAUUGCAGCAACUACUAAUGAUUUUGACUAAAUUUCGGUGGCGAAUGUUGCGCAAGACCUCACACUCAACGUCAAAGCUCUUGAAUGAUCCUUCUACCUCCAAAUUAAAGACUUUUAUGGCAAUGUUCAAUCCAUCUGAAAGAGCACCUUGGUAUACCGAGCCAAAACUCCCCACACCAAGUAGUUUGCUUUCACAAAAACCAUUUGUCGCUUGAUAAAGCUCUUGGUAUGAAAUUCUUCUCCAUUUUGCUAAACCAAUCGAAUUUUCUAGAUCAUUUUUUUGCUUUGAAUGCUUUCUUCGGCUUUGGAAGAAAAAGACUAUUAAGGCUAGAAUUAAUAGCGUUGCGCUAAUUGGCAAUAGGAUACAUUCCAUAAGCUUAGUAGCUUUCCUUGAAUGUUUAGCAGAAUUAUGUGUGCAUGGUGGGAGUUGCAGUUGAGGUGCACCACAUAGCGCUUCAUUCCCCAUAAAUGAUUGAAUCGAGCAAUUGGCAAAGGGUCCUUCGUUAGGAAUUUCUCCAUGCAGUCUAUUGAAUGAGACAUUCAAAUACUCAAGGUGCAAGAGUUUUUGCAAGGACUUUGGAAUAAUUCCAGAGAAAUUAUUCCUUGAUAGAUCCAAGAAUUGCAAUUCUAUCAACCCACCAAAUAACUCAGGUAUAGAUCCGUACAAUCUGUUACCGGAUAAGGAAAGAUAAGUUAGGUCUUUAAGAUCUCUAAUGCUGCUCGGAAUUUCACUUGAUAAUUGAUUUUCGGAAAAAUCAAUAAUUGUAACAACCUUCCACUUUCCAAAGUCAAUUGGGAGAGCCCCGCCAAGAAAAUUGGAAGACAAAUUUAGUUGCAAGAUAUCUAUAAGCCUUGUGAAGGUUGAGGGUAUUGAGUUUGCAAACUUAUUGGAGUCCAAAUAUAGAUGCCUAAGAGAAACGAGAUCACCCAAGCAUUCUGGUAUUGGUCCAGCCAAUUUGUUACCUGUGAGAUGCAAGAAACCCAAACUCUUCUGACAGCAUAACUCAGAUGGAAUGGAUCCUUCUAAGUUAUUGUCUUCAAGAAAGAAACCUUGCAACUUUUCUAAUCUUCCAAUUGUGGUGGGAAUAGGUCCAAUCAGUUCAUUGUUAGCUAUGUUCAACCUGAUCAAGUUGAUUAGUUUGCCAAUCUCUACAGGAAUAUUGCCUCCAAUGUUGCAGUCCGAGGCAUCGAAUGUUUGUAGAGAAAUAGAGAGAUUUCCUAUAGAGAUAGGAAGUUCACCAUGAAUCAAUGGAUUAUUACUAAAUGCCAAGACUCUCAAGUCUUUGCAAUAUGCUAAAGAUGUGAGAAAGCUCAAUUUUGGGGAUGAAGGUGUGCGAGCCAAAUUAUUAAACUGUAGGUUGAGAAAUUGUAGAUCUCUUAGAUUUCCGAGGUCAUCGGGAAUAUAUCCAGAAAAUGAAUUAGCUGACAAGUCAAGCUCUAUUAGCUUAGAUGCAUUAGAGAUGGAGGUAGAGAUUGUUCCAUUUAUCUCAUUGGAACCAAGUAGAAGCUGUUCAAGUUUUGGAAGCCAAAGUCCUGUGCUCCAUGGAAGACAACCUGAGAGAUGGUUUACAUCAAGUGCAAUGGUCCUCAUAGUUGAGCUAUUAAAGAUUCGAGGAGGGAUAUGUCCAGAGAUAUUGUUAGAUUCCAAAUUCAACCUUUCCAAUUUUGGUAUGUUGCCUAUCUCAAGUGGUAUUUUACCUGCCACAAGGAGUCAUUUGGAUUUGUUCUGGUGAUCCAGAAGUAAAUAACAAAAUUUAUCAUAAAAGUUGUACGCACAUUUGUAUUUUUAUAUUUUAUAUUAUAAAUAUAUAUAACAAAGAGUGAAACAAGUAAAUUACUUCCAAAAGUGUUAAGUUACUAAUCUAUUGUGGAAUUCAACCUGCAUAAUGAAAUUGUUCCAUUAAUUAUUUUCAAAUUUAGCAGAAAAUUAUAUGGUCAAUUUGUUUGUCAAACGGAACAAUCAAAAUUAUAAAACAAAGUUUAGAAUUUAGAUAAUACAAGGUAAUAUAAUCUUACAGGCUAAUUUAUUAUUUUUCUUUCAAUUUAUAUAAUAUAAUGAAAACAUAUUAGAAAAGUUGAAAAAAAAACAGAACAUAGAUAAGUAGAUAGUAUAUUUCAAUUUAUAUAAUAUAAUGAAAACAUAUUACUAUAUUUGCAUUUUGAGAAACAAUUUGUUAUAAUUAUUGGUUGAUGCAAUAUAAUCAUAGGCAAAUUUGCUAAAUUUAAGGGUAUUUUCAUCUUAGUUUGUCCAUUUGUGUGUCCAAGAGAAAAAGGAGGCAUGGGACUGUGGAAGAAAGGGAGGGACGACGGAUAGGGCGGAGGAAUGGGGGAAGGGGGGUUGACAAGUCAGCGAAAGAAAGGCAGGAGCCGAGGAGAGAGAGAGAGGAGGAGUCAUACCAGUUUAGACAAGUUUAUUUAAAUAAUGUAUGAGUAGUGGAAAACCAGUCUUGACGAACAUCAAUCUUAUACUUUACAUCUAAAAGAAGAAGGAUAAAAUUUAAAUAAACUAAAAUGUAAUCAUAGUGAAUUUAAUAGAAGAAGUAAAAGACUUACGAGAUUGCAAAAUGUGUCAUUAUUAAAAGAAAAAACCAAUAAAAAAAAUGGAUUAGAAAUAUGUUAAAAAUGCGUCACAAUAAUAUUUAUUUGGAUUUGUUAAUAACAAAAUAACAAAAUUAAUGAUAAAACUUUUACACACAUUUCUAUUUUUAUAUUUUAUACUAUAGAUAUAUAUAUAACAAAGAGUCAAACAAUUAGUAUUUGUAAAUAAUAUUAUUCAAAUAUUUACAACAGUUGCAGCUAUGUAGAAACUAAACAUACAUGAGAGAAAAUAUAACUUAUUACCUGUCAAUUUAUUAGCGGGAAUAUCAAUCUCUAUCAGAAGUGUUAGGUUACCAAGCUGUUGUGGAAUUUCACCUGCAUAAUGAAAUUGAGCCCUUAAUUAUUUUCGAAUUGAACAACCACUUGUUUGUCAAAUGGAUCAAAAUUAUCAAAGAAAGUUUAGAACUUAGAUAAUACAAAGCAAUAUAAUCUUGCACAUUGCAGUUAAUUUAUUAUCUUUCUUUUCAAUUUAUAUAAAAGAAAAAGGAUAAAAUAUACAUAAACUUAAAAGUGAUCACAAUGAAUUUAAUAGAAGAAGUAAUAAAGAAUUGAAAGAAUUACUAGAUUGCAAAAAUGUGAUUGCGUUAAAAAAACCAACCCAAUAACAAAAGAAACUAAAAUAUUGUAGGCCCAAAAAGAGAAAAAAAGAAAAAGGCUUUUGUUAUUGUGAGAAAGAAAGGGUUAGAAAUAUGUUAAAAAUGCAUCCCAAUAUUUAUUUUUCUUUUACCUUUGAGGUUGUUCUCUGCAAGAUAUAGAAAUUUGAGCAUAGUCAAAUUUCCUAUUUCUUUCGGUAUAAUUCCCUCGAAAUGAUUAUAAGAUAAGGAUAAAUCUUUUAACUCUUGACACUUGAAUAAACUCAUUGGGAUUGGACCAGCAAGGUGGUUAAAACUCAAGUCCAGCCCUUGUAAUCUAGGUAAACGAUCAAACAUAUCUGAUGAGAUAUCACCAGUGAGGUUAUUAAAUGUAAAAUCAACCACUUCCAAGGAAGACAUGUUGAGUCGAAUGGAAGGUAUGGAACCAAUGAGCUGGUUGUUUCUGAGAAAAAUCUUUAGCAAUGAAGAUAUGCUGAAGACCGAAGAAGGUAUAAAACCUGAAAUCUGAUUAUUAUGUAAAUAUAAAAAUCUCAACCUAGAAAGAUUUCCGAUCUCCAGGGGGAUAUGUCCUUGCAGAUUGUUGUUAUACAAGCUCAAUAACUCUAGUUUUGACAAAGAGCACAAAGAAGAUGGGAUAACUCCCACGAAGUUAUUACCGCCCAAACUCAAGUUUUGAAGUUUAGAAAAGGAACCAAACCAAGAUGGGAUUUCUCCGUUGAAAUUGUUGUUACUCAAUAGUAGAGAUUUCAGCCGGCGCAAAUUAGCCAACUCGAUGGGCAAUGAACCAUGAAAACUGUUGUUUCCAGUGUCAAGGAAAGCAACGAAAGACAGAUUUCCCAUGUCUGGUGGUAUGGUUCCAGAGAGAUUCAUGCCAAAUAGAUCCAAAGCAAUGACUCUGUGGUGUCGAGAUCCGCAAGUGACACCAACCCAAUUGCAAAUAGAGGUAGCAGUUGACCAGUUCGUAGCCAGAAGAUCAUUGUUGACGCGGGUUUUUAGUGCAAGAAGAGCCAACUGGUCUGUGCUGAUGUUGGUUGUUGAUUUCAUAGCGAAUGAAACCCCAAAAUUAGGCAGCAACACCACCACCAUAAGAGCCAGAAUGAGCCAAGUGUUUCCCAUGAAGUUAAGUAGAAGUGGAACUUGUGAAUUAUAUGUGGGAAAGAUGAUGUUUCUUUUUCAAUAUAUAUAGAAAAUGUCAAAACUGUGAUUGGACUUAUAUCUUUUUUUUAAAAAGCAAUUUUAUUAGCCGCAUUAACCAUAUUGCCAUUCCAAGUCUCCUCCAAUUAGGAGACUUUCCAUGAUAUCAAGACAUGGUUAGGACAAACAAAUGUACAAUUACAAAAACUACCCCGCUCCUGCCGCUACCAGCUGUAAAAAACAUGAAGCUCAUCAAUCCUAUCAAGACCAAAAUCCAUCGACUCACUACCUCAAAAGCAAAAAGAGAGGCAUAAUCAGGUUCACUAAGCUAGAAAGUCCCUUUUGCACCCAAAAAAGAACAUAACACAGGAGGCCAUUCGACAAACCGUGGGAACCACCCCCAACAGAUCAUGCACACCGUCAAAGGCCAAAAAACAAAAACCAUAAUUCAACCAGCACGGUCGCGUCAAGCAAAUACGGGAGCAGGAAACCCCGUCUCAACAGCUCCAACCCACAGACCAGACAACAAGCACGGGCAGAAACAGAACCUUGUAACCAGGACACCUCAACUUCCAGCCUAAAGAAUAUCUAUUUCUUAUUCAUUUUCGUUGACAUAUCUAAAGGCCAAAAAAAGGUAUUUUUAUUUAUAAAAUUUAUUACAAUAUAAAUUUAAUUUUUUUAUGCAUACGGUACACUAUUACAUAAGCAAAAGUAACUCUCUUCUUCUUCAUAAAUCUCAUCUUACCCUCAAACCACAAUUGAAACUUGGGAUUUCAAGUUAAAAUUGUAUAUUUUAAUAACCGAGGUAUCGGUUCAAAUAGCAAGUAGGAAAUUCUUUCUUAGCUCUUUAACAGUAAUUCUGCCCUGCAUUUGUAGGAAAACAACAGAAUGAACUCUUUUACUAUCUUGUGAGUAUAAGAGCUUUCAGUAAGUAUUGGCCCCUUGGACUAAUAAGCACCAAAGACACCAGUUUAUUCGAUUAAAUGCCCAAAAAAAAAAGGUUAUCUUACAAGGCAAAGCCAAUCACAAGGUUUUUUUUUUAAUUUUUUUUCAAUCAGAGUAGGAAAUGACAGAAUCCUAAGUGAGUGUUUGACCUAGUUUAUAGAAGUGAUUUUCUACUGCAUAAGCUGAAACAAUAUGUUUGGUUGUCAAAAUUUUAGAAUUUCGAGUUAAUGUGUGAAGUUCAUUUGGUGUUUUAGAUGAAAUUAUUAAUCAAAAUUUUUUUAAUAGUUUUGAUCAAUCGAAUCAAAACUGCUUCAAAAAUAUUCACGUAUAGUAACAACUAUUUAAUGAAAUUUUUUAUAUUUUUACUUUAUUCUUGAAUAAUUCAUAAAAUUAAGAUAUUAGGAAACAAAUGCUCAAGUGUAAAUUUCCUCAAAAUUUCUAAAAGAAUAUACACGUAGAUAAUAAAUAAGUCAAAAUGGUACUUAUGAAAUAAAACAUAACAUAUUUUUAUUAUUAAUGAUUAUGUCUCUCAAAAGAAAGACACAAAAUUGAAAAAUUAUUCACACUUUGAGGAGCACUAAUGGUGUAGCUGAUCAGUUGGUUAAAGAUGGCUUAUAAAGGGAAAACGAUUUGUUAAACAUCAUUUUGUAAGCUUGAUGUUUAUUUGAGUUAUGAUUGUGGUUUUUUAAUGGUUUACUAUAACUGAGUUCCCACAUUUAUUUUCUCAUAUAAACAAAUAUCUAUUUUCUCUCAUGUCUCACAUCUUAUUAAUUCUUAACUAUUUAUAUUGUAUCUCAUUAAAAAUAUAUAAAAGUCAAGAUGAUUAAUAAAAUGACAUAUUUUCUUACUUCCCUAAUAUUAUGCACCUAAUAAAUCUCUAUUUUUUAUCACUUUCCAAUUUCCACAAUAUUAUUAAUUCUCAAUUAUUUCUCCUAUUUCCAAUCAACGUAAUAAAUAAUUCAUAAAAUGACAUAUUUUCUCACUUCCCUAAUAUUAUGUACCUAAUAAAUCUAUAUUUUUAUCACUUCUCAAUUCCCACAAUAUUAUUAAUUCUCAAUUAUUUCUUCUAUUUUCAAUCAACGUAAUAUGUAUUUAAUGAUCUCCAACUAAUGGUAAAAUUGUUUUCUUAAUUUCAAUGAAAUAAAAGACCUCAUUUGAAUAUUUAGACGCUUUAGGCUUUUUAGGUUUUUUUUCUUAAUUGAGGAAAGGGGGAUUCGAACCUUGCUUUCUAGGCAAGGGAUCAUGCACCAAGCAAUGAGCCAAAUACUCAGGUGCAUUUUUUAGGCUUUUAAGGUUAUUGAGCCACCCCUGGCAUUUCUAACAAUACUUUGCAACUAAUAUGUGACAAUCUUUCAGAUUGCAAAAUAUGUUUUAUGUUGUCCCCAUAUUAUGCUGUGGGUUCUAUUUUCAGUAUAUGCUUGACCACAGACAAUGACUUUUUAAGAAUUUAGUGGGUAGCUAGCUAAAGAGGAUGAUUGAUGAAUGGUGCAAAUAUGGUUGUUGACUUGGCUUCUAUGGUAGAGUAUUUUGCUUGGGUAUUAUUAUAAGUGAUGGUACAGUUGACUCCAUAUGUUUUUUAUGAUAACAAAAUAUUCUCAUUCAUUGAUGUCUAAUUACUUUAUUUAAGUGUGUGAACCCUUUAUAUAUUUGUUUUUUGGAAGCAAGUCAAGAAGCUUGCUUAAUUACAAGAUGAGUUAAUCAGUUAAAGAAGCAAAGAAGAAAAGGCUUAGUGAAGACAAAAUGUUGUUAACUGAUUAACGUGGAGCCUUAACCAAUUAAGGCAAAAGCUAGGAACUAUACAAAAGCAAGACAAUAAAACCUUAAUUAGUUACCACAAGGUUUAACUGAUUAAGAAGGUGCUAGAAGCUAAAAACAAAGGCAUGCUAAUCAGUUAAAGAAUUGGGAUAAUCAGUUAGAGCACAAGACUUAGUACCUUCAACGCCAAAAUUCAAAGUUGAAAGAAGAUUGACUAUAGAAGGGAGCCAAAAUGAAAAAGUUCAAAUUUCGAAGAUUUUCUAAUUGAUUAAAGCUGAUUUUAAUCUGUUAAGGUUGAAGGAAGUGAAGCCUCAACUAGUUAAGGGAAGAGCUAACCAAUUAAAGGAAGACUGUUGUGUAGAGGAAAAUGAAAACAGAAAGUUUGUAAUCAGUUAGAGUUUCCUCUAAUCGAUAAACACAAUGUACAUAACUACAAGACAGUGCAAGGCAGAGAAGCUAUAAUUUGUUAGAACUGCUUGUAACCAAUUAACGAAACACUGUCUGCCUAUUUGAAAAGAGCCGCUAGAAGAUAAAAUAACGGCUAUUAACGGCUAAAAAUUAUCUCUAACAGCCAGAAUCAAUCUUCUAAGUAUUUAAAGGCUCUCUAACAAUCAAAAAUUAUAUAGAGAAGCUACCAAGAGUGAUUUUGAACUUAAAACAUACAAAAACCUUCUUUUAACACUUGUAUUCCACUCAUAUCUUUGUGAAAGUGUUUGUGUUGAAGCUUUUACAACUUAAAUCAGUAAGGUGCUCAUUUGCACCUCCUUUUAUCUUCUAUUUCUUGUUUACUUAGAUUGUGAGAGAUACUCUAAGGGGUAGUCUAAGUUAGGAUAAGCUUAAGAUUUGUUGUAAAAGGGUUGAAGCUAGGGUUAGAAGCUAAUCUUGUAAAAGCUUGUUGGAAGCUAUUAAUUUCACUGGUUUUUUAAUGAAGUUUGGCUGAAAAUCUAUAAUUAGGAAUAUCAAGGUAGUGGAUGUAGGUCAGGUGGACCAAACCACUAUAAAUAUUGUGUUUUAUCCACUUCUCUUAUCUCUCUUUACUUAAUGUUUGCUAACUACAACAAGUUUUCAAACCAUUCAUCUUAAAUCUUCCAAAUGGAUUUUAAAUUUCAAAAAACUACCAUAAAAAAUAUUUUUAAAUACUAUUCACCCCUCUCUGACACUCCUUUUAGGACCAACAAGUACUGUUUGGGAAAAUGGAUGAUUAUUGAGGCUUUUGUGGUUUUUCAUCAUUGGUUUUUGGUGGUCGGUUACUUUGUUUCCAUUUCUUAUGACGAAAGUCUAAUGGUUAAUAUUCUGGUUCAUAGCAUGUUAAUUAAUGGCUUUGUUUUUGUAAUAGGAUUACCCCUGCUUCAUUUUAAUAAUAUUAAAUAAUUUUAAAAAAAUAAUUAUGUAUGAAUAAAUUAAAGCAACAAAUCCACUAUAAUUCCAAACCCAUAGAAUGGAAAACUGCCAACUAGUCAAGCAUAGCGAGAUCAAGUCUUUGAUAAAUGACUUGAUUUAGACUUUGUCGACCACUUCAUCCGAAAUUCCAGAAGUAAGUCUUCGUUAAUCACUUCAUCCAAAAUACUCAAAAACAAAGGCAAGUCUUCGUCCACCACUUCAUCCAAAAUUCUCAAAAAACCAAAAGCAAGUCUUCAGCAUCCACUUCAUUCAAAUUUCAGAAAACAAAAGAAAGUCUUUGUCAAUCAUAUCCCCAAAAAAAAAAUUUUAAAAAUGCCAAAUAGUAUAUUUCUAAUGCUUUGAUUCUGCAUCAGAUCAUAAAAUGGUCUUGACUUGGGUCUCCUUCCCACUAUAAUUCUUCUCACAAGUCUGUCAAAAUGAGUAAGUGCACCCGUCAAGCAUGACAUCAAAAGCCUCCUAUAAGGAUAUGUCUAAUUGGGGUCAAAUCUUUCUUAGUUAUUACUCUAAAAUGGAUAUAAGAUCUGCAUGUUUACAACAAGAAUUUCGAAUACUAAUUGGCAAGACGUGCCAGUUGACCCAGUUUGAUUCUAUUCUAGACUUGACUACUACUUGAUCCUAACAAACGUGUCGGAACUUGUGAAAGGAAAACUUUUGAAUUAUAUGUGGAAAUGACGAUGGUUUUCAAUAUAUAUAUAUUGAAAUUGUCAAAAUUGUGUUAGGAUCUAUUUCCACAUGCACCCUUCGACAGUGAAAGAAAAUUUACCACUUGGCAUAUUGGAGAGAAUUCUUAAAGAGCAAUUAAUGUUAUCAUUUCUUAUUCAUUUUUAUUGACAUAUCUAAAGGCCAAGAAAAAGUAUUUUUAUUUAUAAAAUUUAUUACAAUAUCAAUUUAAUUACAAAAUGAGUUAAUCAGUUAAAGAAGCGAAGAAGAAAAGGCUUAGUGAAAACAAAAUGUUGUUAACUGAUUAACGUGGAGCCUUAACCAAUUAAGACAAAGCUGGGAGCCAUACAAAAAGCAAGACAGCAAAACCUUAAUUAGUUAGCAUAAGGCUUAACUAGUUAAGAAGGUGCUGGAAGCUAAAAACAAAGGCAUGCUAAUUGGUUAAGGAAUUGGGAUAAUCAGUUAGAGCACAAGACCUUAGUACCUUCAAGCACCAAAAUCCAAAGUUGAAAAAAGGUUGACCAUUGAAGGGGGCCAAAAUGGAGAAGUUCAAAAUUCGAAGAUUUCUAAUUGAUUAAAGCUGAUUUUAAUCCGUUAAGGUUGAAGGAAGUGAAGACUUAACCAAUUAAGGGAAGGGCUAACCAAUUAAAGGAAGACUACUGUGUAGAGGAAAAUGAAAACAGAAAGUUUGUAGUUGGUUAGAGUUUCCUCUAAUCGAUUAACACAGUGUACAUAGCUACAAGACAAUGUAAGGUAAAAAAGUUGUCAUCAAUUAGAGUUGCCUGUAACCAGUUAACGGAACACUGUCUAUUUAUCUGAAAAGAGCCACUAGAAGACGGUUAGUAAUGGCUAGAAAUUAUCUCUAACAGCUAGAAUCAAUCUUCUAAGCAUUUAAAGGUUCUCUAACAGUCAAAAAUCAUAUAGAGAAGCUACCAAAAGUGAUUUUGAGCUUAAAACAUCUAAAAACCUUUUUUUAACACUUGUAUUCCGCUCCAAUUUUUAUGAAAGUGUUUCAGCUGAAGCUUGUACAACUUAAAUCAGUAAGGUGAUCAUUUGUACCUCCUUUAAUCUUCUAUUUCUUGUUUACUUUGGGUGUAUGAGAUACUCUAAGGGGUAGUCUAAGUUAGGGUAAGCUUAGGACUUAUUGUAAAAUGGUUGGAGCUUGGGUUAGAAGUUCACCUUGUAAAAGCUAGCUGGAAGUUGUUAAUUCUACUGGUUUUAGUGAAGUUGGAUUAAAAAUCCUUGAUUGGGAAGAUCAAGGCAGUGGAUGUAGAUCAGGUAGACCAAAUCACUAUAAAUAUUAUAUUUUGUCUACUUCUUUAAACCUCUCUUUACUUGGUGUUUGCUAAUUAUAACAAGUUUUCAAACCAUCCAUCUUAAAUCUUCCAAAUGGAUUUUAAAUUUCAAAAGCUACUCUCAAAAAUAUUUUUAAGUGUUAUUCACCCCUUUUCAACACUCCUUUUGGAACCAACAGGUACUAUUUGGGAAAAUGGAUAAUUAUUGAGGCAUUUGUGGCUUUUCAUCAUUGGUUUUUGGUGGUGGGUUAUUUCUUCCAUUUCUUAUGAUGAAAGUCUAAUGGUUAAUAUGCCGGUUCAUAGCAUAUUAAUUAUUGAUUUCAUUUAUGUAAUGUGUUUAACCCUGCUUCAUUUUAAUAAUAUUGAAUACUUUUAAAAAAAAAUCAUUAUGUAUGAAUAAAUUAAAGCAAGAAAUCCACUAUAAGUCCAAUUCCAUAGAAUGGAAAACGGCCAACUAGUCAAGCAUAGUGAGAUUAAGUCCUUGAGCAAUGACUUGAUUUAGACUUUGUCGACCACUUCAUCCUAAAUUCCAAAAGGAAGUCUUCGUUAACCACUUCAUCCAAAAUUCUCAAAAACAAAGGCAAGUCUUGGUCCACCACUUCAUCCAAAAUUCUCGAAAAACCAAAAGCAAGUCUUCAUCAUCCACUUCAUCCAAAUUCCAGAAAACAAAAGAAAGUCUUUGUCAAUAAGGGAAAAUAGGUAGUAGAUGUCAGAAUAAUUUUUUUACUUUUAAAAAAUUCCAAAUAGUAUAUUUCUAAUGCUUUGAUUCUGCAUCAGAUCAUAAAAUGGUCUUGACUUGGGUCUCCUUCCCACUAUAUUUCUUGACACAAGUUUGUCAAAAUGAGUAAGUGCACCCGUCAAGCAUGACAUCAAAAGCCUCCUUUAAGGAUAUGUCUGAUUGGGGUCAAAUCUUUCUUAGUUAUUACUCUAAAAUGCAUAUAAGAUCUCUAAGUUUGCAACAAGAAUUUCUAAUACUAAUUUGCAAGACGUGCCAGUUGUCCCAGUUUGAUUCUAAGACUUGACUACUACUUGACCGUAACAAACGUGUAGGAACUUGUGAAAGGAAAACUUUUGAAUUUUAUAUCGAAAGGAUGAUGUUUCUUUUUCUAUAUAUAUAUAUAUAUAUAUAGUAGUUUGUCAAAAUUGUGAUAGGACCUUUUUCCACAUGCACCCUUCCACAGUGAAAGAAAAUUUACCACUUGUUGGAGAGAAUUCUUAAAGAGCAAUGUUACCAUUCUUAUUCAUUUUUAUUGACAUAUCUAAAGGCCAAAAAAAAGUAUUUUUCUUUAUAAAAUUUAUUACAAUAUCAAUUUAAAUUUUUUAUACAUGUACUACACAAUUACAUAAGGAGAAGCAACUCCAAUUUAAAAUCAAAUAUUGUAUAAAGAUGGUUUGUAUAAAAGGUGGGUUUUUCUGAUCUGUUGUAAGCUUCCUCAUACGUGGCAACAUUACUGAUUUUAGGAUAUUAUGCAAUACAAAGGUAUAACAUCUUGAAAUCAGGAUUUUACAUAUUUCCUUCAUUAAUAAACCAUCUCCAUAAUUUUUUUUAAAAUGUUGGCAAAAAAACAAGAACAAGGAAUCCUAAGUGAGUGUUUGACAUAGUUUAUAAAAGUGAUUUUCUAUUGAAAAAGCAGAAACAAUAUGUUUAUUUGGUUGUCAAGAUUUUAAAAUUUUUGGUUUAAAUGGAAAGUUCAUUUGGUGUUUUAGACGAAAUUAUGAAUCAAAAAUGUUUUUCAUAUUUUUGGUCAAUUAAAUUAAUACUUCUUCAACGAUAUUAAUGUAUAGUAACAAAUAUUUAAUGAAAUUUUUUAUAAUUCUACCUUACUAUUCAAUAAUUCAUAAAAUUAAUAUAUCAGGAAACAAAUGCUCAAGUGUAAAUUUCAUUGAAAUUUCUUCAAAAAUAUACACGUAGGUCAUAAAUAUCUCAAAAUAGUAUUUAUGAAAUUAAACAUAGCAUUUUUUUUUAUGUAUGAUAUAAAUUAAAGCAGGAAAUCUAGUAUAAGUCCAAAACCAUAGAAUGGAAAACUGCCAACUAAUCAAGCAUCGUGAGCUCAAGUCUUUGUGAAAUGACUUAAUUUAGACUUGUCAAACACUUCAUACAAAAUUCCACAAAAACAAAAGCAAGUCUUGGUCAUCCACUUUAUCCAAAUUCUAGAAAACAAAAGAAAAUUUUUGUCAACCAUCUCCCCAACAAAUUUUUGUCAACCAUCUCCCCAACAAAAUUUACUUUAACUAAACGUUAUACACAUAUUUAACGUAAUUCUUCUGAAAAAAAAAAUUACAAGCUCUUUGAGUAGGUGUUUAUAUUUUUCUGUCUUCCUAGACAUACUCUUAGAUUCCUUUGUUUAAUAUAUUGAUUAAUAAUGGAUAUCAAGUUUAUGAUGACAAUAUUCCUUUUCAUGUAUAUGAAUAAUAUUCCUUUUACUAGUUCACUGCCAGAAUUGAACUAAAAGGAGAAUGAAUUUGUCCUUUUGGCCCUUUAAGGAAAAAGAACUGAAUAAUACAUGUUCUUGAUUUAUUGCAAACUACGAUUUGAAUCAGGUAGCCAGUAAUUAACAACCACUAGUGAGGCCUAAUCACAUAUUAAGCAACAUUAAUAAUCAAUUGGAGGUAUUAAUUAUGCCAGUGAUUGCUACGUACAUCAUCAACACUGAAUUUCAGUGUAGGCAAUCUUCCAUAAGAAAUUCCUAGGUCCUCUCAAUCUUUCUGAUCUAGUUUCUCCCAAAGACAGGAUGUGUUGGUCAAAAUCAUUGAUGAAGCUUCCUUUACAAAUUACAAUAACAUCGAGGAAAAUAAUUAGUAGAUGUCAGGAUAUUUUUUUUCUUUAAAAACAUGCCAAAUAGUAUACUUCUAAUGCUUUGGUUCUGCAUCAGAUCAUAAAAUGAUCUUGACUUGGGCCUCGUUCCCACUAUAAUUCUUCUCACAACUUUGUCAAAAUGAGUAAGUGCACCCGUCAAGCAUGACAUCAAAAGCCUCCUCUAAGGAUAUGUCUAAUUGGGAUCAAAUCUUUCAUAGUUACUACUCUAAAACGGAUAUCAGAUUUGUAAUUUUACAAUAAGAAUUUCGAACACUAAUUUGCAAGACGUGCCAGUUAACUUAUUAAUUUACAAUGAUAAUAUAACUUCAAUGUGAGGCCGAACAAAAAAAAAUAAAAGGAACAAAUAGAACUUUAAGUUAUCUUUUUUAAUAUAAGCCUAACAAUAUGGAAAAACAAACUAUAUUAUCAAUUGCAUUCAAUUAAUAUUAAUUAUGUGAGGAUGAAUUUGCUAAUUUGAUAAACUAAUUAGAAUUUAAAAGUGCAAAUAAUAAGAAAUAUAUAUACCUCUAUAAAUUUCAAAUCAAUAAUUUAUCUUCAAAUGUUUAUUUAAAUUAUAAUUACAAUUAAUAUUACUUUUAGUAGUUUAUUUAAAUUCAAAUGUAAAUCAAACUAAAAGAAAUUAGAUUCCUAAUUAAUUGAAUUAACCUAUCUCAAAGAAGGCAAACCUUUCUACUUUUCAUGUCGGUAACCUUCCAACAAAUAUUGGAUAACUAAUUAGAGCAUGACCCCAACAUUUUUAAACUUAAUUAUUCAUUAGACAUGGUCUUACUGGAUUCUCUCUUUGUUCUUGGCUGUUUUAAAUGACUAGUUUAGGACUUUGGUCUUUGAAUUAUGAUUAAACAAAUGCUCCUGAAUAUCAAGGCAUCACUGUACAUAACAUCUUCAUCAAUUCAUAAGAUAUGUCCUAGUGCAUCUAGAUGGUUAAUCCUAUUAUUGCUCAUGCUAUUUUACACUUCUAUAUAUAUAUAUAUAUAAUGUUGUUAAAAAAAUGAAUGUACUUACCCAUUAAGGAUUUAUCAAUCAUUUUUUUAAUAUAUAUAUUUAUCUACACACACAUUGAAUAAUUGAUAGUUAAAAUACUAUAUAUUUGAAAAACCGUUUUUUCAUUUAAUGCACUAUAUAUCAAAUUCAAGAAGGAACAACAUAUUAGUUACAAAUCUUUCUUAUAAAUAUUACCUUAAUAUAAAUAUAUAUAUAUAUUUGAUUNUAUAUUUUGGGAUAAAAAAGGAAACUUAUUUGAAAAUUGAGAAAAUAGCAGAGUGUUAGGGAAAUGUCGAUAUCCAAAAUAGUUACUAAUAUUUUCUUUUAAAAUUACUAAAAAAAACUCACUUAGUGUGCACUAUAUAUUCUAGAAAAAAAAAAUUCAUCUUUAUUUUUGGUUUUAUUUGAAGUUGGAAAUUGAACCUAACUCUUUGAAUAGAAGAUGCAUGUUCUUACUAUUGAAUAUAAAAACUCAGCUGUAAAAGGUUUUUAUUCAUGUGUUUGGACAGGUGAUAAUCACAAUUCACAUGGGUCAACACUAACAAGGUAACAUGUAUCCUUAUUAAUGAAUAUGGAUGGAAAAUAUCAUAAACUAAAAACUAGAGUUUUAAUGUACAUGAUUAUCUAAUGUUAACAAUAAUACAAUCCUAGUGAAUUAAAUGUAUAGUAGAGUCUAUCAGAAUUAAUGUGAAAUUAUAUAAAAUCACAUUUUCAAGAUGCACCAGAUUCAAUGUUACUAUCAAAUCUUUGACUUGAAACAAGCAUUGAAAUGGGUAAUUCUGUAAGAUGAAUUUGGAAAUUAGAUGUGGUUGAAAGAUAUGAAAAGUGGAUUACUAGAGGCCUAUAUGUAUACCAUAUUUUCAAGUCAAAGCUUUUUUUAAGUAUGUUUUUAUUGGCAAAGAAGAAAAACAAGUUUUUAACGAUCACAUAUAGAAAAGUCUAGAAGAUAUUUUAUUUUAGUAAUUAAAAUUUCAAAUUUUAGUUUGAAAAUUUCGUGAUAGAAAUAUGAAAGAUUUAUUAGUUUCGAAUCCAUUUAUCUUCUUCUUUUAUAUGAGUAAUGAUUUGAUCAUGAAUUAUAGAUCUCGCAUAUAAAUGAAUUCAGAUACAUAUGAGAAGUAAUGGACCGAAAAAUUAAUUGUUAAUUUUUUAUAGUUCUUUUAUAAUUGUUAAUAUCUAUUGUCACAUGCAUUGCACAUGAAUACUUGUUUUCAAAUAUAUUUUUAAAUUGUUACAAAUUAGAUAAAUCUUAAUAAUAUUAAUAAUAAAAAGAUUUAAAAUAAUAACUUUAAAAUAUUAUAAAUAAAUAUAAUCAUUUUCAUUGAUCAAAAAGUUGUUCUAACAUUCGUACUUUAUACAUAUUAUAAGCAUCUACCAAAAGGUGGUGGUUUUUGUAUACUUUUUAUCAAGUAAUGAGAUCAUUUCAAUGCCUUGAUAUACAUAUAUGUAUAUACAUACAUAUAUGUACAUAAAUAUAUGUAUGUAUAUAUGUACAUAUAUACAUACAUUUAUAUAUGUAUGUCAUAACGUGUGGGUUCAAGAACCCGAUCGCUAGACGUGGUUAACUUAGGGAGUCGCUACCAAUAUUUUUUUACCUAGAUGCGAUUAGCCACCUAUUAAAUUUGUUUUAUUCGACGGAGUUCUAAAUCGACUUUAGAUCCUUCUAAAGAAUAACAAACUGGUCUACGUUUUUUAUUUAGAAUUCGGUUCGAGAGUACAGUUACGCACAGGAAAAGAUUAACACCCCUAUGACGCCAAUUCCACGAACGGUACCAUUUAAUCAUAUAUUAUUAUAACCCAUUAAUUUUAUUAUUAUGUUUUCUUAAUUUUUUUUAUUUAACUUAUCUUUUAUUCUAUUAAUAAAUUAAAAUAUUCUAUUUGAUUUUACGAGUUUAACGUACACGUAAUGCAAUUGUAAAAUGCAUGGUAUAAAAUCGAGAUAAUGUCAAACGAAAACCUUUUUAUGAGUGCACUUUUUGAAUCCACCUAUCAUGCUGGUGAGAUCCAGGAGUAUCCUCUCACUUAGGAAAAUAUCUGAGAAACUCGCCUUCGCAAAUUACCUGGGUAAAUCCUAUAAUCAGGAUAGUCAUUUGCAAGUAAAAACAAUAUUUUUAUGAAUGUAAAUUCUAAUACGGACAAAGCUUUUUAUUAAAGAUAUUUCUCCGAACCCUCCCAUCAUACUGGUGAGACUCGGAGGCAUCCUUUCACCUAGGAAUUUUUCUGAAGGAACUUGCCUUCGCAAACUCUUUCAAAAAGUUCCACCAUCGGGGCUUGGAUUCAUGUACAUCAUACAUCUAUAUGCCAUGACACUUAACAAUGCAAUAAUGAUGUGUAAUAUGCUUUUAAAUUUCAAUAUUUGUUUCUUAAUCUUCCUACAACUCCUUUGAUAUUUCUUUGAAAUUCUUUUUAUUGUUCUUCUUUGUAUGUAUAUAUCUCAUGGAUAAUAUAUGUUAUAUUUAUUAUUUAUUAUUUUAUUUUUUUCAUUAAAGUAUUUAUAUAUUGUUGCUCUAUGAAUUUUCCUUUUUACCUAAAUACUAUUUCUUUUUAAACCAAAAAUCUCAUUUCAUAAUUGUUAUUUAUGUGUAUAUAUUUUUUAUAAAUCAAUUACGUUUCUACUUUUUAUUAACCUAACCUAUUUUCUUUUUGACUAGCUAUUUUUUUAAUCUUUUCUCAUCAAUCUAUUUUAUAUUUGCCUUUCAUAUUUUAGUUGUAUUGGCUAUUGUGAAUUUACCAUCAUUGAGAGUUUUAUUAUUUUAUUAUUAUUUAUUCAUUACCUUCAUUAUUUCUUUACUUCUUUUGUUUUAUAUUUUUGUUUGAUUAGUAAUUAACUUAAUACAUUUUUCAUUCACUUAGAAUUGUAAAUAUCAAGAUUUAGAAUUAAAACCUUCCUAUUAUACUGGUGGGAUCUUAAUCGAAAUCUCUUACUUAGAAAAAUUCAUCUAAUGUUGCAACUUCAUGCACUCCAAAUAACUAUUUCAUCAGUGGUUAUUCUAAUAAUAAUGUAACUUUUUUUUACCAUCAUGUUCACUAUCAUUCACUAACUUUGAAACCAUUAUAUUUUAUUUAAUAUACACUCCAAAAUUUAGAGAAAUGAGGGAUAUCCUUGCACAUAUAUUUCUUUAAUUUUACUAAACCAUAUAUCUAUUUUAUUUUUUCAUUGUUGUUGACAAUAUUAAUACUAAUUUUAUCAUUUUUCUUGUUUAAAUAUUUUUUCUAAAAAAAAUACUAAUCAACAAUAUUAAAAAUACAAACACAUAAAAGAAUUAAGAAAUAAAAAAAAAACCCAUACAAAAUAAGUGUAAGUGACCCAACACAUAAGUCCUAAAUAACAAAACACAAACGGAACACAUACCUUUUGAUCUAUCAAAGCCCAAAUUCAAUUGUAUCUUGUCAAUAAUGUGAGAUCAUAGGCUAAGCUCCCAAGGACAAAGACAAGGGCUUGUUUCAGGGUUGUUUCUCCAAGCCUAACUAGAAUCAUGGGCUUGCCUUAAAGGCUUUACAAACUGAGCUUAAAGGAAAGGGAGACGGGCUUAGUCUGCUUCAAGUCCUAAAGGCACCACUUGGUGCUGCAGCUUAAAGAAACAAAAGUAAAAAAGGAAAGAAAAUUUGAAAGCAAUGCCGUUUCAAUCUCCUCCAAAGCCCAACUAGAACACCGGUUUCUCCAAAUUUUUGGACAAUCAGAAGCCUUCAAGUUCAAAAAAAAUCCACUGAAAAUGAUUUCAAGUUUCCGAUUGCCCGAGGAGCAUUCAAUGCUCUGUAUAUUGUUGACAAUGGAGGCCAAGCGUGCUUCUAGCUUUUUUUUUCUUUUUAAAUUUUGGUUUAAUUUAUUUAUUAAUCAUUAUUAAGAAAGGUGUCUNGCUUUUUUUUUCUUUUUAAAUUUUGGUUUAAUUUAUUUAUUAAUCAUUAUUAAGAAAGGUGUCUACAAUAUAUAAUAUAUAUAUAUAUAUAUAUAUAUAUUAAUAUAUAUUAUAAACAUCUACCAGCCAACUACAAAUUCACUGAAUGAACUACUCAAAAUGCUGUUUUUCUGGAUUGAUCCUUUCAUAGCGUCACCAAUUACAAGAAUUAAGCAAUGUUAUGUGCUCAAAGUAAAAUCAUUGCCUUGUAUGUGUGUGUAUAUACAUGUACACAUGUACAUACAAUCAUGUCUAUAUGCAUAUAUCUUAUACACACACAUAAAUACAUCCAUUAGAACAAGGUUUGACCUAAAGAUCCCUACCUAAUUAUUCAAUACUAUCCUACCACUUGAGCUAAACUUGAGUGGCACCAUUCCAGGAGUUCUCUUUUUACUUUCCUUUGAUUCCCUUUGAUAGCCCCAAAUAAUUCACAAAUGGCUCAAAAGGACAAAUACUCUCCUGCCCUCAAGCUGCUUCAUCAUGUUUUAACUCCCACCACUCACCAAGGAGAACUGCAAGCUCCUGAACCAGUAGGACAUCUAUGUACCCUUUCACCCGAAUUUAAAGGAAAGACAAACUCACUCUGUUAUAUGAGACAGGGAGUAUCAUAUACAUUCCAACUAAACCAAGACAGACUGCUUCAUUUGUGCCGUUUCAUGCCCUUAUAUAUGCAGAAGGAAAAGGUCAAAUCAAGCUUAUGAUGAUUGCUUGCUCACCACCCUCCCUCCUAAUAUGCAGGGAUGAUUUGAGCACAACACAUGCCAUAGAAGACAGAUGUAACUGCCAAUAUGAGAUCAUGCCUCAACCACAAAGAUUGACAUUAAAGUACAACUAUUCAACCUCUAGCACACUGGAUAAUCAGGAGACUUGGUCCAGUUCUCAUCUGCCAGACCUGUGCAUGAUGUGGUCAAGUAAAGAUGUUCAGAUACUCAACCACUCAUUAAAAAAUGGAUGUAUAACUUCCAUAUCAAGUACAAAACAGUAAAAAUUACAGGUUUUUUUUUUUGGCUAAAUGUGAGCUCUACUAAAUGAAGUUCUAAGAGCUGCACAAUGAAAACCAUCUAGAGAAGUACUAUAGUUUUCACUCUCCAACAACACAACUUAGUCUACAACAGCAAAGCCGAAAAUCUGUCAAAUGUAUAUCCUGAAUAGAGGAAAAAUUAGUUACAUUGAAUCCACGUAUGAAAGGAUUAAAUUAAGAUGUUUGCUUAUGGAGUGAACAUAGUUUAGGAUAAUCUGUCAAUCCGUUCACACAAUUAGAGUAAUAAGUCAAUUCAUGCCCACUAUUAUUUUCACUACAAUUCUAUAAUAAUUCAAUCCCAACUAUCUUUAGUGUAACAGUCCACUUGUAUGUAGCGCCUAUGCACCCCAUAAGCAAGGAUGAUUAGAUGAUAUGGACUCACUACUAAAUAGUAAUGCAUCGUUAUCAUUGUGACGAUAAAUGUUGAACAAAUGACUUCAUCUCGGGCAAAUGAUUGAGGCUUCUCUUCUGACUUCCUGUUUGACGUUUGUUCACUCUGCCAUAUCAUUUUAGAGAAAGAACCACUUGUGGAACAUGUUGCAGACACAACUUUUGACAAAAUAGCUCCUACCAAGGAACGGUUCCUAUCUUCUGAGAGUCUUGAACAUAAUUAAACAAAAGUUUAUCAAUAACGCAGCAAAAGAAAAGAAAACGAGAAGCUACCCAUGAAAGAAUCCGUUCUUGUAAUGAAAGAUAAAUCAUAUUAUAUUUCAAAAUGCAAUGAGACUAACCUGAAAGCUGAGAUCAAAGCAUCAUCUCCAAUGGUGACUGCACAUUAGUAACGUUGACUUGACUGCCCAACAAUAAAAAAAGCAGCUGAAUUCAAAUACCAGAAUAACUUCAGAAAGCUGCACGAUAGUAAUGUUGCAGGCACAACUUUUGACAAAAUACCUCCUACGAAGGAAUGUGUUUCCAUAACUGGUAAUCUACCAUAAGAGUUUCCUAUAUCCUCUAAAUCUUUCUUUGGUUUCUGAUCCCAAAAACGAGAAUGUGUUUCUUGAAAUGACCUUUGAAGCGUACUCGACAUUACUCAUUUAAGUUAGUUAUCUAAGUUGGUCAAACACGUACACAAAUCUAAUGCUUUGCUUCUGCAUGAGAUAAACAGGCAAGGCUCUUGCCAUGUUUCAAAAUAACUAUUACACAUUUAAGCAGGGAACUCACCUGAAUAUCAGACACAUCAAAACGUGCAAUCACGCCAGGUAUGACAACACAAACCUCCUCUGAGGAUAAAUCUUGUGUCAUAUCUUUCUUACUUCCACAGACUCUUAAGUUUACAACGUGUCUUGGAUAUACCAUCUAAAAUCAAAAAUUAAACUAAUAAGUUCACCAUUCGAAUAACGAUUUAUCUCUAACUUAUUUCAACUUAAUAACUUUAGAUCCAACUGAUGUUAACAUAAGAAGACUUCAUUCGGCUCAUCAGUUAAAAAACACAUUCAACCUAUAAGUUUACAUGAAAAUCUACAAAACACACCAAAUUAUGUUCAUUUCACUUUGCACUUUCUAAAACUGUAUCAUCCAUUGAAGGUAAAAUUAAAAAACUGAACACAUAAAUAAAUCCAGCAUUCAAUAAAUACAUCAAGCUAAGCAAACGAAAAAAGCAAUCAUUUUUGAAGAAUGAAAAAUGAAGAUGUAACUUAUUUAGAUAAUGAAAUGCAUAAUUCUACUUUUAUAUGAGGUAACUAAUUAUUCCAGUCAUUGUUCAUUUAAUCAAUUACAUAAUUUUGCUUCAAAGUAAACUUUCAAGCAAUAGCAAUAACAACCAAACCAAACUCAAAACACAUAAAAAGAAAAAUUACCUGUCUAUGAAUCAAAUCACCACGCAAAGAGUAAACCAAGAUAAAAGGAAAGUGGUGCUGGCGUUGGCGAUGAGGAUAAGAGAUCGGUUAGCGAUGGCGAGACAAUGAGCAUCGAGAGCACAGAGGAGAGAGGUGCUGGCGUUGGGGGCAGCGCCGAACUCGGACAAGUCUUCGUAGGCGAUGCAGCCGAGAUCCGUCAAGUGACGAUGGCUCUGUUUCGACAUUGCGUCGGGCUUCCGGGUUUCUUUUUUCUGUGUCUCUUGUCUCUUUGGCAACUGACAUUACGGAUUGGAAAGGAAAGAAUUUUGUAUAUGAAAGGAAAGCGGUGACUGUGGGAUCCACGUGUAUGGUUGGGAAGAAAAUUCAGAAAAUUAAUUAAAAAUUAAAAUGAAUGCAUUGGAACGUUUUUAUUUUAUUUAAAGUCUUCCAAAUUACAACAUUUUCAAUACAAAUCCUAAAUUCAUCAGGAAAAAAAUAUAUAUAUAUCUUCUUCAAAACUUGUCUAUUCCACAUAAACUUCAAAUAAAUGCUGCUGAACAUGAAUAGCAAAUUAUCCACUAAGAACACCUGGAAUUGUUCAAACCACUACCAUGGAAAAGCCAGAUGCUAGAGAAACAGGGUCCAUUGGAUUCGGUUCGUAAGCUACCUUGACAAAUAGAAAAAAAAAAACAAAGGAAAAAUCAAUUAUAGAUUACAAAAGCAACGAAAGCUUUGUUGUAAUUCUACUUUGGUAAAAAAACUCACCUAUGCAUGAUGUGGAUGUAGUGCUAGUUUCUUCUUCCUCUGUUUCUGCUAAUCCACUUUGUAACAUUGUUUUGCCAAUCUCUCUCAACCAUUCUGAUAAACCACCAUGGUCUUGCUGUUGUGAACACAAUGUAUCCCAUGCUCAAUCCUAACACCACUCCACAUCCGUAGCCCAUCAUUACAACUUUCCAAAUAAAGGCUAUUUCAGAACCUUCAUCUUCCUUAGGCAUUGGUACCGGUGGUUUUGGUUCCUCAUCAUUGCCGCAUUGCUUUGACAGGUGGAGGCCACACAAUCCCAAGUUACCACUAUAAGAAUCACUCUCAAAAGUAUCAAAUUGAUUCCCACCGGGAAUUGGUCCGGUAAGAGCAUUUUGUGAAAGAUUUAACACUGCAAGGAAUGUCAGCUUCGUCAAUUGGGAAGGAAUUCUGCCACCGAGCUUGUUUGAUGAGAGAUCUAACGAUUCAAGUGCUACCAUCUUUCCAAAAGAUGUUGGGAUAGGACCAAUUAAAUGGUUGUUAGAGAAGUUGAGCGCUUGGAGCGAAAUAAGUUCUCCGAGUUCCUUAGGAAUUUGUCCAUAGAAUAAAUUGCUCGAAAAGUCUAUAGACAUGAAAAUGUCUAAGGUUCGUGCUAACUCCAUCUCCAAUCUUUUCAUUGUUACAUUCACAGAAACAUUCAUAGAAAUUUGCUGAUAGACACUUACAUAUACUUUUCCACCUUUGGCUAUGCAAUCCUGAUAGCAGUAUUUAGAACUUUUUUGAAGGGGACCAUCAGUGUCACCUGUAACGUCAAUAUACCCCCGUGAGCUUGAACCCUGAUAAUGCAUAUACCCCAGUGAGCUUGGAUUCUGAUGUCUCUUUUGAGGUUCAUCUUUCAUUGCUCUCAAAUUUUGGAAGAAUUUUGUUGGCAAGGGGCCAGUGAGCUCAUUAUGAGAGAGAUCAAUUAUUUGCAACGAGGAGAAGUUAGACGAAGCUAUGGAAUUGGGCAUGGGACCAUACAAUCUAUUAUUUCGCAAAAGAAGAACUUGUAGCUCAGGAAGUGAAGCUAACCAAUGGGGAAAGGUAUCAGUAAACUUGUUGUUCCUUAAAUUCAAAACUUUCAAAGAACUACAAUUAGCCAAAGAUUGCGGCAAUAAUCCUUCCAAUUGGUUGUCAUUAAGGAGAAGAUAUCUCAACUGAUCAUUUGUAAAAGAAUCAGGGACUUUGCCAUAAAAAUUAUUCAUCUCCAAAUUCAAGAACUUGAGAUAAAUGCUGAAAUUUCCAAUAUAAUUUGGAAUGGUUCCAUUCAAGUUAUUUCUAGACAAGUCAAGAAACACAAGUGAACUUUGAUCGCGAAUCAAAAGAUUUGACAGAAUUGGCCCUUGAAGCAAGUUGGAUCGAAGGUCAAGAACUCGAAGAUUCUUUCCUGGAAAUUGCUCCAAAGUGGUCAAAGAGUUAUUAGAAAGGUGCAACUCGAGCAAGCUUUCCCACCCUUCUGCUUCCCAUUUGGAAAUUCCACCACAAAUCUUGUUAUAGGAAAGAUCUAAAAUCUCCAAAUUUGAUUUUUGAAAGAAACUUGGGAAUUGUCUUAUGCUACAAAAAGAGAAUGACACAGUAGCAAGCUGGGGGAAGGAAUAGUUUGCAUCAUUACCGCCUGUGCUUAAUGAUAGUAAACUAUUAUUAGAAAGAUAAAGAUGGGAAAGAUUUUCGAGUUUUGCAAGCAUAUUUGACUUGAUGACACCACUCAAGUUGUUUGAUGAAAGAUCAAGUUUUUCAAGGUUCACAAGAUCAAAAAAAAAACUGGGUAUUGGACCAUGAAUGUCAUUAGAACUCAAAUCAAUGUUUCGGACAGAAUUAGGCUUCUGAAUUUGGUCGAUUGGGCCGGUGAGUUUAUUAUGGCUGAGAUCUAAAUCUUGCAACGAUGGCAAAGUAAACAGCCAAGAUGGUACUCCACCACUUAUUAGGUUAUUAGAUAACCAAAAUCCUUCUAGCAAUUGAAGCUCACUAACAUGAUUUGGCAGUGGACCUUCUAAUUGAUUAUGUGACAAAUUUAGUAGGGUAAGUUGUGUGAGGUUGAACAUAGUUGUUGGAAGUUGACCACUAAAAUUGCAAGAAUCAAAUUUCAAAGUAGUUAAUCUGUUAAGGUUUUCAAAAGCAUCUGGAAUCUGUCCUUCAAAAUCAUUUUCAGAAAAAUCUAAAAAGACAACUUGAGUGAGAUUUCGAAAUGAUGCAGGAAUUGAGCUAGAGAAUCCAGAACGAGAGAGAUUAAGAUGGGUCAAACUCACUAACUUAUUAAAUAACUCUGAAGAGAUAGAGCCAUCGAAAUUGUUGUGAGCAAGGUUGAGUUGUUGUAGUCCUUGAAAGUGGAAGAGGCUGCUGUCUUCAAGAAGAGAGCCAUGAAGGUUGUUGGAACUGAGAUUGAGCCAUUGAAGUCUUUGAAGGUGGAAGAGGCUGCUGUUCGCAGGGAGAGUGCCGUUAAGGCAACUGUUACUAAGGUCGAUGCCAAUGACAUGACCCGUCACCGUGUGGCAAAAGACUCCAUCCCAUGAACAGCAAUCCGUGCUUUCAUUCCAAGAAUUUGUCCUUGGGCAAUCAUCACAAUAAUGAUCCAAAGAAAUGGUGUUUUUGAAUUCAAGCAAGGCAGCUCUCUGUUCUGGGAGGCAUAAAUGAGCCGAAUCAAGAAAAGAGGAAGAGAAACUCAAUAAACAAUGGACCUGGAAAUGCAAGAACGCUAAAAGCAGGAAAAGGAUUGGAUACAACAUCCUAACUACCUUUCCUAUGUUUUCUCGAGAAAAAGGAAGUUACGAAACAAGGGUAGUCGAAAAAGGGCAAGCUAAGGGGGUGGAACUGAAAAUGAGUUGUGGUUGAGGUUGAGGGACAUUAAUUAUAAAUGAAGUACCUGAGAAGUGGAGACAUCUCUUUUUCAAGUCUUUGCAAAAUGUUUAUAUUAAUGAAUUUCCAGUCAAGUCUUGUCAACUUGAAAAUUUAUGUCUGGAAUCAAAAUUAAAUUAACGGAAUAAAAAGGAAAAGUGUAUGUACCGAGUGUGACAGGAUGGCACUAAACAAUAUUAAAAGAAACUUCAAGAUGAUAGAAAGGAGAGGAAUCGGUAAAUUGCUGGAAAAGUGUACACGCAUAUUUUUCUCAUCAUUCCAUUGCAUUUUCAAGUUCAAAAGCACCUACUAAAAGUUAGAGUAGCAUUAUUUUUCCUUAUAUUUUGUUUUUACUAUUUAACUCACCUGCUAAAAAAUUUAUCAAUUUUUGAUAAGUCAAUUUAUUUGUAAACACAAUGCUCAAAAUUGAAUCAAUUUAUGAUACUUCGAUAAAUAGUACAAAACAAACGACAAGUAAGAAUUAUACAAAAAGAAUAUUGAAUAUUGUUUUGAAAACAAUCCAAAAGAUUGUGACAUGAACUUUGAAACAAAAAGAUUAAUAAAAUUGAUCAUAUAAGUGACAAUUCAACUGUGAAAACUAUCAAGUCAAAAGGAAGAUGGAAAACAAUUCAUUUCUCCUUAGUUCUCUUAUAAUUAUUAGUAUUUAUUAUCAUGUGUGUUGUACAUAAAAUUCUUUAAGUUUCAUGAUGUGGAAGAUGAGAUUUUUUUCUUAAUUGGCAUAUAAACACUGAAUUUUAAUAAUCUUGUAAUACAAUCUAAUGAAAAAAACUAGAAAAUAUGGGAUUCUUUUUGGUUUUUUAACAAAAAAAUUAUGAUAUUUUUGUUGGUCUUAUAUUCCAAAAAAAAUUUAUUAACAGCAAAAAGAAAAGUAUAUUGAAAGAAUGAAAUUUGAAAAGCCAAAAGAAUAACAAAAAGAAGCAUUAUAGGCUCAAUAUAUUUUUUAUCCUUAAUAACAGCUUAAGGGUAAUAAAAUAAAGAAGAGAGGUAGAUUUAAAAAGAUUAAAUUAUGUAAUUAAUUUUUAUAUUUUAUAAAAAAUAUGAAUUUAGCUUUUAUAUAAUAAUUUGUGAAAAAUGUGGAUUUAGGGAUGGUGAGAGAGAGCAUUUUUUGUUUGGCUUGUGAAUACAAAAUUAGACUUCUAACUAGUAAACUAUCACUUGCAAUGAUGAUAAACUACAAGUCUACGAAUAAACUAGAACGGACUUAGCUUCUUCUUCUUUUUCUUUAAAGGCAGAGAGGAUUUAACUUAAUUGUAAACAAGUAUCAUAUUUGUCAAAGAAGUUAUGAUUACAGGUCUUUAUGAAAAGGAUUUCGAGGGCACGCAGACAAACAGGACAUGUCCUGAAAGCAGCUAAAAGGGUAAAAUAAGUGUGUAGUUGAGGAUUUUCGCCAAUCUUUUUUGUUAAUUGGUUGUUAAUUGUUUUUCCCUGAUCUUUGUAGUUAAUCUCAUUUGAUUUAGGACUAAGAUGUUUGUCUCCCUCUAUUCGAUUGUUAACAUUUUUUGUCUCCUAAUUUUUUUUUAAUCUCAUUUAAUUUAAGGUUAAGGUAUUUGAGAUUAAAAUUUGAUGGAUUUUUGUCCAUUGAUAUCCACAACAUUUUUGCCACAUCAGCAAGUGCACAUCAACAUUUUCACCAUAUCAACAAGUGCCAUGUUAGCAAAAUGCAUGUUAUCUGUUCAAUCAAUGCCAUGUCAACACAUAAUCAACACCAUUUACAUUUUUUUUAUAAAAUAUAGAGACUAAUUCUAAAAUUUAAUUAUUUAAAAAUUAUUUUUAUAUAUAUCAUCACUGAAAAUUUUUAAACCUGUAAGCAGAGUUAGAAAGUUACCAUGUAUCACAUAUUAAAUUAAUAGACAAAUUAAUAUAAUAAAUAAAUAAAUACAUGAAAAUAUUCUAAUUUUUUUUUGUUAAAUUUAAGAACUCAACAGGGGAUGAUAUGUAGUCCAAAAAAGAUAGUCUUUGUUUACAUUGUCAUGCUUUAUACACAGUUAGUCUUCGGCAACUUUCCCAGCAAUUACUGAUUGCUUCAAAUGUGGGAUAUGCUUUUGCUUUUCUUUGGUCUUAAUUAAUUAAUUUACUUCGAAUUCCCAUUACAUGCUUAGCUUUUGUUUGAUCUUUAAUUAAUAUAUUUACCAGGACUCUUCAGCUGAUAUGACUUCUCUUUUCUAGGUGUUGGGUGUUAAAACAAUGAAAGGGACCUCCUUCCCACGAAUUGGGUCCUAAUAAAUCAAGCUUUUUUACUAUCGCAAAUAAUUAUUUAAGGCUUUGUUUUCCUAAUAAUUUAAUGGUUUCGAACAAACCAAGACCAAGUCAUGACUCUCUUUCAAAGUAAAUCUUAAAAUGUUUCUGUAGACAUAAUUCCUGAGCAUAUAAUUUCUUAAGCAUGCUACUUGAAUUGCUAGUUUCUUCAUCCUCCAUUACUAUUAUAGGUGAUUAUAUAGGUGCAUUCCAUGUAUAAUUUUAUGUGUUUGAGAAAGUACUUCUAGGAAAAAAAUAGUAAUGAGAACAAAAACAAAUAAUUUUUUUCCUUUUCUCCCUCAAGAGCAAUUUUUCUUUUAAAAGUGAUUUUUUUUAAAAAAAAAUGAUUUUAUUAACAAUAAAACCAAUAUGCCAUCCGACGUCUCUACACGAUUGCUAAAGACUUCUGUUAGCAUAUAAUUCUAACUUCUGCGUCAUCAAGACUUAUGAGAUCUUCUCAUGUAAAUCCUUACAAUUGAUAUUAUAGCAGCAUAAAACCAUGGAGGACCAAUUAGGAAUUCAGUGGAAAAGUGAUGACAGCAAUAAAUAAUUUUAUCAUCUAUGGCAAGGUUGUUAAAUGUAACCUUUAUCAAGUUUAAAGGAUUUAUAUAUAUAUAUAAUUAAAGGAAGGGAAAUUCGAAUCUUACUCUUUAGGUAAGAGAUCAUGCAUCAAUUAAUAAGUCAAUGUUUAAAUGUUUUAUUAAGUCUAAAAUUAUUUUUAAUAAAUUCAUACAUUUGAUUCAUUGAUUGACACAAUUAAAUCAAAUUUCUUUUUUUUCAAAUAAAAUAAAAUAAAAAUAUAAAACGAAUAAAAUAGUUUUUUGUCAUAUAGAAACGCAUCAAUGGCUGUCCAGUUCACAUUUUAGAAAGCCAUUUUGAUGGGAGGUGGGGGUGCAACUUCAAUUGUCCUUUCCAAGAAAGCACCAGCAACAUCACAAGAUAUGAACUAGUAAUUACACAGCUUCUUAAUGUUCCAUAACUGGUAUUCUAUUUUUUUUUCCUUCUGGCUAUUCCAAAACGGAAUCUGUUGCUUGAAAUUACUGUUGAAGCAUACUGUUACUGUAGGAUACCAGAUGAGGGAAAAAUUAUAGUCAUAAUUUAAUUUUAUAUUUUUUUAUAUUUAAAAAAAAAAAUUACAAAAUUUUAAUUUUUUUGAAGUAAAAAAUUAUGCACCAACUAAUGAAUUAAAUGUUCAAGUGCGAUUUUGCAAUGCUUUGCUCUUACGUCAUAUCAUAAUUAACACUAUCUGCAUUCAUGUCUCGUUCCAAUUUCACCAUCUUGAUUUUUUUUAUUUUUUUUUCAAGAAAAAGAGAGAUAACUUAAAAGUAAGAAUCUAUGUCAAAAGCAAAACGUGUGUGACGGGAUGGUACUUUUUUUUUUAUGAAAAGUGUUGAUUUUAUUGAGCCAGCGUUCAACCUGCCACUUCAAGUCUUUAGUCUUGAUUGACUAAAGACUCUUGGUGGCAUAAAAGUUGUUUUAGCUGGAUAAAAGCCUGUACACUUGUGAACAUAAAGAGAUCUACCCAAAGGAAAAUUGGCAUGACAUUCCCUGAACAGAAUCCAGCCCUGAAAACAAAAGCAUCCUAAAAUCAACCCGAUUCCAGACAGCAAGACCCUCCCAGUGGUUACAAAAGAGCACUCCCACCGCAGAGAUCCCCCUCGGAGGAUGCCGAUCAUCUCAACGCAAGCAAGAAGUCCCAAAGAAGUGAUCAAAAAAGGACAUGUGAGAAAACCACACCAAACUUAACAAUAUUAAAGGAAAAGCUUCAAGAUGAUAGAACGGAGAGGAAUCUAGAAAUUGCUGGAAAAUUUUAUAAGCAUGUUUUUCUCAUCCUUGCAUUGCAUUUUCAAGUUAAAAAGCACCUACUAAAAGUUAGACUAGCAUUAUUUUUCUUUGUAUUUUUUUUGCUAUUUAACUCACUUGAUAAAAAAAUUAAAUAAUUUAAAAAUAAGAUUUAUCAAUUUAUGAUAAAUCAAUAUAUUCAUAAAUACAAAUAUUCAAUAUUAAAUCAAUUUAUGAUUCUUUUGUCAUUGAUAUAAAACAAAUGAAAAGUAAAAAUAAUACAAAAACAAAAUUGAAUAUUGUUUUGAAAACAAUACAAAAGACGGUAAUGUGAACUUUGAAACAAAAAAAGUAAUAAAAUUGAACAUAUAAGUGACAAAGAGAUGAUAAUUGAAAUAAACAUUUAAUUUUUGUUCCUUUUUAUUAACAAAAAAUUAAACUAAACUUCAUGUUUUAGUUGUAUAACUUUUAAAAUAGAUUAAACAUAAAAAAUCAGAUAGUUGAAUUGAAAAUUUUCCUAAAAUGCCCCGUUUGUUGGAGUUUCUGAUUUUACUUCUAAAAUUAAUCCAUAAUUUUCUGUUCAAUUUUUUUAACAGAAAAAUGCAGCUAUGAAAUCAUUUUUGUAUGUAGUUGAGGUAAUUAAAAAAUUAAAAAUUUAUUGAAUAAAGGAACUUCUUAUUAUAGAUUGCAACAAAUUCAGGUCAUCUUCAGAACAACUUUAAGAAAUUGGAAUGAUUAUUAUUAUUAUUAUUAUUAUUAUUACAAUUAAAGUGAGGGCCAGAGGGAGCUUUUUCUGUUUGUUUUUUUCCAAGAAAAAGAGAGAAAGCUCAAAAAGGAAGAAAUUCAUUUCACAUGCAAGAAGCCGUGUGUGACAAAACUAAAACCACUUUCACACACAAUCAAACUGCAUUUGCAUUUUCACCUUAAAACCACUUUGCUAAAACUUGAAAAGGAAAAGCAUGAAAGCGUCUUCACUCUUUCAAACAGUUUUUUCUCAAAAGAUUGGGCCUGCUACUCUUCACUCAACAAACUUAAUUCAGUCUUGCAUGGAUCCUUAGCUGCAAAAUUAAACAAAAUGACAAGAAGAGGCUAUGAAAUUAAAAGAAUAUAUACAAGAAAUACAGUAAAGAAUAUAUAUUAUUAUAUAUGUUUAAUGGCUUAUGAAUAUGAUAAUAUAGAUUCCUCGAUCAUCAUUUAUGCAUUUAAAUUAUUUAAUUAUUUAUAUUAUUUUAAUGUUUCAAUGUUAACAUUUUUAUUUAUAAUCACUAUUUAAAUUUGAUUGAGGAGUUUUAAAUUUUUUAUAUAAUGUAUAGAAUAAAGAUUCAAUUUGUAUAUACCUAUUUAAGUAUAUUAAAUUGUGGUUCUUGCCCUCAAAAUUAGAGAUCAAGAUUCUUAUUUCAAAUUAUUAUAAUGAAAGUAUGUACUACUACUUUUUCCAUUUAAUUUUUAAUUUAGAAUAUCUAAAUUAAACAAAAGGUUAACAUUAUUUUGAGUUGUUUGUAUUUUUUCCCUUUUCAUUUCUUUAUUAUUUUUUCAUUCAGUAUUUUUUUUUCUUAAUUGGCAUAUAAACACUGAAUUUUAAUAAUCUUGUAAUACAAUCUAAUGAAAAAAAUUAGAAAAUAUGAGAUUCCUUUUGGUUUUUUUACAAAGAAAAUAUGAUAUGUUUGUUGGUCAUAUAUUCAAAAAAAAUUAUUAACAGCAAAAAAAAAUGUACAUUGAAAGAAUGAAAUUUGAAAAGAAAAAGAAUAACAAAAGAAGCAUUAUAGGCUCAGUAUAUUUGUUAUCCUUAAUAAAGCCUUAAGAAUAAUAAGAUAAAGAAGAGAAGGUAGAUUUAAAAAUUAUUUUUGUAUACAUCGUCAAUGAAAUUUUUAAAAUCUUCAAGCAGAGUUAGAAAGGUACCAUGUAUCACAUUUAAGUAUAUUAAAUUAAUUAAUAAAUUAAUAUAAUAAUAGAAACAUAUAAAAAUAUUUUAACUUUUUGUUAAAUAUAUAGUCCAAAAAAGAUAGUCUUUGUUUACAUUUUCAUGCUUUAUACACAGUUAGUCUUCGCAGCUGAUAUGACUUCUCUUUUCUAGGUGUUGGGUGUUAAAAUAAUGAAGGGACCUCCUUCACACUAAUUGGGUCCUAAUAAUUCAAACUUUUUUAGCAUCACUCAUAAUUAUUUGAGGAUUUAUUUUCCUAAUAAUUUAAUGGUUACGAACAAACCAAGGCCAAGUCAUGACUCUCUUUCAAAGUAAAUUUUAGAAAUGUUUCUAUAGACAUAAUUUCUGAGCAUAUAAUUUCAUAAGCAUGCUACUUGUAUUGCUAGUUUCUUCAUCCUCCAUUACUAUUAUAGGUGAUUAUAUAGGUGCAUUACAUGUAUAAUUUUAUGUGUUUGAGAAAGUCAUUCUAGAAAAAAAAAAACAUAAUAAUAAUGAGAACAAAACCAAAUAAUUUAUUUUUUCUUUUAUCUAUCAAGAGCAAACUAUUUAUGGAAGUUGCGUGGGAUCUCCUCAUGAAAAUCCUUACAAUUGAUAAUAUUAUAGCAGCAUAUAUAAAACCAUGGAGAAUAAAGGAAUUUAGUGGACAAGUGAUUACAACAAUAAAUAAUUUUGUCAUUUACAGCAUGGUUGUUAAAUAUACCCUUUAUCAAGCCUGAAGUUGCUUUUAACGCAUUCAUACAUAUGAUUCAUUAUUUGACGUAAUUAAAUCAGAUUGCUUUUUCUUUAAAUAAAAUAAAAUAAGAAAGAAGGAAAAGGGGCAACGUAUUGUCUUGUCAGAUAAAAAAGCAUCAACCAUAUUGUCUAGUUCACAUUUCAGAAAAGCCAAUUUUCAAUGGGGGGUGGGGCACAGUAGUAAUUUUCUCAAAAAGGCAUAAAUCAUAUUUAUCAAGAACAAGAUAUGAACUUGUAAUCGCACAGGUUGUUAAUGUUCCAAAACGGAAUCUGUUGCUUGAAAUUACUAUUAAAGCAUACUUUAGGUUUAGGAUACCAGCUGAGGGAAAAAUUAGUCAGAACUUCAUUUUGCAAUGUUUUGCGAUUGCUCCUGCAUCAGAUCAUAGUUAAUACCAUCUUGGUUCAUGUCUUAUUCCAACUACAAUAUUUAGUAGAUUAUUACUCCACCUAAAAGAAAGAAGUUUUUGAAGAAAAUACAAUACAAAUCAUUUUUAGUCUUCGUGAUUUGUGCUCUUUUAAGUUUUUAAGUUUUUUGUUUAGCGCAAUACCUUUUAAUCAUCAUAAUUGAAAGGUUGAAGAGAUAUUUUUUAUUGGCAAAGAAGUAAAACAAGGUUUUAACCAUCAUAAUUGAAAGGUUGAAGGGAUAUUUUAGCAAUUAAAACUUGAAAUAUAUGAAAGGUCUAUUAUUUUUUUAAUACAUUUAUCAUCAUCUUUUACGUGACUAAUAUUCAUUUAUAAAUUAUGAAUCUUUUGUAUGAAUGAAUUGAGUUUUAUGCAAGGUAAUGUAUCAAGAAAGUUAAUUGUUAAAUUUCUUUUGUUUUAGUUCUUUUAUGAAUAUUAAUAUUUAUUGUCACAUGUAUUGUAAGUAAAUACUUCCUUUCAAUUUUAUUUUCAAAUAACAAUUAUAUGUGAAAUAAAACUAUUUCUAAAAUAUAAAGUUAAUUAUCUAUAAAUAAAAGAUAAUUCAUGUUUUAAUUAUAUAUAAUUGAUAUUUUUUUAUUAUUAACCAUUAAGGUAUUCAAAACUGUUAAAAUUAAUAAAAAUAUUUUUGAAGGAAAAUCAUUAAAUAUAAUUGAAAAUCUUAUUUAUAAAUGAGAUAAAAUAUUAUUAUAUUUAUAAUGAAAAAUAUUUUUAAUCAAAGUUAUUUGAUGUGAUUAAAUUCUUACAAAUUAGAUAAAUUUUAUUAAUAUUAAUGAUAAAAAUAUUUAAAAUAAUAAUUUAAACAAUAUAAUAAACAAAUAUAAUUAUUUUCAUUGAUCAAGAAAUUAUUCUAACAUUCAUACUUAUAUAAUUAUAUAUACCUACCAGCCAACUACAGAUUACACGACUUGGGGGAUGUUAUUUGCUGAAAAUAAAAUCAUUGUCUUAUAUGUGUGUAUAUAUACAUGCACACAUAGACAUUCAAACAUGUCUAUAUGCAUGCAUCUUACACACAUAAAUACAUCCAUUAGAACAAAGUUAGACCUAAAAAUUAUCAUUCAUUGACCAAAAAACAAGUCAAGUUUCUUUAUCAAAUUAAGCCAUUUUUUUCCACUGCAUUUGCAUUAUCAUUCAUUGACAAAAAAACAAGUCAAGCUUCAAACAGGAUUCAAAGGAGAGGAGAUAGGAAAUUGCUGGAAAAGUUUUCCCAUCCUUCCACUGCAUUUGCAUUUUCAAGUUAAAAGCACUUUUCUAAAAGUUAAAAAGGAAAAAUCUUAUAGAAAGAAAAAGCAUGAAAGCGUGUUGAAUGUAGUUUUCAAUCUCUUUGAGACAGUUGUUUUUCAAAUGAUUGCAUGUAGUUUUCCCUUAACAAAUUUGUUAAAAUAAUUAUACAAAUUAUUUAGUUAGAGGUAUUAUACAACACUAUAAUCUGGUUAGAUUAUAAAUCUAGUUAACAAUUAUACUGUAAUACUAUUAGUUAAUUAGAGUUAAAUUAUGAAUAAAAUUAAGAUAACAUACAUAAUUUAGAUUUCCCAAUCAAAAUAAAAAAUGAGGAUAGGUUUAACCACAGAAAAAAAAACUCAUCCACUUUGUUAUUGCUUGAUAUCUUGAUCACGAACUUCGCUGCCACUUGAUAUCUUCACUUCAAAAAUCUUUUACUCUUCAAGAUUUUUGAAAUGUUCUGGAUCUUUGAAUGCUUAUGAAUGAAUCAAAUGGCUUUGAGGAGCCCCAUAUUUAUAGUGUUAGAUGAGAGACCUUGAUGAGGAUGUGGUCCUUUUGAAUUAUCUCUAAAUUAUUUUAAUUUAAUUAAAGGUGAAUUAUGAUGACUCAUUGAAAGUCUUUUGAUUGGCCGAACUAUGAGUCCUUGAAUUUUGAUUGGCCAAAUAUAAGUUUUAUCUCUAAAUUUACUUAGAGAUAAAUUAAAUAAUCAAAUUUGAUUUUUAUCUCUAAAUUAUCAUUCAUUAGAGAUAAAUUAGAUAAUCAAUAAUUAAAUUUUGAUUGAUCAAAAAUAUGAAUAUUAUUUUUAAAUUAUCUUGAUUUAUUUAGAGAUAAAUUAGAUGACCAAUAAUUAAAUUAUGAUUGGUCCAAAAUAUGAAUCUUAUCUCUAAAUUAUAUUGAUUUAUUUAGAUACAAAUUGGAUGACCAAUAAUUAAAUUUUGAUUGGUCAAAAAUAUGAAUAUUAUCUCUAAACUACAUUGAUUUAUUUAGAGAAAAAUUGGAUGACUAAUAAUUAAAUUUUGAUUGGUCAAAAAUAUAAUUUUUUUUUUUAUAAUUGUGGGAGGGGGAUUCGAACCCUGCUAUUUUAAGUAAGGGAUCAUGCCCCAACCAAUGAGCUAAAUGCUCAGGUGCGGUCAAAAUAUGAAUAUUAUCUUUAAAUUAUUUUUAUUUAUUUAGAGUCAAAUUGGAUGACCAAUAAUUAAAUUUUGAUUGGUCCAAAAUAUGAAUAUUAUGAAAUGCCCCGUACUUUGAUAUGGUGACAAAUAAAACUUAUCGGAUGUGAAUUGAGGUAUAAUAAGGUAUUUUGAGAACUAAGGUGUCAAACCCUAUUCUAUAAAAUAAUUACGACGUCAUUUACAUGCUCAAUAGAAUGUUUGCAUAUUUAGGAAGUUCGAGAAAUCGUUAAAAGACGAUAUUACCCCUAAUGGUACCAUUAAGUCAAUUAAGCCUCGAAUUAGUUCAAAUAGGAAUUUUAAGGUGAAAUUAAGAGUUUCACAGUUUAGGGGUGACUCAAAAUGGUAAUUCAGAGUUCGAGGAUCAAUUUGGAGUCAAACCGAAAUUUUCACUAUCUAGGGGCAAAAUGGUCAUUUUGCAAUUUGAGGACAAAAUGGGAAUUUUAGAAAAGAUUUUCUUAGCCCCAUUUGACAUGUUUGAGUAUGAUAUGAGUAUUGAAGUACAAUUGGAAGAUUUAGCAGUGAAAAAUAUGAGUUUGCGGUAUUUUUAGUAUAUAAGGGCAAAAUGGUAAUUUUACCACCCGAAAUUGAAAAUUUAAUUUUUGAAAGGAUUUUGAUCAAAUUUAAUUAUUUGGAGUGUGAAAUGAGUAUGAGGAGUGAAAAUUAUGCAUUAUGGCAAAUUUUCAAUUUUUGGGGCAAAAAAAAAGGUAAUUUUUGAAAAGUUCGGGGGCAAAAGUGUAAUUUUGAAAAAUUUACUCCACCAAAACUUUGAAAAAAUUUGAAAAUUUCACUUAAGACUUGGAUAAGUCAAAGGGAAUGCAUGGUGGAAAAAGUAGGACAAGUGGAUGGGUCAAAAAAAAAAGAAUUAAUAAAAUAUUCAAAAUAUGAAUAAACUAAUAAAAAGGCAUAAAAAAAUCAGCCCAUAACCCAUUCUUCUUCUUCAACAUUCGGCCAAGCAAGAAACAAGAGAGAGAAAGGAGAAAAUAAAACCCUAGCCAAGAAAUUUAAAGGGAAAAUUGGUGGAAAUUCAAAAAUCAAGCAAAAAAAAAGGUAACAUUUCUUAAAUUUGUCUUGUGCUUUACCUUUCCCAUGCAUUUCCCAUCAUUUUUCAUGGUUGAAUCAUGUGAUUUGAGGAUGAUUUCAAUUCUGGUCAUAUAUGUUAGUGUUUAGUGUUAGUUUAGCAUAUUUAUGAGUAAAACAACAAGAAAAAUAUUUAUUUUCUCCCUGAAUUUCUCUAGGCCGAAUCUAGCCCAUGGUAUGUGAGGAUGAGGUUGACUUUAUUUUAAGAGAAUUGGGUGGAAAAAUGAUGAAUUAUGAGGUUGAAAAUUAAAUGGGAAUUUUCGGUGCAAUAAAUUAAAAUUUUUACCCACUAGGGGUAAAAACAUAAUUUAUAGUCCGGACUGAUAAAUGGGACCAAAUUCACAGUCAUUGAGUUAUUGUGGAUAUAAUUGGAUAAUUGAAAUUGAAAUAGAUGGAAUUGGAGUUGAAUUGGGGAUUUUAGGAAUUUACACUAUGUAUAGGCGAGUUAGGUCGGACACCGCAAUUAAGCGAUUGUUUAGACAUUUCAAACCCUAUCUAGUGCAUACGCAUGGAUAAGAGCCUGAAAUAAUUUAUGAUAAAUUGACACAAUUUAUUGAAUUUUGUGUCAUGGAUUAUGGAUAGGUGGUGAGUCAAUUAUUUCGGGUAAGAGACUGCACCCGAGGGCAAAAGAUAGGAGUAUUUCUACUCCUAAUACUGUGAGUAACUUUAUCAUCAUUUUAAUUAUCUAAAGUAUGAUUUUAAUCGAUUUUGAUGGAAUUUUAUGAAAAUGAGUUUAAAUGGUUAAUUUUUGGUUUUACAAAUAAAAUAUGUUUAAAUAAAAUGAUUUUAUAAAUUGUUUUGAAACGAAAUAACGAUUUUGAAAAAUAGAGCAAUUGGAGACCACUGGUAUGUUGUAGAUUUAUGAUUUGAAUAAAUGGCUUAUGAUAAUAUUUUCAUGAAUGACUGAAUUGGUAUUUAUGUUGAAAUAUAUGAAAUGUGUAUUUAGCCUUGACAGGCUGUGAAUUACAAUAAUUGCCAUGUCAUGCUAGAAUGAAUUUUAUUGUAUGGUGGGUUAUUUAACUAGCCACUGCAGUAGGCGGAUUUUCGUGGGCCAGCCUAUUAGAGGGGCACGAUAAAUCCCGUUAUGUCUUACCUCGGUAUGAGAGGCGCGGGUGGAUAACUCCUGAGGCUAACAAUUUUAGAGUUCACUUCACGCCGAACCACCUCGUGAUGAUGAACUCCGCUAACGCCAAGGAACAGCUAUAUGUUUCAAAAUAAAAAUAUGAUUUAUGCGAAAUGUGAAUUUUUUUAACAGCCUUGACGGACUCGGUUGGGAUAGCCCUCGAUCAAGGUAUCCUUGAUAACUGAGUAUGAUAAUGAUUUCGACACGAGCUAAAGUUUUAAGAAGUUCGUAAGCCAUACUGAUUACUUGAUUUAAAUAAAUUGAUUUCAUUUGGUUGAAAUAAGUCGAUAAAUGAUAAAUUACUGUUUAAUGAAAUGUUUUUAUAGUCUCAUUUUACUCGCCUUUAGAUGUUUUAAAUUAUAUUUGUUUACUCACUGAGAUUAUAUAAUCUCACCACCCUCCUUUCCAUCAAUUUCAGGCUCAGGAUAGUCGGUAGAUAGCUCAUUUCAUCGAUGGUUACAAUUGGACUGGCAUCCUCAAAAUAUGUAGGUUUAUCUCUUUGGAUACUUUUAGUCGUUCAUGGGCCCACGUGUCACUGCAAAUUUAAUUUUAUACUUUGAUUAUCUGUAUUACAAUAUAUAUGAAUUUAUUUUACUUUUACUCUGUAAAAAUUAUUUAUGCAGUGUUCUUAAAAUAUUGUUUUAUGAGAAAAUUGAAUAUUUUAUUCAAUAUUUUUAUUUUAUACUAAUAGUCAUAAUUUCAUUUUAAACGAAUGUUUUAGACAUCCAAAAUUAUUUUUGAUUAUAAAAUAUGUGUUUUCCACUUACAUACUAUAUUUUUAACUAAUUUUGAGAUUUUUUAGAAAAAUGACUAAAAUGCCCAUGUGAGAAAAUUUUCGUUUUAUCUGUUUUAAGUUAGAAAUAGCUCAAAAUCCUUUAGAACAUAAUAUUUGGCAAUAGUUACUCACCGGGGAAAACGAAAAACUGAUAUUAAGCCUUGCGGGAUUCUGGAUGGCAUUUUGAGAGAUAAGUGCCCAUCGGGACACUACGACAGUUGUCACGGGCUUAAAGGGAGUUUCGGGUCGUGACAAUUUUAGUGGUAUAAGAGCUUUUUGUUUUAAAGAUAAGAGUUUUUGGUUUUAAAGUUAUUUUAAAAACUACAAUGUCAGUGUGGCCCAAGUUAAGUUAAGUUAGUUAGGUUAAAUCAGGUUAGGUUGAGUAGAAUAUAUGCAUUAGUAUAUACAGCCUGAGGUAGCGUAAACACGCUUUGUUUCCUCUUAUAGAUUAGUAUGCCUCCUCGAUACGAACACCCACCUCUCACUAGAUCGGUUGGGAGGAGAAGAGGUCGUUCCCAACAUCGUCAGCUAGAUCCUAUAGAGGGGGAAUCGACUGCGUCUACUAUUCGGGCAGCACCUACUGUUGAACAGACCAAGACUUUUCCACUUCCUCCGCCUUUUCCGCUAUCUACUAGUAUUCCUGCCAUGCCUCCUGAGGCAGUUCAGGCAUUGGCAGCCUUUUUUAUUACUCUUGCUGGCCAGGCUCAGGCUGGUCCAGCUCUUCCUACAGAUCCUCCAACUGCUCCUUCAAUACCACCACCCCCACCUCCUGUCCCACCACCAGUGCUGGAUGUUUCUAAUUCUAAAAAGCUUAAAGAGGCUAGGCAACAUAGUUGUGUUUCUUGUAUGGGUGAGUCAGACGCAACUGUAGCUAAAGAAGUGGUGCGAAUGGCUUUAAGAGUUGAGAAGCUUAUGAAUGAAAAUAGGAGUCUGCGAGCUGAGUUAACAAAAAGGAGAAAUCUGAAUGUAUCUUUUAGUCAGCCACCAAAGAGGGGCAAAGACUCCUCUAUUUCAGGAAGUACUACUACUGUUUUAGUGACAUAUCCUCAAUCUCCAUUUCCACAAUCACAGCAGAGACCUUCGAGGUUUAGCGGAUCUACUAUGGCUGGUUCUGGGAAGAGUUCUAGAGGUUCUCAUAGAUGCAAAAAUUAUGGGAAUUAUCAUGUGGGGCUGUGUAGGGGGCCUGCACGAUGUUUUUAUUGUGGUCAGCCGGGUCACAUUAGGAGUGACUACCCACAGUUAGGACGGGCUACGACAGUUGCUCCAUCUCCACCAGCUCAUACAGAUAUGUAGAGGAGAGAUUCCUCUAGAUUACCACCGAGACUGGGAUGAUUUUGACAUACCACCAAGGGUAGAUUAAAUAUGCUGAAAAUAGUGCUCUAAUAAAGUGCAUAUGAUAGAAAGCUAGUUUGUAAGUUGUAGUUUUCAUGAUCAUAAAAUAUAUAAGGAUUAUUAAUAUAUGGACAUACACUUGGAGUUGUAAAUUACAAGUUUGGAGUAUUUACGAUAUGAUUAAAUGGAAUUAGCAUUAGGCAAGGCAUGUAAAUCUUCUAAUUAAAUUCUGUGGAGUGUGCAUGAUAGUAGAAUGGAGGAACAUAGUGUCGUGAUACUAUAUGGUGAAGUUACUAUACAAUAUGGAAAAAGCAUUCUAAAUUGGGAUUUAUUGAUUGAUGAUAAGUGACGGGCAAUCUGAUGAUACAUGUAGCUAUGAAUAAAUUUGGAGAUUUUUGCUUAAGCAAAUUCGUACUAAAUGUUAUGGUAAAGAUAUAUGAAUGUUAGUGGCAAAAUAAAUACGUUAAAUCAAUGUUUUGAUUGUGCACUUGUGAUGGAAAGUUAGUCUUGCUAAUUGUGGUAUAGACUCAGAGGGAAGCCACACGAUUGUGAAUAAUUGAGGUAGUAACUUUAAAGGUAAAAGAGUUACAGGGAUAAAGUAAAUUCAAACAGUUGCAACGCUAUACUACUGAUUAUCAAACGCUGUCACGUUAAGAACGCCUUAUGGUUAGAAAGCAUGAGUAGACUAUGAGCGGCAUAAAGAUGAAACUCACGAGUUGAAAUAUGGCUAUUGGUUUUGAUGCUAAGCUUUGUUGUUUGGAGUCUUCAGUGCAUUAGGGAGGUAUUAAGAUAAAGAUGAUGAGUGAAAUUGUAAAGUUUCUUUAUUGCCUUAUAUAUUGGCAUGUAAGAGAAAGAAAAGUUAGAGAGUUUUUGAGAUGGUUACAUAAAAAAAAUAAUAAAUUAACAUGUGGAGUGUUAAGAUGAAUAAUAUGAUGAUUGAAGUCAAAUCUUAAGAAAUAAGGAAGACAAGAGAUUAAGUCUUGUUAAAGACUAAUGAGGAAGCGAGCAAAAGGUUAGAUGAAUAUAUGAGAUGUUGAUAAGAGAUGUCAAUACCAAGUGAUGAGAGUGUGAAUGGAGAUUUCAAGAAUGAUAUAGCAAAUGAGUUUAUAUAGAAUAAUGUUAUGAGAAUGUACAAAUCUUGAUUUGACUUUGUUGAAAGGAAAGGAUUAGUGACAACACAAGUAAAUUAUGGGGUAUGAUAGAAACCCUUGGAGAUAAGUUGAAGCAUGAGUAGUUGGGCAUGCCUUUAUGGAAAUGAUAUACUUGGUGUAUAAAAGAGUAAAUAAGUGAUUAAGUGUUUCAAGAAUGUUUAAACAUCUUCAAGGAAGAAUUAUAAAUUAUAUGAGAUGAGCAUAAGAUGUGAGAUUUUUAAAACUUGUUGAGGAACUUAACGGCUAAGUCACAAGUUCAGUGAUCAUAUGUUGUGAGACAUAAGUUUAAGAUAGAUAUUCUCAAGGAAAUACUCAAGAGAAGUUUUGCUUUGGAUCUCGUUAAAGCAAGUACUAAGUUAUGUGAUUAUAAAAAGGAAGCUGUAAGCUGAAAGUGAUAUUCAUAUUAAUAUUAAAAAGUACUUGGGGGGAAUCUAGUUUCAAGUUUUACAAUUUCAAGUACAAUUUAUAAAUUGGAUAAGGAAGAAUGAUGUUAUGUUUAUAUGAAAGAGUGGAACAAAGGAUGAUAGAAGUUAACCUUGAAAAUGAAGUCAGAUAAAGAAAUUUUCCUAAGAUAGUAUGGGAAUUGGAAUUCAAAAAUGCUUGAGGCAUACAUGAUUCAAAUGAGUUUGAGUCUUAAGUGACAAAUUAAUAUCGGAAUGCAAUAAGGAUACAAUAUAUGUAAGAGGCAUGAAGGAUAAUCAAGGAAAAAUGAUGACUUUUAGGAAUUAUAGUAUUGCAUAAGAUGCAAUGAUUAAGUCAAGAUAAAUCUUUGAGAUAUCAAUGGGAUUAUAAAGCAUACACGUACAAUAGAUUAUAAUUCAAUGGAGAUGACAUUGUGAUGCAAUGAUAUAUAGUACAAGAAAACUCAAGCAUAUGGUUGGAAAUGAUAUGAAUGAUAUGAAGUUAUACGCAAGUAUAAUAAGAAGGUUGACAUGCACUAUAAGAAUUAUUAUAUUGAACUAGGAUUGGGAUGUGAAUAAAUAAAGGGAAAUGUAGUCCAAGGCAUGUGAACACAUGGAUCCCUAUACAUAACGAGAAAUGUUGACAUUUGAAAAUGCAUGUACAUAUGUAUAUAUGAAAUUGAUAAUUUUACUAACUAAAGUGAAGAAUGGUUCUUAGUGAUUGAGAGAUUUUGAAAUAGUGUCUAAAGAGGUCAGUGAGCUAAAGUGUUAACAGACAUGCAAUGAACGAUUAAAGUUAUGAGUGACUUUGAAGGUAAACUUUGAAUUGUUUAAGUUCUUAAUGGAACUCUAUCAAAGGAAGGGUAUGGACCAGUAUAAGAUGGAUGAAUCAAGGUUGAGAAAUUUGGCAUGAAGCAAAUUAAUAAAAUGAUGAUUAAGUAUACAUAAGUAAGUAUGAUAUGUGAUCGAAAUCAGUAUAAUUNNNNNNNNNNNNNNNNNNNNNNNNNNNNNNNNNNNNNNNNNNNNNNNNNNNNNNNNNNNNNNNNNNNNNNNNNNNNNNNNNNNNNNNNNNNNNNNNNNNNNNNNNNNNNNNNNNNNNNNNNNNNNNNNNNNNNNNNNNNNNNNNNNNNNNNNNNNNNNNNNNNNNNNNNNNNNNNNNNNNNNNNNNNNNNNNNNNNNNNNNNNNNNNNNNNNNNNNNNNNNNNNNNNNNNNNNNNNNNNNNNNNNNNNNNNNNNNNNNNNNNNNNNNNNNNNNNNNNNNNNNNNNNNNNNNNNNNNNNNNNNNNNNNNNNNNNNNNNNNNNNNNNNNNNNNNNNNNNNNNNNNNNNNNNNNNNNNNNNNNNNNNNNNNNNNNNNNNNNNNNNNNNNNNNNNNNNNNNNNNNNNNNNNNNNNNNNNNNNNNNNNNNNNNNNNNNNNNNNNNNNNNNNNNNNNNNNNNNNNNNNNNNNNNNNNNNNNNNNNNNNNNNNNNNNNNNNNNNNNNNNNNNNNNNNNNNNNNNNNNNNNNNNNNNNNNNNNNNNNNNNNNNNNNNNNNNNNNNNNNNNNNNNNNNNNNNNNNNNNNNNNNNNNNNNNNNNNNNNNNNNNNNNNNNNNNNNNNNNNNNNNNNNNNNNNNNNNNNNNNNNNNNNNNNNNNNNNNNNNNNNNNNNNNNNNNNNNNNNNNNNNNNNNNNNNNNNNNNNNNNNNNNNNNNNNNNNNNNNNNNNNNNNNNNNNNNNNNNNNNNNNNNNNNNNNNNNNNNNNNNNNNNNNNNNNNNNNNNNNNNNNNNNNNNNNNNNNNNNNNNNNNNNNNNNNNNNNNNNNNNNNNNNNNNNNNNNNNNNNNNNNNNNNNNNNNNNNNNNNNNNNNNNNNNNNNNNNNNNNNNNNNNNNNNNNNNNNNNNNNNNNNNNNNNNNNNNNNNNNNNNNNNNNNNNNNNNNNNNNNNNNNNNNNNNNNNNNNNNNNNNNNNNNNNNNNNNNNNNNNNNNNNNNNNNNNNNNNNNNNNNNNNNNNNNNNNNNNNNNNNNNNNNNNNNNNNNNNNNNNNNNNNNNNNNNNNNNNNNNNNNNNNNNNNNNNNNNNNNNNNNNNNNNNNNNNNNNNNNNNNNNNNNNNNNNNNNNNNNNNNNNNNNNNNNNNNNNNNNNNNNNNNNNNNNNNNNNNNNNNNNNNNNNNNNNNNNNNNNNNNNNNNNNNNNNNNNNNNNNNNNNNNNNNNNNNNNNNNNNNNNNNNNNNNNNNNNNNNNNNNNNNNNNNNNNNNNNNNNNNNNNNNNNNNNNNNNNNNNNNNNNNNNNNNNNNNNNNNNNNNNNNNNNNNNNNNNNNNNNNNNNNNNNNNNNNNNNNNNNNNNNNNNNNNNNNNNNNNNNNNNNNNNNNNNNNNNNNNNNNNNNNNNNNNNNNNNNNNNNNNNNNNNNNNNNNNNNNNNNNNNNNNNNNNNNNNNNNNNNNNNNNNNNNNNNNNNNNNNNNNNNNNNNNNNNNNNNNNNNNNNNNNNNNNNNNNNNNNNNNNNNNNNNNNNNNNNNNNNNNNNNNNNNNNNNNNNNNNNNNNNNNNNNNNNNNNNNNNNNNNNNNNNNNNNNNNNNNNNNNNNNNNNNNNNNNNNNNNNNNNNNNNNNNNNNNNNNNNNNNNNNNNNNNNNNNNNNNNNNNNNNNNNNNNNNNNNNNNNNNNNNNNNNNNNNNNNNNNNNNNNNNNNNNNNNNNNNNNNNNNNNNNNNNNNNNNNNNNNNNNNNNNNNNNNNNNNNNNNNNNNNNNNNNNNNNNNNNNNNNNNNNNNNNNNNNNNNNNNNNNNNNNNNNNNNNNNNNNNNNNNNNNNNNNNNNNNNNNNNNNNNNNNNNNNNNNNNNNNNNNNNNNNNNNNNNNNNNNNNNNNNNNNNNNNNNNNNNNNNNNNNNNNNNNNNNNNNNNNNNNNNNNNNNNNNNNNNNNNNNNNNNNNNNNNNNNNNNNNNNNNNNNNNNNNNNNNNNNNNNNNNNNNNNNNNNNNNNNNNNNNNNNNNNNNNNNNNNNNNNNNNNNNNNNNNNNNNNNNNNNNNNNNNNNNNNNNNNNNNNNNNNNNNNNNNNNNNNNNNNNNNNNNNNNNNNNNNNNNNNNNNNNNNNNNNNNNNNNNNNNNNNNNNNNNNNNNNNNNNNNNNNNNNNNNNNNNNNNNNNNNNNNNNNNNNNNNNNNNNNNNNNNNNNNNNNNNNNNNNNNNNNNNNNNNNNNNNNNNNNNNNNNNNNNNNNNNNNNNNNNNNNNNNNNNNNNNNNNNNNNNNNNNNNNNNNNNNNNNNNNNNNNNNNNNNNNNNNNNNNNNNNNNNNNNNNNNNNNNNNNNNNNNNNNNNNNNNNNNNNNNNNNNNNNNNNNNNNNNNNNNNNNNNNNNNNNNNNNNNNNNNNNNNNNNNNNNNNNNNNNNNNNNNNNNNNNNNNNNNNNNNNNNNNNNNNNNNNNNNNNNNNNNNNNNNNNNNNNNNNNNNNNNNNNNNNNNNNNNNNNNNNNNNNNNNNNNNNNNNNNNNNNNNNNNNNNNNNNNNNNNNNNNNNNNNNNNNNNNNNNNNNNNNNNNNNNNNNNNNNNNNNNNNNNNNNNNNNNNNNNNNNNNNNNNNNNNNNNNNNNNNNNNNNNNNNNNNNNNNNNNNNNNNNNNNNNNNNNNNNNNNNNNNNNNNNNNNNNNNNNNNNNNNNNNNNNNNNNNNNNNNNNNNNNNNNNNNNNNNNNNNNNNNNNNNNNNNNNNNNNNNNNNNNNNNNNNNNNNNNNNNNNNNNNNNNNNNNNNNNNNNNNNNNNNNNNNNNNNNNNNNNNNNNNNNNNNNNNNNNNNNNNNNNNNNNNNNNNNNNNNNNNNNNNNNNNNNNNNNNNNNNNNNNNNNNNNNNNNNNNNNNNNNNNNNNNNNNNNNNNNNNNNNNNNNNNNNNNNNNNNNNNNNNNNNNNNNNNNNNNNNNNNNNNNNNNNNNNNNNNNNNNNNNNNNNNNNNNNNNNNNNNNNNNNNNNNNNNNNNNNNNNNNNNNNNNNNNNNNNNNNNNNNNNNNNNNNNNNNNNNNNNNNNNNNNNNNNNNNNNNNNNNNNNNNNNNNNNNNNNNNNNNNNNNNNNNNNNNNNNNNNNNNNNNNNNNNNNNNNNNNNNNNNNNNNNNNNNNNNNNNNNNNNNNNNNNNNNNNNNNNNNNNNNNNNNNNNNNNNNNNNNNNNNNNNNNNNNNNNNNNNNNNNNNNNNNNNNNNNNNNNNNNNNNNNNNNNNNNNNNNNNNNNNNNNNNCAUUUUGAGAGAUAAGUGCCCAUCGAGACACCGCAGCGAUUGUCACGAGCUCGAAGGGAGUUCCGGGUCGUGACAUAUUAUCUCUAAAGUACAUUGAUUUAUUUAGAGACAAAUUGGAUGACUAAUAAUUAAAUUUUGAUUGGUCAAAAAUAUGAAUUUUUUUUUAUAAUUAAGGGAGAUGAUUCGAACCUUGCUUUUUUAAGUAGGGGAUCAUGCACCAAUCAAUGAGCCAAAUACUCAGAUGCGGUUAAAAAUUUGAAUAUUAUCUCUAAAUUACUUUUAUUUAUUUAGAGACAAAUUGGAUGAUCAAUAAUUAAAUUUUGAUUGGUCCAUUUUAAAUAUUAUCUUCCAAUUAUCUUAAGUGAUAAAUAUAUGACACAUAGGUGAAUUGGUUCAACUAUGUGUCUUUGAAAUAAUCCAACCAAUAAAUUAAUUAUUUUAUAAUUAAUUACAUGAUUAUGACAUCAUCAAGUCCACAUGGUGGCAAUUGGAUUAUAAUGUUUCUCCUUCUGGAAAUGCCCCCUCAACUUGAUAUCUUUAUCACGAACUAAACUUGAUAUCUUGAUCACAAAGUUUGUUGCCGCUUGAUAUCUUCACUUCAAAAAUCUUUUACUCUUCUCGAUUAUUCAAAUGUUCUCCAUCUUCGAAUGCUUCUGAAUGAAUCAAAUGGCUUCGAGGAGGCCCCUAUUUAUAAUGCUAGAUGAGAGACUUUGAUAAGGAUGUGGUCUUUUUGAAUUAUCUCUAAAUUAUCUUAAUUUAAUUAGAGGUAAUUUUUGAUAACUCAUUGAAAGUCUUUUGAUUGGCCGGACUUUGAGUCUUUCAAUUUUGAUUGGCCAAAUUUAAGUUUUAUCUCUAAAUUUUCUUAGAGAUAAAUUAAAUAAUCAAAUUUGAUUUUUACCUCUAAAUUAUCAUUUAUUAGAGAUAAAUUAGAUGACCAAUAAUUAAAUUUUGAUUGGCCAAAAAUAUGAAUAUUAUCUCUAAAUUAUCUUGAUUUAUUUAGAGACAAAUUAGAUGACCAAUUAUUAAAUUUUGAUUGGUCAAAAAUAUGAAUAUUAUCUCUAAAUUACCUUGAUUUAUUUAGAAUCAAAUUGGAUGAGCAAUAAUUAAAUUUUAAUUGGUCUAAUUUAAAUAUUAUCUUCAAAUUAUCUCAAGGGAUAAAUAUAUGACACAUAGGUGAAUUGGUUCACCUGUGUCUUCGAAAUAAUCCAAUCAAUAAAUUAAUUAUUUUAUAAUUAAUUACAUGGUUAUGACAUUUCAAGUCCACAUGACGACACAUAAUUGAAUCAUAAUAUUUUUCCUUCUACAUACCUAUUUAAGUAUAUUAAAUUGUUGUUCUUGGCCUCCAAAUUAGAGAUCAAAAUUCUUAUUUCGAAUUAUUAAAUGAAAGUAUAUACUAUUAACUUUUUCAUCAAAAUUUUAAUUUUCAAUCUCUAAAUUAAACAAAAAGUUAACAUCGUUUUGAGUUGUUUGUAUCUUUUCCCUUUUCAUUUCUUUAUUAUUUUUUCAUUCAUUACUUAUCAUUCGAAAAAAUAGAAUAUAAAUGCUAAUAAUUGGAUAUCUGGAACUUGAUUCAUAAUUUCCAUCAACACUUUAACUAUAAGAUCGUUUAUUAUACAAGUACGAAUUUAAUUAACAAGUUCUCUUCAAAUUUUUUUAUUAUUUCCCAUUCUAAUUUGUUGCUUAGGAUGUUAGUAUUUGAUCUAGAAUAAGCUCAAUAAGAUAUUUAGAUUUUUAAAUGCUUUACUUUUUUCAAACAUUGACAUUACCUACUAUGUUUAAAUUGAAAAAGGAAGUACCUGAGGAGUGGCGACAUCUCUUUUUCAAGUCUUUGCAAAAUGUUUUAAGUUGUUUUAUAGUAAUGAAUUUCAAGUCAAGUCUUCUCAAAUUGAAAAUUUAUGUCUAGAAUCAAAAUUAAAUUAAUGGAAUAAAAAAGAAAAGUGUAUGUGUCAUGUUAGAAUGAAAAGCAUCAAAGCCACUGUAUCCUAUCCCUUGUGAGACGUUAGUAGGAUUUGUAUAUUUUUCUUGAAUUCUCAUUUGAUGUGUACUUUUAUUGUAGGCUUAUUGAGAUAUGCUUAUUAGACUGAGAAAUAUCUCAUUUGAGAUAUGUUAUUGAGAUAUGCUUAUUGAGAUAGGAAAUUGCUGGAAAAGUUUUCUGAUCCUUCCACUGCAAUUGCAUUUUCACGUUAAAAGCACUUUUCUAAAAGUUAAAAAGGAAAAGCUGUUCUUGUAGAAAAAAAAAGCACGAAAGCGUGUUGAAGGUACACAUUUAAAUUCAAUCUCUUUCAUACAGUUGUUUAUCGAAUGAUUGUAUGUAGUUUUUGCUCAACAAAUUUGUUAAGAUAAUUAUACAAAUUAUUUAGUUAAAACUACUAGACAAUACUAUAAUCUAGUUAGAUGACAAUAUUUAAUUAAUAAUUAUAUUAUAAUACUGUUAAUUAAUUAGAAUUAAAUUAUAAAUAAAAUUAGGAUAACAUACAUAAUUUAGAUUUCUCAAUCAAAAUAAAAAAUGAGGAUAGGUUUAACCAAAGAAAAAAAAACUCACCAACUCGGACAAAAAGCAUCCCAAAGAAAUGCAAAAGCAGCAGCAACAACAAAGAUUAGUCGAGGAGCUGAAACUAAUCUGCAAAAAUAAAAGCAGAAGCCAUCACGUAAUCAUCCCUCAGCAGCCAAAAACUAAUAAAACAGAGAACCAAUAGCGCAAGAAUGAAGCAAAGAAAUGCAAGCUCACACAACCAGCAGAAACGAAAAUCACAUCAAAGGUUCAAAGAAGCGAGAACCAACCAAUAAUUAACCGCAAUGAAUCCCAUGAAACAAUCGGCAAAAUCAAAAUCCAUUCAAGCAGAUCAGGAUGAAGCUUAAACAGAGUGAAGUAACAACAGAUAUUGAUCCCCCCCAACACCGGGCUUGGCAAGUGAAUCAGCAAUAGUGUUUCCAGAUCUAAUAGCGUGUUGAAUUUGCCACUGUUUAACUUUACUAGCCAAAACAAGGAUAUGAAGCACUUGAUUCCUCAAAUUCCAUGGAGCCAAAUCAGGGGACUUAGUCCAUUUAAUAGCUCUAACUGAAUCACUUUCAAGAAUCUACCAGUGAGAAGAUGCCCAUGUUGAAGGCUUGUAUGAUCUAAUUCUCUUUGGGCCAAAUCCGUGGACAUUAAGUUCUUAAGUUCUUUUCCAGUUCUUCUGGAAAUCUUUUCGCAAAAACUCUACAGUAACUGGCAGCAGCUAAUUUACUGAUUUAAUGUGCGUUAGAGAAAGAUUGUUGGAGUUAAAUCAAUGCUGCAAACCUGUGUUAAAAAUCAAACUUGAGGAAGGCUAACUGUUAAUGACUUUUGACACCUUACCAUAAAUCAAAUCUUUUCCUUUAGAAUUAGAAACUGAACAUAGCCAUCUCAGCACUUUGAUUUUACUCUUAAAAGAAAUAAUUAAGUAUCAAUGAUGUAACUAAUACAUACAUGAGGUGCUUGUAGUGAGUUUCCCUCCACUUUCCUUUGGUAUUUUAGGAAAGCAAAUUGAAAAGGAAAAAAUGGCCCUUCUUAAUAAAUUUAGAAAUCUCUGAGUCAAGAAAACAUGGAUUUCCAAAACCAAUAUAUCAGAAUCAAAAGUACCACCGUUAGGUAGGUAGCCUUAAAGUGAAAUUGUGAGAUCACUAGUAUUUAUCUUUUGGAUUGAUUAUAUAGUAAAUGUGAGUAAGCAUUGAAUUAAACUAGAAGAAAAGAAAAUCCAGAUUUGUCGAAAAAUCUAAUCCAAAGAGCUAAAAAAACAAAAUAUUAUUUACUGAUCUGAAACUUUCAGUAAUGAAAUCUGGAAUUUCCUCUAUGUACUUCAAACAUUUCCUAGUAUAGAACUCAACAACUAGAAGACAUAAAGUUUUGAAACAAAAAAAACAUUCUCUGCAAUAUUACUAAAAGGACUAAAUGAAUCCAAGCAGCAGUAUGUUACAUGCUUACAAAGAAUAGCUGAAGCUUACAUUUUAGCAGAUCCUACAGAAGUAAAGAACCCCAACAUCUUGACAACUAGGUCACUAUGGGAAAAAAAAAAAAGAAUACAUAGAGUUAAAAACUUUAUUGGAAACUAUUUAUCAAAGUUCGAAGAGUUGCUUAUAGUUAUAUGGAACAGCUGUCUUCAGAGUACUAGUCGUAUUGGCUUAUUUCUUCCUCUAGGUUUGUGGAUUUGCCUUCUGACUCUUUGGUGUGGGGCUCUCUGGAUUAUCUUCACUAGCCAAGCUGGUUUUCCUGUUGUGAAUACAAUGUAUCCCAUGCUCAAUCUCAACACAAGUCCACAUCCAUAUCCCAUCAUUGCAAAUUUCCAAGUAAAUGCUCCUCCUUUAUCAUCAUCUUCAUCAAAUAUUGACGGAGGAGGUUCUCUUCCCUCACUUUCGCCACAUUCAUUUGACAAUGGAAACCCACAAAACCGUAAGUUACCUACGUAGGAAUUAUUUGUGAAAGUAUCAAACUGAUUUCCUUUAGGAACCGGUCCCAUGAGAUUGUUUUGAGAAAGAUUUAACACCGCAAGAAAUAUCAGAUUCCUUAAUUGCAUAAGGAUGCUUCCUUCAAUCAUAUUUGAUGAGAGAUCUAAUGAUUCGAGUGCUAACAACUUCCCCAAUGAUAGUGGGAUAUGACUUGUAAGGCUGUUAUGAGAGAAAUUGAGCACCAAAAGAUCUUUAAGUUCUCCGAUUACUUCAGGAACCUGUCUUUCGAAUUGAUUGCUUGAAAAAUCAAUAGUUGUGAAAAUAUCUAAUUUUUUUCAAAAUUUAUCUCCAAUCCUUUGAUUGUUAUAAUUAUGGAAUCAUGAUAAUAUAACUCUUCAAUAUAAUAUGGACCGGUAGGAUCUACAUGGAUAUCCUUCAUAGCCUUCAAAUUUUGAAAGAAUGUAGUUGGCAAGUGGCCAUUGAACUCAUUUGAGAGAGAUCAAUGAUUCUCAAACUAGUAAAGAUAGAUGUGCCCCUCAAAUUUGGUGCCGGCCCAUGAAAUUUAUUCGAUUGCAGGACAAGGAUUUGCAGACAUGAAAGUACACCUAACCAAUGAGGAAAGGAGUCUUUCAAGUUACUGUUGCCCAAAUCUAAAACUUCCAAUUCACUGCAAUUCAUCAAAGAUCGUGUUACGGAUCCUUCUAGAUGGUUGUCAUUGAGGUUAAUGCUUUUCUACAAACUACCUUCUUGGGAUUUUGCCAUCGAAGUUAUUCAUUCGUAAAUUCAUAACAGACAGGGAACCACAAUUUCCAAGACAUUUUGGAAUGAUCCCACUCAAGUUGUUCUUUGACAAGUCGAGGACUUGAGGGAAAGUUAUAUCGUAAAACCCUGAAGGGAUUUCUCCAGUCAAUUCAUUUUCUGAAAAUGAAGAGGUGAUGUAUUGACAUUGGUGGAGUUGGAAGUGGUACUUGAAGUGAAUUUGAGUGAAGGUCAAGAGUCUGAAGAGUCUUCCCAGGAAAUUGCUCUACAUUUGUUAACAAAUUGAAAGAAAGGUCCAAGUAUCUCAACUCUCCCACCCUUCGGCUUCCCAUUUGGAUAUGGAACCCUGAAUUUUGUUAUUAGAAAGAUCUAAAUCGGACAAAGUCUCGGAUGCUCUUCAGAAACUUGGGAAUUGUUGUAUGUUGCGCAAAGAGAAAGACAAAGUAUAUAGCUCGGGGAAGGUAAUUGACAUCAUUGCUACAUCUACUCAAUGAUAAUAAACCGUUAUUUGAAAGAUCAAUCUCUUGUAAAUUUCUAAGCUUUGAAAGCAUGCAUGGCUCAAUGUUGCCACUCAAAUUAUUUGAUGAAAGAUCAGGAAAAGCAAGGUUCACUGGUAGACUAAACAGCCAACCUGGUACUCUGCCAUUAAGCAAGUUUGCAGAUAAAGGAGGUUUUGACGAUUUGAAAGUCCACUUACGUUGUCUGGAAGGGGUCCCGCUAAAUGGUUAUUGUUCAAGCCUAUGUCAGUAAGUCUAGUGAGGUUAAAUGCUGAUGAUGGCAAUAAACCAUGGAAAUUGUUAAAAGAAAAAUACAACUUAAUUAGUUUCUUGAAGUUCCCAAAAACAUCUGGAAUAUGACCUUCAAAAUUGUUAAAUUUUAAAUGUAAGAAAGUAAUUUUGGUGAGGUUUCCAAGAGAUAAAGGGAUUGACCCUGUGAAAUGACAAAAAGAAAGGUCAAGUUCUUCCAAGUUUUCAAGAUUUCCCAUUGAGUCUGGUAACUCCUCUAAGAAACUUGUUCCUGAAAGGUGCAAAAAUCUAAGAGAAGUACUCCGAUUUGAUUUAGGGAGAUAACCACUGAGAUUAGGAUUACGGAUUAAUAAGAUUUUUUCUAGAUAUGGAAAGCUGAAAUUUUCACUUGGAAAUUUCCCUUGCAGUUGACAGACAUAGAGACUCAAACACUUUAACGAGGAAGUCAAGUUCAGAAAGGAAUUUGGUCUAACCAAACACAUAUCCACUUGGUCAAGGAAAAGAUUUUCUUACUUUGUUAGGUUAUGCACAAGCAUGUUAAAAUGAUGGUUGUCGAGCUUUAAAAGAAGAGAUGACUGAUCAAGUGAACCCAGUUCUGCCAAAGGAGAGAUAUGCUCUGUAACUGAACAGUCGAUGCCUAUAUGAGAAAGAUUGAGAUAGGUUAGACUCCUCAAUUUACUAAACUCAGGAGGAAUUUGAGAACCAGUGAACUCGAGGUGAGCAAGGUUAGGCCAACGGAGAUCCUGAAGCAGGAAGAGGCUGCUGUUGGAUGGAAGACUUUCUUUAAGUCGACUACAACUGAGAUCAAGGCCAAUCACGUGACCCGUCAUGCUAUGGCAUGUGACACCCUCCCAGGAGCAACAGUCUCUACUUUGGCUCCAGAAUUCUGUCUUAGGAUAAGAAUCACCACAGGCAAAGCAACUAGGAAAAGACAGGCUGCUCUUGAACUGGAUCAAAGCAGAACUAUGUUCAGGAGGGCAUAAUUGUGGAAGAGGAGGAGAUGACAGAAGAUUGUUCACAAGAUUAUUAGGCUUAGUUUGUAGGUAACAUUUAGUUUCCGGAGUACCAUAAACAAAGAUUUGCACAACGAACAUUCUUGAGCUUUUAUUAGAGUAGUGCAAGCUUCAAACUUUUAUUUAGGAACUAAGUAAGUGAGGUGGUUUGUCCGUCUCCAAGGGCUGCAAUGGCACCAUAUUUGUUUUUUUAAAAAAAAUUAAUUGGAUUUCAUUAUCAGAAACCAGGAAUAGGCUCCCUAGAGAACAAAAGAGCACAUGAUUUUAAGAUGCUAUGCCUUGAUCAGCAUAUCAUCUCAAAAUUUUGUCAUCUUGCCAAAAGAAAACCAGCUUACAAAGAACCCCAUAAAAACCCCUAUCAUCAAUAUACAAAAAACAAAAUGAAACAGCAAAUAGCCUCAAUAAGAAACCACAAGUCUCCUUGUGCAAAAGUCAUUCUUGAAAGGAAAGUCAGCAAGCUUGCAAUCUGAUCAAAAACUCAGGCCCUUAUAUCACGGACCUUGGCUCAAAAGCCUAACCAUCUCAGCCAAGUAAAUGUCAAAAAGCAACAGAGAGAAACGAUCAAACCUGAAGCUUGAAUUCUUCACGCAGCCGUUCAAAGAAAAAGAAUAAAAAUCUCCAGCCUCUUUACUACUCAAAGGCAUUCAAUAAAUCCUCUUAACGUCUGACCCCUUCUGUCGCUAGACUAUAUGCAAAUUGAUUCUUUUCUCUAAAGAUAUGGUUGACUUCCCACCCUUUAAUGUUCCUUUUCAAACUUUCAACGUGCAUGAUCCACUUCCUUAGCCUCCAAAAAUAAGGAGACUUGUAAGGACCGACCGGAGUAAAGUGACCCUUCCACCUAUUAUUAGCACCUUUGCCUUCCAUCUUGCCAACCUAGCCUCAAAUUUCUCAAUAAUAGGAUUCCACAUUCUAACAGAAUUCUGCUUGGCUCCGAUUGGAAGUUCUAGAUACACAAAGGGUAUUUCUCCUAUUCUACAAUCUAUACUUUCCACCCCCCUUCUCCAUGUUUGAUUAUCCACUCCUAUUCCUAUCACCCUACUCUUGUUGAAAUUGAUUUUUAACCCCGAAAUGAGUUGGAAACAUCUCAAGACUCUUUUGGCAAUGCUGAGAUUCUCAACUUUCGGUCUACAAAAAACCAUGGUAUCAUCGGCAAAUUGAAGGUGUGAGAUUAAGAGGUCAUUGUUACCUAUUGGUACGCCUUGAAGAAUAUCGAAAGCUUCAGCUUUCUCCAUGAGUCGACUAAAAGCCUCUGCCACAAUGUUGAAGAGAAAAAGGGAGAGUGAGCAACCCUAUCGAAGUCCUCUCUCCAUCCUAAAAGGUUCCGUAGCAACUCCAUUCACAAGCACAGAGAUUUUCACUGUUUGAAGAUAGCCCCUCAUCCACUUUCUCUACCUUUCCCUAAACCUCAUUUUUUUUCAUAAUAAACUGAAGGAAUCCCCAAUCCACACUAUCAUAGGCCUUUUCAAAGUCAACUUUCAAAAGAAAGACUACCUCUUGUCCCUUUUUCAGCAGAUCAAUAACUUCGUUUUCAAUGAGAGCACAAUCCAUAAGCUGUCUUCCUUUUACAAAAGCAAACUGUUUCUCUCCAAUAACUUCACCAAUGACCAGUCGGAGCCUAUUAGCUAGGAGCAUUGCGACAAUCUUGUAUAAGCUCCAUACAAGACUAAUCGGUUUAAACUCCAUGAUGGGGCUUGGAUUAGAGACUUUCGAGAUUAGCGUAAUGAAAGAGUUAUUCAAUCCCUUUUCAAGCUGUUCUUUUUCCUAAAAAUCCUCAAGACACUUCAUAACUUCUUCUUUAACCAAGUGCCAUUAGUUCUUAAAAACACUAAGGUUGAAGCCGUCCUGCCUAAGUGCUUUUUCUCCAUCACAACUGCAUAUAGUCUCCCACACUUCUUUGCUAGAGAAACCUUUUUCUAAAAAAUUUGAUGCCUCUUCACUCAAAUUUUUAAAUUGACAAUGAAAUUCUUUUAAAGGCAACACUUUUCUUCUUUUGUAGAAAUCAGUAAAGUACUUGGCAAUCUCACUUUUGAUACCUUCUGGCUCACUGAUGCUUAGAUUCCCCAUUUGCAGAUGUCGAAUUGUGUUGUUACGCAUUCUAAUGGAGGCCAUGGUGUGAAAAAAUCAGGUAUUACGAUCCCCAUCCAUUACCCAUUUAAGACAUGAUUUUUAUGUCAUUCCCUAUCUUCUUUUUUGUACAAACCCCAAAGUUCAGCUAUUUUGUUCAUCACAACUUGACGCUCUCCCUCUUCCACCCUUCCCUGUUGCCACUUUUCAUUAAUUUCAUGUAGCUCAACUUUUAAUUUUGUAAUUUUUUCACUUAUGUUUCCAAAUGCUUUUUUCUGCCAUUCUUUCAACACUGGCUUUAAUCCCUUGAGUUUCAUCCAUAUACCUUUUUUCCUCCCCCCACAGCCUUGCGAAGUCCUCUAGUACUCUUUCACUAACUUAUGGAAACUCUCUUCUUCCAUCCAGUGGUUGAAGAAUUUGAAAGGUCUGGGGCCCCAAUCCACUCUCCCUAGGCCCAAGAUGAUCGGGUUGUGAAAUGGAGACUGGUAAACACCUCUGGACCAGUUCGUUGUCAUUUUCCAUCAGCUUCACAUCCACCAAGAAUUAAUCAAGUCGACUAAAAGUAGGAUCCUCUAGAUUGUUACAUCAAGUGAAUUUAGAUCCGACCAGUGGUAAAUCAAACAACCCCACCUCAUUGAUGAAUUUGUUGAAUCAUGCAGCAGCUUUUCUCACAUCUCCUCUUUCAAUUCUUUCAUCUUCUAUCCUUACUGUGUUGAAAUCUCCUCCCAGUACCCAACAUAAAUCAUUACCAGUGACAAUUUGUUUUAAUUCUUCCAACAUUUCAUUUCGAUCUCUUUCAUCAUUUGGUGCAUAAAUGUUCCCAAGACCACACCUAGUAUUGCUCUUAGUAAUCACCCCAAUAAGAAUAAUGUAGUUUCUGUGACUAAUCACCUCUUCUAGCUGAAAAAAAUUUUCCUACCACAUACAUAAUAAACCUCCUACUCUACCAUCUAAACUAACAGCAUUACUCAUAAUUUUAUCUUUAACCCACAGUCUCUCAUACAUUCCUUCAUAAACAUUCUGCACUUUUGUUUCCUGUACAAAAACCAUAUUUGGCUUACAUCUGCCAAUGGCUCUCCUCAGUGCUCUCCUUUUUUUCCCCUACCUAAACCUCUGAUAUUCCAUGAUAGUAGAUUCAUAAAAAAAAAACACAACACCGAAAUUCUUACCUGACUCCCUGUUUUGGUGUUCCUUACUUCUUCCCUUCCUCUGCCUCUGCCAUUUGUUUCAAGACCUCGUUCCUCUCAGCAUCAAAUUCCAAACUUAAGCAUCUGCUUACCUCCAUAGUCUGCAAUGCCUCCUUCCAUAUGGUUUCACAUCUUGAAUCAACCCUUGAAAUUUCUCCAUGAAGUCCCUCUAAUUUCUUUUUUCGUGAUUUCACUCUAUUUUUUUUUAAUUCUUUCUUACCUUUUUUUAUUGUUUGUUUUUUUUUUUUUUUACAUUAACUUUCCCUUCCCUUAUUGCCGUUAUUUCUGUUUGUUCUGUUUCCUUUGCUCCUCCUUCUGUUUCUUGAUCCUUUAUUUUCUUUUGUCCCAUAUUGUUCUUUUUGUCCUUGCUUUCCCUCGACUUAAUUCUCCUUUGCCUUCCUUCAUCUUUCUCUUUAACUAGGUCCAUAAGCAUUAUAUCAUUUGACAUUGACAAACCCGGAUCUUUAAACUUCUGUUCCAACACCUUUCCUUGUCUUCUUAGCUUGGUUUCCACCACCCUUAACCUCUCUUCAUGGACUGAGCUUUGAGCUCCUCCACCAAAACACCUUUCUCCUUCACUAGAUUCUCUUUGUCCUAUCGUAUUAUCUUUCUCUUAAUUUUUCUUCCCCUUUCUAUUUUCCUGAUGAUUAUCAACUGAACCAACUUUUGAGCUGUCACACAAGUUGUUUCUCCUUUGUAAGCCUAAGCUUACUUUUCUCCUAUCUUGAUCUUUUGCCCCACUAGGCCCGUAAUCCAUUCUCAGGUAAUGAAGGCCCUCUCUCCCUCUUUGAAAUGCAGAAUUCCAGCCUCUCAUCUCUUCUUCUGGGCUUGUAGAACCUUCACUAGUGGCCCACUCUCUUUAUGAAACUAUACAUGUUUCCUUGCCCUUUCUUGAUGGCCUACAUGUUGCUUUUUUUGACUUUGGACUACUACUUUGUUGAUUGGCCCCACUUUCUUUUUCGUUUGACCCUAACUUCUCCUUUUCCAUUUCAAUGUGUGUGGCUUUCUUCCCCGAUUUCAAAUUUCCCUCCCUUUUCUCUUUUCCCCCCUUUGGCUUGCUCUGAACAGUCCUAUCAACUUUCUGUUGUGUUCUCUUAAGUGAAACAAGUGCAUCAUAUCUAUUUUCUAUCACCUUUCCUUGGUUUUGUUCCCUAUAAUUUAUCUGACCCAUUGAUUUCCCCUUAAGUGCCACCUCAUCAUCAUCCAUGGUGGUUGAUUUCCUCCCCAUUGUGUUAUGUUUCUCCACCCAUCAGACCUCAUUUUGCUCUAUCGGUCUUGGUUCACAACAUGCCCAUGCUUUGCAUAAGGCCUCAUCGCAGGCUUGCCUCUCCAUAUCACAUGAUUCCUCCCUAAUGAUCGAUGUUCUCAUUAUGUAUGCUUUCCCAUUCACUAUGAUCUGUUGGUUCACGGGGACAUUCUUUUUGCUCAUUAUUUCAACUUUGAUGACAGCCACAUCCAACCGACUUCUCCUUUCAGUUUCCUGGUCAACUUUAAGAAACUUUCCCCAGCAAUUACCAAUUUCUUCAAACAUUUUCAAGUUCCAUAGAUGAGUAGGAAGUUCCUCAAUUUUCACCCAUACUUGGUAUCUCCGUUCAUCUUUCUCCAUGUUGUAUGGCUUGAUGUUUUCAAACCAAACUGAGAAAAUGUCAUAAUAUUGGUCAAGCACGACUUCCAUUUCACCUUUGUUGCCAAAAGUGACUAUCACGUUGAGGCCUCCUGCUUGUCUCACAAGCACCAUAAUACCUUCCUUUUGCAAAUAACUUUGCACCUCUCUAUAACAUAUAUGACUUUCGAGAUGCCCUAAAGCACUACAUCUAAGCCAUUCAACCUCAUCCCCUGUAAUUUCAACUCUUAUUCCAUCCACCUUAUUCAAACCAAUCCCUGCCUUUGAGAUAGUUCUCCUAUUAUACCAUUAGUUACUACUUCUUUGUAUGACGACAUGCCUCUUUCUCUGAUAAGUUCUUUUAUCUUUUUUUGGACCAUUUGGUUCCUUCCUCUGCUUCCAUCCUUGGCCUUAUCAGCUUAUUUGACUAUCAGAAACCUUCCAUCCAGUUCAAUAUUUUGGCCAUACCUUAUCGCUUUUAACAGCUCAUCUUAAAAGCGAUAUCGGACAAAAGUAUAUUUUGUUUCUCUUUUUUCUAACUGUUUUGGAAUAAAGAAAUCCACAACGAUUCCAAAUCGGUCAAAAAAGUUUUUUAGGUAUUUCCAUUGCACUCUGCUGCUCACGUUAUUGACGAAAGCAGUGAAGACCCUAUUUGUCCACCUCAAAAAAUCCUAUAUUCUGUUCCUCUCUUCCCAGUUUGCCGCCCGUGUCCACCCUUCUCCCUCUCUUGCAGUCUUUCCUAAGCUACGGUAAUCUAACCAAUCUCUUACUCUCACUCUUUCUCUUCCUCAACGUCUAUUUCUCUCAACUUCUCUCUCUAAUUCUCUCUUAUGCUCUCUCAUUUUUUUUUCUUUGCCACCAUUUUUGUUACCGUCAGGCACUGUAAGUACUAAGAUUACCCUGGAUUGUUAUAGUAACAUAUUUGGAUCCUUUUCAUUUCGAACUAGCAAUUAUACAACAAUUAUAGAAUUAAUGUGGUUUGCAACCUACCUCUUCACGGUUAAGAGUCCAUUCCAGGAGCUGUCGCUUAGAUCAUUUGCAACAAUGAGUCAGUUGGAAAAUUUCCAUAACAAAACUCAUUGUUCUCAUCAAAAGAUUCAUAGAAACCUCCAAAGAAAGGCUUAUAAACAUUUUGAGAUAUUUUUAAUGGCUUUUGAUUAUAGAUUUGCCGUGGACAAAAAGAGUAGGGAGUGAACAAAAAAGAAGCCAUGAUUAAUCGUGGCUAGAUAUUAGCUUUGCAAGUUUGAUCUGUAUUUAAGAAAAAUGUUGGAGUUAAAACUUAAAACCAAUGCUGAAAAAGUUUAUUAAAAAUUGAACACAUAGCUAUCUCAACAUUUCAGUUUGACCUUGCAAACAAAUAAUUAAAUAAUAAAUAAAAACAGGUUAGCAUAUGCAGGCCAAAAAAUUGAUUUGUAAGCUAAUAGUAGUGUAAUAAAAGAAUGAAGCAAAUCCAAAACUAAUGUGCAUCUAAUUAAUUUCUUCCUUCAAAUUUUCUUUUGAUGAUUGGAAAAAUAAACUUAAAAGGAAAAAUAUAGCUUCCUAAAUCAAGUUAAAUAAACUGAGCAAACAAAACAUGAAUUUCCUUAUUAUCUUUCUUAUGUAUCUUAAGUUGCUGUAGCAGAAAGUGAAACUUACUUCAACGUAGAAUUGUGAAGAUGAACAGUGAUCAAGUUAUUAUGAAUAUAUUGUCUUAUUGUGCUCUAUUCCAAUGCCUGUGGUGUGUAAUUAUUUGAAAUUUUGGAGAACUUUGAGAGAACUCAAAUCAAAAUCAACCAUCACUUGGUUGUUCAAAUCAUCACCUUAAUUUCUCCUGGGCUAGGCAACUACAAUCCAAUUCUCACUAUGUAAACCCCAAUUUCAUGACCCUCCAUCGCCUACCUAUAUGUUAUGUAAUGUGUUGUGAGCAAGCCUAAGGCCCAAAGACAUAAGGGGUCUCAUCAGAAGAUUCUUAUGUGACUUCAACAAUAGAUAUUCCAUCUGUCCCAAAAAUAAAAAGGAUAGGCUAUAUAUAUUCCCUAGCAAUUGUCAACAGUCGGGGAUCGAAAGAUACUAACCAUAAUACUAUCUCUCCUUUCUUUCUCAUAUCCUCUCCCUCUCUAUUCUUUCCUUCUAUUCCGCCUUCGAUGAGUUCUUACUCACUUAUAAAGCAUCAGUAAAGGAAUCACAAGAAAACCUCUAAUGUUCAUUUUUUUUAGGCCCGAACGCAUCAUCUUAGCCCAGAUCAUCCAACAAGAUAAUUCACCUACAAAGACAAAUCGAAAGUAAUCUCUAAUAUUUAUUGGGAUAAUUUUUUCAACCUUUAAAGAUAGAGUAUUUUCAAAAAUAAAUUUUUUUAAUUUUAAUUAUUUUUAGCCAAGAGAAAAGAUUUUUGGACAAAAUUACCCUUAAUAAACCUUUUCAUAUUCAAGUUCUCCUAAAUUUUCUCUCCCACCAUUCGUCUGCUUUGCUCCGUAUUGUGCUAUGCUCUCAAUUUUUCUCUAUUGUCAUCCAACUUUCUCUAAUUUUACCACCAUAACUAUCUCUUUGUCUAUCUUUUGUCAUCUCGUCAUAUGAUCAAAGAGCGUGACAUGGAAGGUAACAACAAAUUCUUGGGUUUAUUAGUCUAUAUUUUGAAAACCCUCUCUCUGUCUAUCUCUUGCCAUUUCAUCGUCGAUCUAUAGACCAAAAAGCAUGGCAUGGUGGGUAACAACGGGUUCUUGGGUUUAUGGGUGUUAAGUUUCUUCAGUGAUUCAAGUCUUGUAGAACAUGCCUUAGCAUGUAAUAAAGUGAUUCAUGCUUUGGCAUGUAACAUCAGUAGAAAGAAAGAAGAUUUGGUGUGUAACAUAUGGUUCUGAAGUUUUGACCUUGGCAUGUAACAUCUGGUGUUGAAUCUUUUUUAUGAUUAUAGGAAAUGUAACAAAUAAAAUAACCUAAAAACUAAUUAUCCAAAUUUGAGAAUUUUGGAUUGUAUCUUUUUAUCUAAAUCUAUUUCAUCCCAGCCAUUUCACCCCAGUAGUAAUGUUGACAUUAAAUAAUUUUUCAAGACAUCUUCCUUUCCAUGUCAAAUUCCUUUUUGAUUAAACGUUAUCUUUAUCAUGAAUAUGUUUAACUCCAAGGGUUUAUGUUCCAUUCAAAUACAAAGAUAGAGACCACAUUACAUUUAAAAAAUGUUGUCAUUACAUGUUAGGUUAAAAAAAUGUCAUUACAGUUGAAAAAAAAAUCAUUACACACUUUAACUCCAAGAGUUUAUGCUGUAGUAAAAUAAAAAGAAGUUACAUGUUUAAAAAAUAUUAUUGUUACACGUUAUAUUAAAAAAUUUUAAGCAACACCAAAACUUUAGCACCCAAUGUUACACACCAAGGCCAAAGGUUCAACACUAGUUAUUACAUGCCAAGGUUAAAGCUUUACCACCAGAUGUUGCAUGUCAAUGUCAAAACUUCACCAUCAAAUGUUACACGCCAAGGUUAAAGCUUCAACACCAUAUAUUACAUGCCAAAGCUUCAUUCUUCCUAUUGAUGCUAAAUGCCAAGGCAUGAAUCAAUUUGUUACACACUAAGGCAUGUUCUACCAGACUUAAAUCACUGAAAAAACUUAACUCAUAAACCCAAGAACUUGUUAUUACUCACUAUGCCAUACUUUUUGGUUUGUACAUCAAUGAUGAGAUGGCAAGAGAUAGAUAGAGAGAGAGUUUUAUGAAUGUAAACCAAUAAACCCACGAAUAUGUUGUUACCUUUUAUGUCAUGCUCUUUGCUACGUAGAUCGAUGAUGAGAUGACGAAAGAUAGACAAAGAGAUAGAGAUAGUGGUAAAAUUAGAGAAAGUUGGAUGACGAGAGAGAAAAAUGGAGAGCAUAGCAGAAUAGGGAGCAUAGCAGAAUCGGACCGCUAAACGUGGUUAACUUGGGGAGUCACCACCAAUCUUUUUUUACCUAGGUGUGAUUGGUCACCUAUUAAAUUGGUUCUAUUCAACGAAAUCUUAAAUUGAUUUAAAGUCCGUCGAAAGAACGAGAAAUUGUCUAUAUUUUUUUGUCAAAGUUGAGUUCGGGAGUACAGUUACGCAUAUGGAAGGAUUAGCACCCCCGUGACGCCCGUUCCACAAAUGGUACCAUUUAAUCAUAAAUUAUCCUAACCCAUUAAUUUUAUUCUUAUGUUUCCUUAAUUGUUAUUUAUUUAUUUCAUCUUUUAUUAGAAUAUUCUAUUUCAUUUUUUACAGGUUUAACACGUAUAUUAUGCAAUUGUGAAAUGCAUGGCAUAAAAUCUGGAUAAUGCCAAACGAAAAUCCUUUAUUGAGUGUACUUUCUGAAUCCACCCAUCGUACUAGUGAGAUUCGUAAGUAUUCUCUCACCUAAGGAAAUACCUCAGCAACUCGCCUUUGCAAGUUUACUUGGUAGAUCCCAGCAUCGGGAUAGUCGUUUAUGAGUAAAAAAUAGUGUUUUCAGAAUGCAAAUCCUAAUAUGGGUAAAAGCCUCUUAUUAAAGAUAUUUCUCUGGACCUUCCCAUCGUACUAGUGGACUUCGGAGGUAUCUUUUCACCUAGGGAGUUUACCGAUGAAACUCUCAUUCGCAAGCUUUCUCGGAAAGUCCCAUCAUAGGAGCUUAUACCCGUAUAUAGAAUAUAUCUAUAUGCCAUGACAUUUAACAAUGCGACCAUGAUACGUGAUGCACUCACAAUUAUAAUGUUUGUUCCUUAUUUUAUUAUUUCUCCAUGUGAGUGUAUGCACGUUGUUUUUUANCAAACCUUCCCAUCGUACUGGUGGAGUUCGGAGGUAUCUUUUCACCUAAGGAGUUUGCCGAUGAAACUCGCCUUUGCAAGCUUUCUCGGAAAGUCCCAUCAUAGGAGCUUAUACCCGUAUAUAGAAUAUAUCUAUAUGCCAUGACAUUUAACAAUGCAACAAUGGUACGUGAUGCACUCAUAAUUUUAAUGUUUGUUCCUUAUUUUAUUAUUUCUCCAUGUGAGUGUAUGCACGUGUUUUUUAUUUACUUAUUAUCCCAUUUUUAUUUCGUUAUGUAUUUUGCUAUGCAAAUACUUAUUCAUUUCAUUAUAUGCAAAAUUUUCAAAAUUAUAUUUUUAGACCAAGUAUUUUCAUUUUAUUUAUUUUUAUUUCAUAAUUAUUAUUUGUAUAUGUAUUUUAUACAUUCCUCUUUGUGUUAUUAUUAUUGUUAACAUACUUAUUGUUAUCAUUAAUUUCUUAUUUUUUUGCAUUUUUGACCAAUUGGUAAUUGAGUAUAUGAUUUGUAUUUAAAAUUAGAAUCAUCGAAAUUCUAAAUUAGGACCUUCCCAUCAUACUGGUGAGGUCCUAAUCAAAAUUCUUAACCUAAGGAAAUCCAUUUAGAAUUGCGACUUCUCAUGUUCUGAACGGACAUCCUAUCAUCGGUAUUGAUUCUAAAGUGGUUGCUAUAUAUUUUAUAUCAUUUUUUAUUGUUAUUGUUGUUUAUUAUUAUAUUCUUAAUUAUUGUUAUUAUUAUUUUUGUUCAUUACUUUUUAUUAUUAUUAUUAUUAUUAUUAUUUAUUUUAAAACAUUCUAUAGUUUUUUUUAUUUCUAUCUAAGCUAAGCAAAUUUUUAAUUAAAUAAGCUGGAUAAGCCCUAAAUAACAAGUCCAAAUCGACAAUAAAUGGGAAAGGCCUCACCUUACUUGGGCUAGAAUGAUGGCCCAAGUUAUCUGGGCUGCACGGAGGCGUCCCAAGCCUGCUUCGUUGGUCCACUGGGCUUUCCUCCCCAAACGCACCGUUUGGGGCUCCGGAGACUCCCUCAAACGACGCCGUUUAGACUCUAAACCUGGGUAUAUAAGCCCUUUUUUUUUACCUUUUUUCUUAUUUUCACCUUUCAUUUUCUCUCUCUAGUUGGCCACUCUCUCUCUCUGCCUUCUCUCUAAAUUGACGGCAAACCUUUCUCCCUCUCUCCCUUGCUGCGACAUUGCAACUUCCUCUUUAUCUCCGUAUCCCUUUACUCCUUGUCACUGGCCGGAUUAGGAAACCAGAUUCGAGACCCCUUACGGACUGCCCUCUCUUCUCCAGCAGCCUUCCUUUGCCGCUGGCGUCCCUUCCGAUUCUCACCCUACCCACGCAAUCAACUCUCUCUUUUGCACCAAAAAUCGCCUCUCACCAAAUCUGACUAGUUUUCUCAUCUUCUUUUUUUUUUUGUUUUUGUGUUGUGUUUGUUUUGAUUUUUGAUCUUUUGUUAUUGUGGCUAGGGUAGUCUGCUGGUAGAAAACUUGAGUAUUUUGGAUUUGCACGUCUCAAUUGUUUGAAGAAAAAAAUGAGAUUUUUUGUUGAUGGAUCUAGUUUUUUUGUUUUUGCAGGAUUGAUGUUUUUUUUUUGAUCUGGCUUUCUCCGAUUUUUUCAAAAUCUGCCUACAUUUUAAAAGAUCUGGAUUGUCUAAAAUUUUGGACAAUCUCAAGAGUGCAAUCAUGUGAUUUUCGUAGGGCUCCUGGCACAAGCAAGCCCGGGGCAAGUAGUUGGAGGUGACGGGAGAGGGAGGCUGAACAAACGUUCAGUCUUUUCCCUUCUCUGUUCUUUUUUUUAAAUUUUAUUAUUUUUUAAUUUUUUUAUUAUGUUAUUUGAUUAUUUUAUUUUUAUUAUCAUUUAUUUUUUUUAAAUGGGUGUCUACAGUUGCCCCUCUUUGUACAUUCUUGAGAAUCAAGAAUAGUGCAAAGACGUAGACACCUUCUUUGGACCAAAUUAAAUAUCUUUGUUCCUUUUUUUAAUAAUCAAAAAGCUCCUCAUCUCAAAACGAGGCUAUGUAACUUAAAAAAAAUCUUGAAACUAAUUACCUGAAGGUUUUAGGAAAGGUUUUAUGAAUGUAUCCGGAGGUUUUGAAGAUGUUCCCGAAGGUUUUAGAAGAAAAGGUUGUUCCUCAUCUCAGAAUAAGGCUACAUAACUUUGAAGAAAUCUUGAAACAAAUUACCCGGAGGUUUUAGGAAUGUACCCGGAGGUUUUAGAAGAAAAACUUGUUCUCAUCUUAGAAUGAGGCUACAUAACUUUGAAGAAAUCUUGAAACCAAAUACCUAGAGGUUUUGGGAAUAUACUUGAAAGUUUUACAAAUGUUCCCGGAGGUUUUGGAAGAAAAAGUUGUUCCUCAUCUCAAAAUGAGGCCACGUAAUUUUGAAAAAAUCUUAAAACAAAUUACCCAAAGGUUUUAGGAAUGUGCCCGGAGGUCUUGAAGAUGUACCCGGAGGCUUUAAAAGAAAAAGGUUGUUCCUCAUCUCAAAAUGAGGUCAUGCAACUUUGAAGAAGUCUUAAAACUGAUUACCCGGUGGUUUUAAAGAUGUACUCGAAGGUUUUGAAAAUGCACCCAAAGGUUUUAAAAGAAAAAAGUUGUUUCUCAUCUCAAAAUGAGACCACGUAAUUUAAAUUUUCUCGUGCCAAGAUAAUAGGGCUUAGACGUGUUGGAUGCCAGCUACAGUGGGCUUAAACAUAUCGGUGCCAAUAUAACUGGGCUUAAACAUCUUGGAUGCCAGCUAAAUUGCGCUUAAACUCCUUUUGUGCCAACGUAACUGGACUUAUACAUAUUGGAUGCUACUUUAAUUGGGCUUAAAUCUCUUUGUGUCAAUAUAACUGGGCUUAAUCAUUUUGGAUGCCAGCUAAAUUGGGCUUAACUCCUUUUGUGCCAACAUAACUAGACUUAAACAUCUUGAAUGCCAACUAAAUUGAGCUUAAACUCCCUUGUGCCAAUGUAACUGGACUUACACAUCUUGGAUGCCAGUUUGAUUGGGCUUAAACUCCUUUUGUACCAACGUAACUGGACUUAUACAUCUUGGAUGCCAGUAUAACUUGGGCUUAAAUCUCUUUGUGCCAACGUAACUGGACUUAUACAUCUCGGAUGCCAGUUAAAUUGGGCUUAAAUCUCUUUGUGCCAACGUAACUGGACUUAAACAUCUUGGAUGCCGGUUAAUUGGGCUUAAAUUCUUUCAUGCCAACAAAAAUGGACUUAUACAUCUUGGAUGCCAGUUAAAUUGGGCUUAAGACUCAAAUCUUUCUUCACUUAAUUGCUUGAAAACUGCAUUAGUCUUGAUAUUCGUUUGAAAAUUUCAAUUUUGAUGAUGCAAGGUCAUGUGCUGAUUGGGCAUGUAUGCAUAAUUGAAUGAUGGACAAAUGAUGUAUUGCUUCCUUUUGUUUUGCGCCAUAUAUUCCUCACUUGAAAGAUCAUUUUUCUUGUCUUCACAUUUUUUGACGAUGUUCUUGUGCAGUAGCCAAUUUCUUCGCCUUCAAAGAACCUUUUUGUUAAUCUCGUCAUAUUAAUUUAAAUUCUUGAAACCACUUUUCUACAAUGGAUGCGAACAAAAGCUCACCAGUUCAAAUUGGAUUUCAAUGCUUCCACACUUAUUGAUCAUGAAAGCUCUUCCUUGCAUUGCUUUUUCCCAUCUCUUCUUUUUUUUUUUUUGAAAUGAAUUUUGUCUUUUUCAAAAGUGCUUGUCUGAUCUCACAAAGAUCAUAAAGACUCUCAUUUUUCUUUUUUCCUUUUUGUUUUCAAAAACAUCUUAAUUUUAACAAAAUCACAACAAAAUUGCCCCACACAAUUAUUUCCAUGAUCAAAGAUAGUUGAAUCUUGGAGCAAGAAUGUAUCAAAUCCACACUUUUCUUGCGGAAGUGAUAAAAUAUCCAAGUUUGGAAAAACAUGUGAUAUUUGAAUCUCUUAAAAAUCAGUGAUUACCAUUUAAAAUGACUCGGGUGGGUCAAGUCAUAAUUUGAUCUUUCAAAUGGAUUGAAAGGUUUAACAAAUUAAAGUCUUGCAAAAAGGUCUUGCUAUUUUAUGGGGAAAUGAAGGAUCAAUAUUUCUUCGUCCAAGCUCACAAAUGUUGCACGAUUUUCUCAAAUUUGUACUCUCUGAAAAUCAAAUUCUUUACAAAAAGACUCAUUUCGGAUUGCAAAUCAAUUUUGACACUCUCUUGUCUCAUGAUGUGUGGCAUUUUGAUAGAUGUCAAGACUAGCUUUAGAGACUUCAGAUUUGUAAGGUUAUUUUGGAAGAGAAUGGCUCAAAGUUCAGCAUUGGUUUUAUGACAAAUCUUGAAUUUUACAUUCUUGGACAUUUGAAGGGUCUCCAAUGCACUCUAGUUGCUUUGAAAUGAUCUCUAUUGUGCUUCUUAUCAGUCAAAAUCACAAGUGGUUUCAUAAGUUCCCAUUUUUGCUCUAGGUUGCCUUUUCAGGUUUUCACCCUAGAGCUCAUUUUUUUCUCUUUUCUCUUUUUUUCCCUUUUUUUUAUUCUCCUUGUCAUCUCUUUUUUCUUUUUUUCAUCGAUUGUUCCAUCAUGCACUUGAAAAAGAUUCAAACUCUAUCCAAAAUGGAUUGACGGAUUGACACGGAUCAUCAUGGCAAAGAAAAAGAGACCAAGGCCUCAUGGAUUUUAUAAUGUCUUUUUCUAGAAAAAAUCUCUUCAAUUUAAGCAUCCAUACUUGAUCAAAAUGGACUUUUUUAAAACAUGUAAUGUAGGUUAAGGUUAGGGGCUUUGAUAGAAUGGGUAAAAAGGCUCAAAACAUUAUAUUUAAGGGUGUUCAACCAAGGAUCAUUCAUGUGAAAAUCUUCUAAGACAUUUGUCUUUUCAAUUUUUCAAAGCAUAUUUUUCCAUCAAUUUUCUUUUUCUUUUUUUUUCAUCACUUUUGAUCAUCUUUUCCAAUUUUUUUUUUGAUGGGUUUAAAACUCGAAUUCUUUUGCCUUCGCCUCUUUAUACAGGGUGUUUUAUUUCUUCAAAUGAGAUCUUGUCCUCCUUGUUCUUGGACAAUAUUCUCAUACAUAUUUGCCCUUCCAAUAUGAGAGGUGAUCCUUGGUCAAGGUGUAUUUAGAAAGAAUUUGAUAGGCUCAAAGGGGUAGCAAGCGGAUAAUUUCUCAUUUGCAAAUGGGAGAAUGAAACAUGGCCACUUCUCAUAUCAAAUAUGGUUACUUGCCUUGAAGAGCAAUCCUUAGAAUGGAUGAAUAUUGAAGUUCUUUUUUUUUUCUUUCUUUGGCAUUGUUUGAAUGUCUCAAGUACAUGCUGUUACUAUCAACUUUUCUCACUAUUCUCUUAUUUUCUUUUUUUCCUUUUUUUUUUCAUACCUUCACAACUCACAGCUUGACUCAAAUUUUCUAAAAUGAAAGAUUCACUGAAGAUGCCCUUCCUCGAUCAACCACUCAAACGAAGACUUAAGCAACAACUCUAAGCAAUUAUGACCAUUUCAAAGCCUUCAGAGAUCUCAUUUCAAUCCUCAAUUUCAAAAAUUGCUCUUGUUAGCAUUUCUAAAUGAGGGAGAAACAAAGGUUAUUUUACAAGUCAGUUGUCUUGAAAGUAUUGGAAAAUUUUUCCUCUUCUAACCAUCUUGCCCCCCAAGUAUGGAUGGAGGACAACUUUAGGCAAUGGGUGGAAAGGUUCACAUUUUGGAUCAGAUUGAAAAAAGUUAAGUGGUUUUGAUGUAUUUGAAGCUCUGGCUAGUCUUGACACUUAUCAAACUACCAAAUUCAGAUUCUCUCCAAGAGUGCAAGAUUUUCUUUAUUUUUGGAAAAAUGAAUUUUACCUUGUCACAACAUUGAUCAUUACUUAGACGAAGACCAUCAUCCUUAGAUGUCAAAUGAUAAAACAAAUGAAGUUUCAGAGCUUUUGCUUAUUUUUGGAUUCUGGCCCUUGAAUGGCCUUUAUUCACUUGGUUAAGGGAUUGAGAGUGUUUAAAGGUAUGGUUUGAGAAUGUUUAUGAAAAUGAGUUCAUUUGCAAAUAGCAACCACCAAUUCUUUCGAAAUUCUUUUCACCAUUUAUUUUACAAGAACCUUUUCUUUUUCUUUUUUUUUUUAUGUAUGAUUUUGGAAACAAGUAAUAUGGGGCUUUAUUUUUAAAAUUGCUAACAUUCAAAGAACUCAUUUCUUUUUUUUUUUUAGAAAGAGAAAUAAAUAAACAAGAACCACAAGAAAUUUGAGCAAUUUUGAAACUCAAUUUGACUCAUGACAGCAUGUGAUGAUGAAAACUAAACAAUCACUCAUCUCAAAUUACAUGAUCAUGCAUGAAAGACAAAAGUCCAUAUUUCCAAGAGUUUCUACCUUCAAAGCAUGUACACAACUAGAAAAUGAUCAAGGAUUGCCCCCGAAUUGGCAUACCACUCAAUUAUUCCAAAACCCAAGCCUUGUAUCCAUCACCCUUGAUUUUUAUAGUUGUUGACAAGUUCUUUGAAUUUAGUUGGGUUUUCAUCGAUUAAACCUUGAACUUUGUUCUUGAAUGCAAUGCAAUUCUCUGUGGAAUGACCUUCAACCCCAUAAUGGUAAUCACAUUUAACAUUUGGGUUAUACCAUCUUGGGUAAGGAGAUUUCCUAGGCUUGGGAGGAAUAAUAGAGAUCUUAUAGUUUUGUACCAAUAAAGGGAAAAGCUCUACAUAGGGCAUUGGUAAUGAAUGGUACACUUUGGCUUUCUUUCUCCUGUUGCUUUGAAGGUAAUCUGGAUUAAUUUCUUGGUCAUUUGAAGUGGACAUGUAAGGUAAAGGAGCUUGUGCAAGUGAUGAUUGAGUGAAAGGUCGAGAUAGAUUAUGGACAUAUGCUGAUGGGUGUGAAUGAGCGCCCAUAAGAUCUCCUUCUAUGUCACAAAAUUUCCUUUUAUUUCUCUUUUCAAAAGCCAUUGCUUGAACUCCUUUAUCAAAAACAUCAUAUUCUCAUUUGACAAGAUCAUUUGCUCGAAAGUCUACAAUCUUUCCCUUUCUUAUUCCAUCUUCAAUCCUUCCCACGGAGAACACCAAAUCCAAAAAAUCUGAAUUAGCAUUACCCACCAAUUUGUCGUAAUAUGGAGGAGGAAGAGUAUCAAUAAAUAGAGAAUUUAAUUCUCUAUUAGUAAGGGGUGGUUGGACUUGUGAUGCUACUUCCUUCCACUUAUAAGCAUACUCCUUGAAACUUUCAAAAGGGUUUCUUUCCAUGUUUUGGAGGGUUAUUUGAUCAGGAAUUGCUCUUAGCCUAUGCAUAUAUUGUCCCAAAAAUGCUCGGGCUAAAUCUGUCCAUGUGCAAAUACGAUUUUUCUCUAGCUUGAAGUACCAUUUAACCGCAGCCCCUUUCAAACUAUUUUGAAAAAAUGAAUGAGCAAUUUCUCAUCAUGGACAUAUGGAGACAUCUUGUUGCAAUACAUGAUCAAAUGUGCUUUAGGGCAUUUGGUUCCAUCAUACUUUUCGAACUCUGGGACUUUAAACUUGGGUGGGAUAACUACAUUAGGCACCAAACUUAAUUCCUUUGCCUUAACGAAAUCAUAGAGAUCCAUUCCUUCUAUGGCUUUAAAGCGUUCUUCUAAAAGGUCAUACUUCUGUUGUACUCUCGAUUUUUCUCUUGAACUUGAUAAGUCAAGUGUAGGAACCUGAUUAGAAAAAAUUACCCUUGGAAUUUGCAUAGUUUGCCUUUGUGUCGACGACUGACUUAAUCCUUGAAAACUUGAAAAUCCUUCGAUAGUCACCUUCCUUUCAUUGGCAUUCACCAUCUCCAUUAGCUUUGUCAACUGUUUUCUAAUCUCUUCCUGGGUCUUCUCCAUCUUGUUUAUCAAAUUUGAUUGAUCAUCUCCCAUAAUUCUAGCUUGAGCCCCUGUAUUGUGCCAAUCGUAAGUGGGCUCCCUUGAACUUUUCUCUUUUCACAAUAUAUAAUGUGAAAAGCAACGAUAAUCUUGCUUCUUCUUUCAUGAAAUGUAGUAAAGUCAAGUGAUGCUACUUGCCACAAAGGAAGGUGAAUGAUGCAUGCAUGUGUAUCCAAAUCGAAGAAUGUUUGAAUGCAUGAUGGGAUGAUUAAAUGUUUGACAAUUGAUUUGAAACACAAAGACACUUGAUUAUGAAUAAUGCUCCAACACGAUUACAUUUCAAACAAACUUUCUUUUUCAUUUUUUUGAUUUUUUUUAAACAACAUCUAAGAAAAUGUCUCAAAAGUUAACAUAAUUCUUCACGAACACGAACUUACUCUUACAAGAUUCAAAAGAAGUUAAAGAUUAAAAUGUCCUAAGGUCUAAAAAACUUAAAAAAAAAUCAACACAGUCAAUCCUUCUUUCGUCUGACACUCAAUUGUACUCUCCAUAACCAUACCCCAUCAUCUUUGCUAGAUCGAACCAUUUGGCAUCUAUUAAUGUUUGCACUCGAUACUUGAAGGCGUCACAAUCUUCGAUGGAAUGUCCCAUAGCUCCACCAUGAUAAUCACAUCUUGCAUCAGACUUGAACCACUUUGGGUAUAGAGGCCACAAGGGUUCCAAAGGCACCGAGACAAUAAGAUGAUCAUGAACUAAUUGAUAAAAGAGUUCUUUGUAGGUGACAGGUAUAGGGUCAAAUUAUUUUUUCUUUUUGGAUUAUUUUUGAGGGGUGCCUAUACUAGGAGUAGGGGUGAUUGAUAAUUGUGCUCGUGGUUGGCUUUAAAAGGCCUGUUGAAAAUGAGGUCGAAAAGUGCUUGAACAGGAGUAAGAAUUUAGCCGUAAAUUGAUUUUCGUAGGUUGAAAAGUGGUGGGUGGAGAAUAUGACCUUGGUUGCAACCCAUUGCUCUGGGGUUGUGUAGCAUUUGGAGAUCCCAUCUUGGUCAUGAAACUUUUGAACUCAAUCAUUUGCAUGUUCAACUCAUCCAUCCCUUUUACAAUUUUUUUUAGACCUUGAUAUUUACUUGAGCCACUGAGCAACGUGUUGGGUUCAUCAAGGACAAAUUGAAUUUUAUUCAGAGAUUGUUUCUAGUGUGGUUUGAUUUGAAGCAAUGAGGACUCUAGAAGGUGAUUUCCUUUGGCUUCAUUGAGACAUUCAACCAUUUCCAUCAAUUUGGUUAUCUGCCCUUUGAUCUCUUGAAGGUUAUGUCUAAAUUCUUCUUGAUUGCGUUCCAAUGCACUUAUCCUUGCUUCCAAUUGAUGUUCCAUAUCGUUUAAUCCUAGCUUGGGUUCAGAUGAUGACCUAAACCAAAAUAACUUAGAAACAAAAGUUUAGAAUUUUACUAAAAAUUUUUCAAAAAGGGAUUUAUUUUCUUUCCUAUAAAGCUAACAACACUGUAGGGUUUUUCUUUAUUAGAACAAAUAUGAAAUGAUUGCAUGUAGAUGAAAAUAUGAUAUUUGCAUGUAUGCAUGAAAUGUUAUGAUGCCUUGAUGCAUGGAUGGUAUGAAAUGAAAUGGAAGACCAUAUUAUCGAAAAUCAUGUAUAGUGAGAGGUAGAAAACUUUAUUCAAAACUAAAGUCCCUUUCUUUUUGUGGUUUUUGAAGAAAAUGGAAGAAGUAAAAAAACCUUUUUAUGUUCUCUCUUCUUGCUGCUUAAAUGGAUAACCAUUUUCUUUUUCUUUUCUGUUUCACAAGAAGCAUUAUUUUCUCUUUUUACAUUCCUCAUUUAUUUUUGUAUGAGAAGAAGUUUUUCUCUCUUUUUUUCUUUUAUUUUUAUGGAUAAAAGGAACUAAAAACCUCUCUUUUUUUUUUAGAAGACCUCACUCGAAAGAAAUGCCUUUCUUUUUUUUCCUUUCUUUAUAUAUUUUUAUUUUUUUUUUCUCUUUCUCUCUUCUUUCUUUCUUUUUUUUUUCAUGAAAGAAGAAACACACUCCCUCUUUUUCAUGUUUAUCCUUUAUUUUUAGGAGAAAAUAAAAAAGCUAUUUUUCUGAGAUAUUUAAAGUAAAAGUACAGAGAAAAGUGUUCUAAAAAUAAUGAACGUAAAAAAUCUUGCUCCUCUCUUUUUUUUUUAUGGAAACAGAAAGAAAAUUUUUUUGUUUUUUUUUUUUUUUUUUUAAAAUCACUUUAACAUGUGUUACUUUUAUUUUAUCAAAAAAGGCUAUUAAGAUAGAUUUGUUCCUUCACGUGUCCUAAAUUAGGGUGUACUGCUCAUGACAAGUUCAGUAAGGUUCUGUCUAUGGGAUGGCCCCUUAUGGUUUUUUAUAUAUUGAGUUUGGUUUUGAAUGAGGCUAAAGGUUCCCAAAUUGUUCUUCACUAUCGUCCAUAUGGACUAGUAAGGCACCCCAGUCCUCACCCAUUACAAGCUUCAAACGGACUAGAUUCGAUCUGAGUGAGAGUUUUCACUAGCCCAUGCAGAGAUUAUCACCUCACGAGAGCGUAGCUACUAAACUCUCUCCUAAUAAGGACAAAACUUGGGUAGAAGGCUUAUGCAUGAAUGCAACAUGUGUUGUGUGUGUGAAGGAACAUACCAGCCUUUGACGGACAAUCUCACAUCCCUUUAUCCUAAAUGCCCCACAAUUUAAAAAAAAAAACAACAAAAAUAAAGAUCGUGAAUCAAUUAAUGCACAAAACCAUAAUGCCAAAAGAAAAUGCUCAAAUUUAAAGGAAACACUACAUUAUUUACGGCUUUAGGAUAACUUAUGAUUAAUUAUGUCUCGACUCUCUAGUGUCCCCAGUGGAGUAGCCAAGCUGUUUGUAACGUGCAGGUCCGGGAACCCGACCGCUAGACGUGGUUAACUUGGGGAGUCGCCACCAAUCUUUUUUUACCUAGUCCUCAUUACCUAUUCAAUGAAUCUUAAAUUAAUUUUAAGUCCGUCGAAAGAACAAGAAAUGGUCUACGUUUUUUUGUUAAAGUUGAGUUCGGGAGUACAGUUACGCACAGGGAAGGAUUAGUAGCCCCAUGACGCUCGUUCCACGAACGGUACCAUUUUAUCAUAUACUAUCCUAACCCAUUAAUUUUAUUCUUAUGUUUCCUUAAUUGUUAUUUAUUUAUUUAAUCUUUUAUUAGAAUAUUUUAUUUUAUUUUUUACGAGUUUAACGCGUACAUGAUGCAAUUGUGAAAUGCAUGGCAUAAAAUCUGGAUAAUGCCAAAUGAAAAUCCUUUAUUGAGUGUACUUUCUGAAUUCGCCCAUCGUACUGGUGGGAUCCGGAAGUAUUCUCUCACUUAGGGAAAUACCUCAGCAACUCGCCUUCACAAGUUUACUUGGUAGAUCCUAGCAUCGGGAUAGUCGUUUGUGAGUAAAAAACAGUGUUUUCAUGAAUGCAAAUCCUAAUACAGGUAAAAGCCUCUUAUUAAAGAUAUUUCUCUGGACCCUCCCAUCGUAUUGGUGGAGUUCGGAGGUAUCUUUUCACCUAGGGAGUUUACUGAUGAAACUCGCCUUCGCAAGUUUUCUCGGAAAGUCCCAUCAUAGGAGCUUAUACCCGUAUAUAGAAUAUAUCUAUAUGCCAUGACAUUUAACAAUGCAACCGUGAUACGUGAUGCAUUCACAAUUCUAAUGUUUGUUCCUUAUUUUAUUAUUUCUUCAUGUGAGCGUAUGUACGUGUUUUAUAUUUACUUAUUAUCCCAUUUUUAUUUCGUUAUGUAUUUUGCUAUGCAAAUACUUAUUCAUUUCAUUAUAUGAAAAUUUUCAAAAUUAUAUUUUUAGACCAAGUAUUUUCAUUUUAUUUUUUUUUAUUUCAUAAUUAUUAUUUGUAUAUGUAUUUUAUACAUUCCUCUUUGUGUUAUUAUUAUUGUUAACAUACUUAUUGUUAUCAUUAAUUCCUUAUUUUUUUGCAUUUUUGACCAAUUGGUAAUUGAGCAUAUAAUUUGUAUUUAAAAUUAGAAUCAUCGGAAUUCUAAAUUAGGACCCUCCCAUCAUACUUGUGAGGUCUUAAUCAAAAUUCUUAACCUAAGGAAAUCCACUUAGAAUUGUGACUUCUUAUGUUCUGAACGGACAUCCUAUCAUCGGUAUUAAUUCUAAAGUGGUUGCUAUAUAUUUUAUAUCAUUUAUUAUUAUUAUUGUUGUUUAUUAUUAUAUUCUUAAUUAUUGUUAUUAUUAUUUUUGUUCAUUACUUUUAUUAUUAUUAUUUAUUUUAAAACAUUCUAUAGUUUUUUUUUAUUUUUAUCUAAGUUAAGCAAAUUUUUAAUUAAAUAAACUGGAUAAGCCCUAAAUAAGAAAUUCAAAUCCACAAUAAAUGGGAAAGGCCUCACCUUGCUUAGCCUAGAAUGAUGGCCCAAGUUAUCUAGGCUGCACGGAGGCGUCCCAAUUCUGCUUGUUUGGUCCACUGGGCUUUCAUCCCCAAACGCGCCUUUUGGGGCUCUGGAGACUCCCUCAAAUGACGCCGUUUAGACUCUAAACCUAGGUAUAUAAGCCCAUUUUUUUGCCUUUUUUCUUAUUUUCACCUUUCAUUUUCUCUCUCUAACCAGCCACUCUCUCUCUCUGCCUUCUCUCUAAGCCGAUGGCAAACCUUUCUCCCUCUUUCCCCUGCCCCGACGCUACAACUUCCUCUUUAUCUCCCUAUCCCUCUACUCCUCGUCGCUGGCCAGAUUAGGAAACCAGAUUCGAGACCCCCUACGGACUACCCUCUCUUCACCGACAACCUUCCCUUGCUGCCGGCGUCCCUUCCGAUUCUCACCCUACCCACGCAAUCAACUCUUUCCUUUGCACCCAAAAUCGCCUUUCACCAUAUCUGACUAGUUUUCUCUUCUUUUUUUUUUGUUUUUGUGUUGUGUUUGUUUUGAUUUUUGAUCUUUUGUUAUUGUGGCUAGGGUAGUCUGCUGGUAGAAAACUAGGGUAUUUUGGAUUUGCAAGUCUUGGUUGUUUGAAGAAAAAAUGAGAUUUUUUGUUGAUGGAUCUAGUUUUUUUGUUUUUGCAGGAUUGGUGUUUUUUUUUUUUGAUCUGGAUUUCUCCGGUUUUUUCAAAAUCUACCUACAUUUUACAAGAUUCGGAUUGUCUAAAAUUUUGGACAGUCUCAGGAGUGCAAUCAUGUGAUUUUUGCAGGGCUCCUGGCACAAACAAGCCCAGGGCAAGUAGUUGGAGGUGACGGAGAGGGAGGCUGAACAAACAUUCAGUCUUUUCCCUUCUCUGUUCUUUUUUUUUUUUAAUUUUUUUAUUAUGUUAUUUGAUUAUUUUAUUUUUAUUAUCAUUUAUUUUUUUUAUUUUUUUAAAAUGGGUGUCUACAAAAUGACUGGCAGGAGAGAAAAUUUUAGAGCAUUUAAUUUGUUUGAAAUGGUUUUAAGGGUAUUUUUGUCAUCUCAUGGCUAAAAUUGGUUCAAAACAGUUAACUUUAUAUUGAAGGUUAUGUUUGAAAUGAGCUUAUGAGUAGCAUUGUUUCUUACAAUUUCCUCAUAUUUAUUUGUUCAGAUUGGUUGCUUCAAGACUACGCAUCACCAAUAUUACAUGGAUAAUCAUAUUAAAAUAUUAUAAUGAUUAACAAUGUAACAAGUAGAACCUAAUUGUGUCCUUAUUGUAGAAUUCACUGAACACUUGAGCUAUUACAAGUUGAUGAAAUACAUAAUUUUUUUUUAAAAAACCCUAAUUUUUGACACCUUUAAAAGUUAUAAUUGUACAUGUUUCUAACUUUUAUUUUUCUUUUUUCCCAUUAGAAAUAUAAGCAAUAUAACUAAAAUCUUAUAUCUCUUUAUAAGUGUUUUUUAUGAGAUUAUUUUUACAAAUAAAAAUUAUAAUUACAUAAUAUAACUUUUAAUAUAUACUAUAAUAUAAAAUAAAUUUAUAAAUAAACCAAAAGUUAUCCACCCAAUAAAAUAGAUCUAUAUAAUACAAUAAUAAAAUUUAUUUGGCUUGAGUUUUCAUAGCAUAACAUAAAACUAAAGACAAUUUUGAAAAUUCAAUAAAUUAAAGAUAACAUCCUAAAGCAACCAUCAUGCGAAGAAAAAAAAUCAAGACAGACACUUGCCUCCGAAAUAAAGAAAAGGAAACAACCAAUUACUAGGUAAAAUAAAAGCACCUUGACCUUGAUAAGUUGAACUUGCACUCAAACUUAUUUUCUCGAUUUGGGAUUCAAAGGAGUCCAAUGGAAACGUCAUCAACAUGAUGGUAUUUUCAUCAAGCUUGCUUGUUCGAACCCUUCAAAAACUUGAUUUUGAUCUUCUUCAGCUUAGCAACGAUGUUUUUAAUGUUAAUCCUUUCUUCUGGCAACUCUUUUGAACAUUCUAAUGCCAUUGCAAAAUAGACAAUGCACAAUCUUUUAUUGCAAAAAUGUUCUCACUCCUUGGUAGUAAUUAGCAAAUUGGCAUCUACAAUUUGAGUUAAUGCACAUGGUAAUGACUCAGUCACCCAAUGUAUUAAGCUCAUUUCUCCAACAAACAUUUCAUCUGUGGGCUUUUUUCUUGUUAAGGUUUCAAUUAGAAGAAUACCAAAACUGUACACGUCGCCUUUUAUGGAAACAACUCCUUGUGUUCCAUAUUCUACAUGCAAGUCAUUAAAAAAGCAAUCAUCAAAGUAUGCCAAGAUUUUACAUGAAUUAUCAUAAUGAAUAAAAAAAGUUUAAAAGUUAAGCAUUACCUGGUGCCAUAUACCCAAUUGUUGCUAGUGUUAUGGUUUGUACUGUUGAAUCCUCUUCACCUAAUAGCUUUGCAAUGCCAAAAUCACCCAAAUGUGCAACCAUAUCUUCAUCUAAUAGAACAUUGCUGGGUUUUAAAUCACAAUGGGCCACAAGAAUUGUCUGACCAUGAUGGAGGUAUUCUAAUGCAGAUGCCACAUCAAUCAUAAUGUUCAACCUAUGCAAAAUAUCAAGACAAUAGUUAUGAGAGUAUAACCACUUCUCGAGACUUCCAUUAGGCAUGAACUCAAGCACCAAGGCUUUAAAAUCUACAUUGCAGCAACUACUGAUGAUUUUGACUAAAUUCCGGUGGCGAAUGUUGCGCAAGACCUCACACUCAACUUCAAAGCUCUUGAAUGAUCCUUCUACCUCCAAAUUAAAGACUUUUAUGGCAAUGUUCAAUCCAUCUGAAAGAGCACCUUGGUAUAUUGAGCCAAAACUCCCCACACCAAGUAGUUUGCUUUCACAAAAACCAUUUGUGGCUUGAUGAAGCUCUUGGUAUGAAAUUCUUCUCCAAUUUGCUAAACCAAUCGAAUUUUCUUGAUCAAUUUGUUGCUUUGAAUGCUUUCUUUGGCUUUGGAAGAAGAAGACAAUUAAGGCAAGAAUUAAUAGCGUUGAGCUAACUGGCAAUAGAAUAAAUUCUAUAAGCUUAGUAGCUUUCCUUGAAUGUUUAGUAGAAUUACUUGUGCAUGGUGGGAGUUGCGGUCGAGGUGCACCACAUAGCGCUUCACUGCCCAUAAAUGAUUGAAUUGUGCAGUUGGCAAAAGGUCCUCCGUUAGGAAUUUCGCCAUGCAGUCUAUUGAAUGAGACAUUCAAAUACUCAAGAUGCAAGAGUUUUUGCAAGGACUUUGAAAUAAUUCCAGAAAAAUUAUUCCUUGACAGAUCCAAGAAUUCCAAUCCUAUCAGCCCACCAAAUAGCUCAGGUAUAGACCCAUACAAUCUGUUACCGGAUAAUGAAAGAUGAGUUAGGUCUUCAAGAUCACCAAUGCUAAUCGGAAUUUCACUUGACAACUGAUUUUCGGAAAAGUCAAUAAUUGUAACAACCUUCCAAUUUCCAAUGUCAACUGGGAGAGCCUUGCUAAGAAAAUUGGAAGACAAGUUUACUUGCAAGAUAUCUAUAAGCCGUGUGAAGGUUGAGGGAAUUGAGCCAAUCAACUUGUUGGAGUCAACAAAUAGCUCUCUAAGAGAAAUGAUAUCACCCAAGCAUGCCGGUAUUGGUCCACCCAAUUUGUUACUUGUGAGAUACAAGAAACCCAAACUCUGUAAACGGCAUAAGUCAGAUGGAAGGGAUCCUUCGAACUUAUUGUCUUCAAGGUAAAGACCUUGCAACUUUUCUAAUCUUCCGAUUGUGGUCGGAAUAGAUCCUAUCAAUUCAUUGUUAUUUAUGUUCAGGCGGAUCAAGUUGCUUAGGUUGCCAAUCUCUCCAGGAAUGUUGCCUCCAAUGUUGCAGUACGAAGCAGUGAAUAUUUGUAGGGAAGUAGAGAGAUUUCCUAUAGACUUGGGAAGUUCACCAUCGACCAAUGGAUUAGCAUCAAAUCUCAAGAACGUCAAGUUUUUGCAAUAUGCUAAGGAUGAGAGAAAGCUGAUUUCUGGGGUCGAAGGUGUGCUAGCUAAAGUAUUAUUUUCUAGCUUGAGCUGUUUCAGAUGUCUUAGAUUUCCGAGAUCAUUGGGAAUAUAUACAGAAAAUGAAUUAUAUGACAAGUCCAGGUCUGUUAGCUUAGAGGCAUUGGAGAUGGAGGUAGGUAUUGUUCCACUGAAUGCAUUUAUAUCAAGAAAAAGCCGUUCAAGUUUUGGAAGCCAACGUCCUGUGCUCCACGGAAGACAACCUGAGAGAUGGUUUAAAGAGAGUGAAAUGACCCUUACAGUUGAGCUAUUAAAGAUAGCAUGAGGGACAUGUCCGGAGAUACUGUUAUUUGCCAAGUUCAAAUAGUCCAAAUUUGGCAGGUUGCCUAUCUCGAGUGGUAUUUUACCUGCCACAAAAUCAGAAGUCAUUUGGAUUUGUUCAUGUGAUCCAGAAGUAAAUAACAAAAUUACUGAUAAAAAUUGUACACACAUCUCUAGUUUUAUAUUUUAUAUUAUAGACACAUAUAACAAAGAGUCAAACAAUAUUAUUCAAAUAUUUACAACAUUUGCAGCUUUACAGAAGCUUAACAUACAUAAGAAAAAAUGUAACUUAUUUACUGUCAAUUUUUUAAUGGAAAAAUCAAUUGCUUUUUGAAAGUUUAAAUUACCUAUCUGUUAAGGAACUUCCCUUGUAUAAUGAAAUUGAUCCCUUAAUUGUUUCAAAUUUAGCAACAACUUAUAAAGCCCAUUUGUUUGUCAAACGGAACGAUCAAAAUUAUUAAACAAAGUUUUGGAAUUUAGAUAAUACAAAGCAAUAUAAUCUUGCACUUUGUAGCUAAUUUAUUAUAAUUUUGGCAUAAUUCUCCAAUAAGCCCUUAAACUAUUCAAGAAUAUUUAAAAAAACCCUUAUUCUUUUAUUACGUCCAAUCAAGCUCCUAUAUUUUUAUUUUAGAUCAAAUAAACCCUUAUAACGAAUGAUUGAUUAAUUGCCAUUAGUAAAAAUGUCACUUGUCAUUUUAUAUCCACACGACACUGACAUGACAUUGAUACAGAGGGUGAAAUAUACCACAUGGUCAUAUUUUCAUGUCAAAUUAACAUGUCAUAUCAUCAUCAAUUAUGAUAUGUUAACAUAUUACAUCAUUAUCAAUUAUUAUAUUUUAGCAUAUCACAUCAGUGCACAUGGUAUAGAAUUACAAAUGACAUUUUAAUUAAUUCAAAUCAUUAGUCAUAAGGACUUAUUUAACUGAAAAUAAAAGUUGAAGGGCUUAUCUGGCUCAAAAUAAAAGUACAAGAGUUUGACUGAAUGCAAUAAAAGAAUAAAGGCUUAUUUGAAUUUUCUUGAAUAAUUUAGGGGUUUUUUUGUAUAUUAUGUCUAUAAUUUUUUUAUUUAUACAAUAUAAUGAAAUUAUAUUAGAAAACGUUGGAAAAAAAUAACAUAUAUAGAUAAGUAGAUAAUACAUUUGAAUUUUGGGUUGAAUGAUUCAUCAACAAAAUAGAAAUACAAUACUUGAUUAUAAAAGAAAACGGAAAUUAAAAAAAGGUGAAGGUCAAUGUUAAAAUUUAAUUUAAAUAAAAAACCAUGAGAUUAAAUAAAGAGUGUGACACUAUUACCAAAAGCUAAAAAAAUAUUAAAAAAAGAAAGAUGUGGAAAAUCCAGAUAAUAUCAUAAGACCAAAAAGAGGUAAAAUAUUAAAACAUGAGAAUUUGAUGAAUAAACUACUUGUUACAAUAAUUAGUUGAUGCAAUAUACUUAGAGCAAUUAGUAUUUACAAUUAAAUAUUUGAGAAAAUCUAUAAACUAAACAGUGAUAGUGAGUUUAAUAGAAAAAAGAAUAAGGUUGAAAGCAAAAUGAAAUUCAGAAAAAAUAGCUAUAUAACUAUAUUUAUUUAUUAUUUUUAAAGGAUCCAUAGGGAUCGAAAUUUACAAAUUUAAGGACAUUUUCAUCUUAUUUUGUCCAUUCCUCUUCCCCCUAAUCCCAUAAUUGCAAUGGACAAAAAAAGAAAGAAAGAAAAUUCUUGGGUUUCGAUGUAUGAAAUGAAGACUAUAAUAAGAGUGUGAAUAAUAAUAUUUAUUCACAUAUUAAAAUUUUGCAGCUAUAUAAAAACUGAACACAGAUAAAUAAGAAUGUGAUAUAUUACCUGUCAAAUAAUUGAAGCUAACAUCAAGUACUUUCAGAAGUGUUAGGUUACCAAUGGUGGAAGGAAUAGGCCCUAUUAGCUGACAUCGUUCAAAAGCUAUUUGCUCCAAAUUCAGCAGAGGACUAAUUUGUGGUGGAAUUUUACCUGCAUAAUGAAAAUUUAUUUCAUUUCAAAACAAUUGCAACAAAUAAGGCCAAUUUCAUUUCUCUAAUACAAUAAUAAGGCCGGCCAUUUCUUUUUUAAGCACGGAAGAAUUGAACAAUUAGAUAAGACAAAGGCAUAAAGCAAUUACUUGUAUUUUUCAAUAAAAAAUUUUACAUUGUUUUGGUUUGGCUGUAAAAUAAUGUAUGGUGUUAGCUAAAGUGGCUUCCUAAUUUAGCCAAAUUGGUAGUGGAAAACCAGUCUUCACCAGCAUCAAACCUUAUACUUUACAUCAAAAGGAAAAAGGAUAAAAUAUACAUAAACUAAAAAGUGAUUGUACUGAAUCUAAUGGAAGAAGUAAUAAGGAAUUUAAAGAAUUACAAGAAUAAAAAAGGUGACAUUGUUAAAAAAAGAAAGUAAAAUAUUGUACGCCUAAAAAAAGCCAACCAAAAAGGGAGAAAAAGGACUAGAAAUAUGCUAAAAAUGCGUCUCAAUGUUUAUUUUACUUUUACCUUUGAGGUUGUUGCGUCCAAGUAAAAGGAUCCUAAGCAUAGUCAAGUUUCCUAUUUCUUCUGGUAUAACCCCUUCCAAAUAAUUAACAGAUAAGGAUAGUUGCUCUAACUCUUGGCACUUGAAUAAAUUCAUUGGAAUUGGGCCAGAAAGGAGAUUAACACUCAAAGUAAGCAAAUUUAAUCUAGGUAAAUGAUCAAACAUAUCUGAUGGGAUACGACUAGUGAGAUUGUUAUACGACAAAUCAAUUCUUCGCAGGGAAGACAUGUUGAAUGGGAUGGAAGGUAUGGAACCACUUAGCUGGUUUCUUGCGAGAACAAUCUCUACCAAUGAAGAUAUGUUGAAGACUGAGGAAGGUAAGGAGCUUGAAAACUGAUUGUCGUGCAAAUAUAAAUAUCUCAAGCUAGGAAGAUUUCCGAUUUCCACAGGGAUAACUCCCAUAAAGUUAUUACAGCUUAAAUCCAAAAUUUGAAGUUUAACGAAAGAACCAAACCAAGAUGAGAUUUUUCCUUCGAAAUGAUUGUUAGACAAGAUUAGAAAUUUCAACCGACGCAAAUUAGCCAACUCGACGGGCAACGAGCGAUGAAAAUAGUUGCCCCCAAUAUCAAGGGAAACAACAAAAGACAGAUUUCCCAUGUUUGGUGGUAUGGUUCCAGAGAGAUUCAUGCGAAAUAGAUCCAGAGCAAUGACUCUGUGGUGUCGAGAUCCGCAAGUGACACCAACCCAAUUGCAAAUAGAUGUAGCAGUUGACCAGUUGGCGGCCAAAAACUCACUGUUGACACGGGCUUUUAGUGCAAGAAGAGCCAACUGGUCUGUGCUGAUGUUGGCUGUUGAUUUCAUAGAGAAUGAAACCCCAAAAUUAGACCGCAUCACUACUGCCAUAAUAGCGAAAAUGAACCGAGUGUUUCCCAUGAAGUUACGUAGAAGUGAAAGGAAAAUUUUUUAAAGAUGAACGGGAAAGAUGAUGUUUCGUUCUCAAUAUAUAGAAGGAAAAUUGUGAUGGGACUUAUUUCCACGUGCAACUGGCCAAUGCAUCCUUAUUUUCAAAUACUUUAUAUAUUUUUAAUUAUUUUAUCUAAUUUUAUCAGCGAAUUUGGUAUUUUUUAGCUCAUGAUACCAACUUAAAUAGUAGUUUUAUUUUAUUCAACUUCAAUAGUAGUUUUAACUAGUAUAAAUACAUAUAUUAAUCAUUAUUUAUUCAACUAAUAUGUUUUCAUUUUAUAAAUAUUUCACUGUCAAAAAAUAAGUACAUCAUUUUUAAAAAAAAAUUGAGAUACGGUCAAAAUUUAUUACUUUAUUUAAGGUGAUGAAUCAAAUUUACAAACCAACUUUAAACGCCCAAUAGCUUUUUGAGCGAUAAUUGUUUUUGGUAACUGUACAGGUUUCCUUUCUUCAUACUAGGUCUCUAUGCAAUGAAAAGUCUCUUGCCAAUUAAGUAAGAGACUUAGAAUGACAUAUUGGUUCUUGAGACUAAUAAAUAUAAUUUUUUUUAAAAAAAAACAACUUUAAACUAGUAUGAUGCAAUUUUAACCUGAACUCCUAAUUUGGUUAUAAAUAGUAAAAAGAAAUUCCGCUAAAAAAUAAAAAUAUUUUACAAUUUACUAUUAAUUUAUUACCAUUAUUUUUAAACCAAAUUAAAAGUACUAUGCUUAAAAUUAUACUUCUAAUAACAAGUUAAUUAUUUUUUUUCCUGAUAUAUCAUUUGUUCAAUUGGCCAACAAAAGGCCAUGUAACUUACCACGUUAGAUAAAAAAUAGUCACAUCAUCGAUUAAAUAGUCCGUAUCAUUAAUUUUUUUUAAAAAAACAUGGUGUUUUUAUUCUCUUCAUUACCAUUAUGCCAUCUUCAAGUCCACAUCCUUAAUUUAAUGAUGCUUUAUUGAUGGAAGGAUCCAAUUGAACAUUUAAUAUAAGUAUUUGAGUCUCUUUCAUCCAGGUUUUGUAAGUUCUAUGACUGGCAUUUAUUUUUGGUUAUGUGCCAGUCUCUUAAUUCAAAGGAAUGAUGAAAGCUUAGUUUUAGACUUAUAGCUGGGCUUUUGUCCUUUUGUUGCUCAGGCUUCAUGAGUAAAGGGUGGAGAGUUCUUUUUGAUGUUUUGCUUAAUUUAGGAAUGAGAAAUUGCUAAUAUUUUUUUGAGAGGUGGUAUGAAGUGUUAAUGUUCAAUGAAAGGAAGCACAGACGAGAUUUAAAUGCCAAAGAAGUCUUUAGCAUGGAGACUUCAGUUGGCAUUGGAUUCUAGUGCUAAUAAAAUUGCUUUUUUUAAAAAAAAAAAUUAAUAUAAGUACAAUAAUUUAUCAAAAGAAAAUUAAAAUGAACCAAAAUCCCUACUUUAAUAAAGUAUAAGAACCAAAUCUGUACUUUAACCCUUUCAUUCUUAUUCUUUCAGAGCAUAACAAAAAAUGAUUAAAAAGACCAUUUUUAUUAUGUCAUCCAUAAAUUUUAUAAAUUACAAUACAACAUGCAAUUAAAAAUUAUUACAAAUUCAGCGUACAAAAUCUGAUUUUAUGCAUGCUCACAUAAUAACUUUUGGUUACUUAUCACAUUAAGCUGAUAUAUGUGGUGAGAAAAACCUGUCUAAUAAUUUAUAAAUUCUUAUUAAUAUAUGACUGAUGCUGAUGUAAUUUUAAUUAAGCAUUCAACCCAAGAGGAAGAAAUGAAAAGGGGAAUGAAGAGGGACAAUUCAUAAAGGAAAUUAAAAAAGAUGGACAAAUUGCCGUGGUAGAAAGGAAAGGCAUGAAGCGUGUUGACUGUUGUAUGCAUGCAUGUUAAAAUUGUACUAUAAAGACUUGUCUGCAGAUACCCUUAACGUGAGUUAAGGGCCAUUGUAUAGCUUUUAGGGGUGAAGAGUGAAGACUACAUCCACUAUUUACUGUCCUUGAAUAACGUAUAAUUAGGGGAUUCAAUCUGUGCUCUUACAUGCUGAAGUUAAAAAAAAAAAUUAUUUAAGUAUUUAAUUUAAUAAUAAAUAUAUAAACAAGAAACACAGUAAAGAGAGAAGUGCACAGAGCCUAGUGGUGUAAAUAAGAGAUUACUGCAUCGUUACAGAGCACUAGGCUCUGUGCACUUCUCUCUUUACUGUGUUUUUUGUUUACAUAGUUAUUAUUAAAUUAAAUACUUAAAUAAUUAUAAUAGUGAAGCUUAUUAAUGCAGCUGAUAUAUGUCAUUAGAAGAACCUAUCUAAUAAUUUAUGGAUGCUUAUUGAUGUAUAUGACUCAGCUGAUGUAAUUUUUAAACAUUGAAAGCAAGAGGAAGAAAUGAAAAGGUAGUCACAGAAGAUGAAGAGGGGCAGUUAAUUGAUCAGAGUUUCCUAUAAGGGUUUUUUUUACCAGUGAGAAAGAUGAAUUAUUUGUUAUUAGUUCAUAACUAAUCAAAACCAACGUUUUUGUCACUCUCCUAUCUAGCUAGCCAAAUUUCUUCUUAAUUGUGAUGGGACCUAUUCCCACAUGCUCCCCACCGCCCUUCUAUGUUGAAGAGAGAAUUUCAUAGAGCAAUUUUCGUGUUUUCUAAUUUAUUUGCAUUGAUACAUAUCUAUAUCUAAAGGGGUAAACAUAUAAUAUUACUAAUAAAUUAAUUGGAGUAUCAAUUUAGAUAACAUAAUUUUGAGUAUAGAAAUGCUUUUCGGCAAAAAUUUUAUAGUCCAUGAACUUAAACAAUAUUAAAUUAGAGUCCAGGAACAAUUAGAACACUAAUUCCACAUAAUACCACAUAUAAAUGUGAAAUUGUAGAUCCAAGGAUUUUUCAACUAAUUCCUUUGUAUUCAGUCAAGGAAUUUUUUUCGUCUAAUUCUUGUUCGCUGGUGAAAAUUGUAGACACAUCCCUCUCAUCUACCCUCAUCCAUUCAGUCAUCGUCAUCGUGUUGCUGGUGAAAUUGUAGACACAUCCCUCUCAUUUACCUUCAUGCAUUCAGUCAUGGUCAUCGAUCAGAAGAGUUAAUUAAGUCAUCUCAAUUGCUGGUAAAUAAUAAUUGCAGCGAGUUGUGCACGGAGAAGUUAUUGCAGUUGGCCAUGUGACCCUUCAAAUCGACGAGCUACUCGGUUUUUCUUGUAACGUGCUUUCGAAUUCUCAUCUAGUCAUUAUUCCUCAAUUGACUAUCUUUCUUUCUAAUGUGGGAUUCACACUUCCAAUUUGAAUGUGUAGGACAUUCCUCGACUUUCAGUUGCUUUUCCAUAUUAAUUGACAAAUGAUACUUGAAUAACAUAGUCCAUAUGGGACAUCCUAGUUGUCAAUUGCUCUGCCUAAACUUGAAGACCCCGAAACUCGUUUACUGUUUUGGCUGGUUACGAUCAUUAAGAUCACAACCAUCUAAAGGUUCACCAAGAAUAAUUGUAGCGAGUUGUGCACGGCGAAGUUAUUGCAGUUGGCCAUGUGUCCCUUCAAAUAGACAAGCUGCUAGUUUUUAUUGUAACGUGCUUUCCAAUUCCCAUCUAGUCGUUAUUACUCAAUUGACUAUCUUUCUUUUUUAAAGUGGGAUUCACACUUCCAAUUUGAAUAUGUAGGACAUUCCCCGACUUUCAAUUGCUUUUCCAUAUUAAUUGACAAAUGAUACUUGAAUAACAUAGUCCAUAUGGGACAUCGAUCCUAGUUGUCAAUUGCGAUGCCCAAACUUGAAGACCCCGAAACUCGUUUACUGUUUUGGCUGGUUAAGAUCACUACUAACUUCCCAAUUCCAUGAUUAAGAUCACAACUAUGCAAAGGUCCACCAAGAUUUGGAUCCUGAAUCCGGCUGGUCCCAUUGGGCGUCCUCUUUUAAAAUUUAAAUUUGAUCUCGAUUUUACCUAUAAAUAAUGCCAAGAGAUUUAACUUAAAUGGACAAUAUUCAAAGUAAAUAAUAAUUUUAAUUUAAUAUAAUUUACAUCUAAAUUUAAAUAUAUAUAAUUCACUCUUUUGUUUAGUCUACUAAGCAAUUUAGUCUGCUAAACUACUUAACCUAGUCUGAACUCAUGAGUCGUGAUAUAAUAGAUAUUUAUACAUAUAUUCAUAACAUAAUUAAAUUUAGAGUAAAAUACUUUGUCAGUCCUAACAUUUAAUCAUAAUUACACACAGGUCCGUUAGUUUGUAAAAUGGACACUUAGCCCUAAACAGUAAACAACAUUAAUAUUUAAAUUAAAAAGUCUAAAAUAUCAUUCUUUUUUUUUUUACUUUUUUUAUGUCGACUGACGACGUUCCUUACUCGACCGGCUACCUUGUGGCUGAAUCUGGCUCAGAUCCGACUGGAUUUCUCAAGGACCACCAAAUCUAGUGCUCCCAAGACCACCAACAUUGGUGCUUCCCAGGGAGCACCGUUCCAAGGAGCAUUUGUGCUCCCUAGGGAACACUCAAAUGGUGCUCCCUUAGGAGCACCACCCGGGGGGAGGGAGAUCAAGCCGGAGCUGGAUCUGGCACUCCCUAACCGAAGCUGGAUCUGACGCUCCAGCUUAGGGGAUAGAUUUUUUUUAAUAAGAAAAAAUAAAAAAUAAAAAAAUUAUAGUUUAUAUAAUGUGCUAAUUUUAAAAAUUGAUGAAAGGUAAAAUUAUCUUUUCAAUAGUAUCAUGUCAUCAAACCAACGAAAAUAUUAAUAGUAGACUAACAGCUGGACUUAUGUGUCCAGCGAAAAAUAUUCUUUUGGGACAGACUGUCCAUUUUAAAAACUUAUAGACCUGCAUGGAAUUAUGACUAAAAGUUAAGGAAUAAGGAUAUUUUACCCUUAUAUUUAUUCCAUUUAUCAUUUACACAAUGAUUAGUCAAAUGCUUCCUUAAAUGAAACUAUUAAGUCAAUAUUUAAAUGGAGACAGAAGCACUAGCAGGAGAAAAAGCAAGAUUGUGAAAAAUAGGGAAGGUUUAGGUGCAAGGCGGCAUACACUUACCGGCUAGAUAAGAGCAUGGGCAAAACUUUGAUUCUUACCCUUAAGUAGAAAGAAAUUUUUGGUUUUUAGAGUACAAAUAUACAAAGGUUAACCAAGAUUUGGAUCUUGAUUCAGGAUGGUCCUAUUGGGCCUCCUCUUUUAAAAGCCAACUUCAAUUUCGGUCCUGUCUAUCUAUUUGUUAGUUAUUUUAUUAUUAAAAUAAUAAAAUAGUAUUUUAUAUUAAUAUGUUAAUAUUUUAAAAUUUAAAAUAAAAUAAUAUUAUAACUUAAUUGAGCUCAUACCUAAAAAUCCAUGCCUAAGCCUAAUCCGAAUCAGGUCAAAGUCCAUGAAUCUGGACAAGUAACUCAAUCCUUAAACAUCUCUAAAAAUUGCAUUUUUUUUUUAUAAUUAGGGUAAGGGGGAUUCAAACCAUACUCUUUAGGCAAGAGAAAGUUGUUUUUGUACAUGUUUCUAACUUUUAUUUUUCUUUUAAUAUAAACUAAAUCUUAUAUCUCUAUUACUCUAUAAGUGUUUUUUUAUGAGAUUAUAUUUACAAGUAAAAAAUUAUAAUUGCAUCAAAUAACUACUAAUAUAUACUAUAAAAUAAAAAAAUUAAUAAUAAAGUAAAAGAUUUUGACCCAUGAAAUAGAUUUAUAUAAUAUAGUAAUAAAAUUUAUUUGGACUGGGUUAUCAUAGCAUAACAUAAAACCAAGACAGUUUUGAAAAUUCAAUAAAUUAAAGACAACAUCCAAAAGCAAUCAGCUCAUGUAGAAAAGAAAAUUAAGACAAACACUUGCCUCUAAAAUAAAGUAAAAGGAAACAACAGAUUAUUGGAUAAAAUAAAAGCACCUUGACAUUGAGGUACAAUUGAACCUGCACUCGAACUUCAUUUUCUCGAUUUGGGGUUCAAAGGAGUUAAAUGGAAACGCCAGCAACAUGAUGCUAUUUUCAUCAAGCCCACCUGUUCGAAUCCUUCAAAAACUUAGUUUUGAACUUCUUCAGCUUAGCAACAACAUUUUUCAUGUCAAUCCUCUCUUUUGGCAACUCUUUUGAACAUUCUAACGCCAAUUGCAAAACAGACAAUGCACAAUCUUUUAUUGCACAAUGUUCUCACUCUUUUUAACUGAUUAGCAAAUUGGCAUCCAUAACUUCUAUUAAUUCAGAUGGUAAUAACUCGGUCACCCAAUGUUUUAAGCUCAUUUCUCCAACAAACAUUUCAUUCAUGGGCUUUUUUCUUGUUAAGGUUUCAAUUAGAAGAAUGCCAAAAUUGUACAUAGCACCUUUUAAUAUGAAACAACUCCUUGUGUUCCGUAUUCUACAUGUAAGUCAUUACAACCAUCAUCAAAGUAUGUAAUGAUUUCAUAUGAAUUAUUAUAAUGGAUGAGAAAAGGUUUAAAGUUUAAGCAUUACAUGGUGCCAUUUACCCAAUUUUUGCUAGUGUUAUGGUUUGUAUUGUUGAAUCCUCCUCAUCACCUAUCAACUUUGCAAUAUCAAAAUCACCCAAAUGUGCAACCAUAGCUUCAUCUAAUAGAAAAUUGAUGGGUUUUAAAUUACAAUGAGCCAUAGGAAUUGGCUGACCAUGAUGGAGGUAUUCCUAAUGCAAAGGCCACAUCAAUCAUAAUGUUCAACCUAUGCAAGAUAUCAAGAAAAGAGUUAUGAGAAUACAACCACUUCUCAAGGCUUCCAUUAGGCAUGAACUCAAGCACCAAAGCUUUAAAAUCAACAUUGCAUUAACUACUGAUGAUUUUGACUAAAUUUCAGGGUGAAUGUUGCACAAGACCUCACACUCAACGUCAAAGCUCUUAAAUGCGUUCAUCUGAAAGAGUACCUUGGUAUACCAAGCCAAAAUUUCUUGCACCAAGUAAUUUGCUUUCACAAAAAUCAUUUGUGGCCUGAUGAAGCUCUUGGUAUGAAAUUCUUCUCCUCUUUGCAAAAACAUUCGAAUUUUCUUGAUCAGUUUUUUGCUUUGGAUGCCUUUUUUGUCUUUGCAAGAAAAAGACAAUUAAGGCUAGUAUUAAUAGCAUCGAGCCAACUGGCAAUAAAAUAAAAUUAUAAACUUAAUAGCUUUCCUUGAAUGUUUAGUGGAAUUAGUUUUGCAUGGUGGGAGUUACAGUUGAGGUGCACCACAUAGCUCUUUGUUCCCCAUAAACGAUUUAAUUGAGUAGUUGGCAAAAGGUCCUUCGUCAAGAAUUUCUCCGCGUAGUCUAUUGAAGGAGACAUUCAAAUACUCAAGAUGCAAGAGUUUUUGCAAGGACUUUGGAAUAAUUCUAGAGAAAUUAUUCCUUGAUAGAUCCAGGAAUUGCAAUCCUAUUAGCCCACUAAAUAACUUAGGUAUAGACCCAUACAAUCUGUUACUGGAUAAUGAAAGAUAAGUUAGGUCUUCAAGAUCACCAAUACUACUAGGAAUUUCAAUUGAUAAUUAAUUUUUGGAAAAAUCAAUCCUAGUAACAACCUUCCACUUUCCAAUGUCAAUUAGGAGAGCGCCGCUGAGAAAAUUGGAAGACAAGUUAGUUGUAAGAUAUCUAUAAGCCUUGUGAAGGUUGAGGUAUUGAGUUUGCAAACUUAUUGGAGCCCAAAUAUCAAUGGUGUUGUGUGCUUUGCUUGUGUGAUGUGAAAUGUGCUUAAAAUUAAAUGUAAAAUACAAGCAAAGACUACGUGCAAGUGUACACAAUCGCAACGAGUAAUAAAGUGGUCAAUAAAGUGUCGGUCCGUCGAGGAACUAUCUCUAAUUCUAUUGUUAAAUACCAAUUUCAAACUAAACUAAUUCUAUCCAAGAGUUGAUAAUUGAGAAGUGGUGAAAAUGAAAUCUAAUCACUAAAAUUAAUCUAGAAAUGCAAGUAAAUUGAAUUGGAAAUGAUGGAGAAAGACCUAGGAUUGUGGUUUAAACUAAUGCUUCAUUUGGACUUAAGAUUAACUAACUAUUUACUUUUAUGAAAAACUAAUGCUAGCCUAGGAUCUUUAAGCAUAUACGAUUCUCUGUGGAGAUAUCGUACAAUGGCCUAACUUAAUUUAAUUCUCUAUAUAUCUAUAGCUAUUUAAUUAAGCGAAGUUCCUUAAGUAUAGGUCCUAUAAAUUGAUUGCAUAUGAUUAAUAGGUGUUUGUCUAUCCUAUUAACAAAUCACCCUAUUAAUUUCUACUUGCAAUGAUCAUAUACUAUCCAAACCAUGGUCUUUUAAGCUAACUUUGUCAAGUCAUAUCUAAAAACCCAAACAUAUCCUAUUGGGGAUCAGUCAAUAAAAUGGGAAAUAGUGUAGAUUUGAAUAAACAUUAGAUAUUCCAUAAAAACAAGUAAUAGUCAAUCAAGCAUCCAAACUAUCCAUUCAUCUCUACCAUAAUCCUAUAAAGGAUAGUUUAGCCUAACAUUUCCAUUGCCCACAACAAAAUUUCAGCAAAAUAAAGCAUUUAUACAAAGAGAUUUAGAGACAGAACAAUAAAGCUAGUGAGAGAAAAUUCUUUUAGUGUAGCUUUGUCAAGCUUCUUUUUAAGAAUUCCUCUCCUUUUCUCCUAGUAGAAAGGUUUGUUGGCUCCAUUAGUUUUUGAUGAUAAUAAAACAUUUCCACUCAUUUAUGUCUAACUUUAUUACUUGAGUGUGCAGGACAAAAAUGUAUGUCAAUAAUAAAUCAUUGAAAAGUUGAUAUCAAAACUCAUAAGAAUAAGGAGUUACAAAUGAGCCACAAAACAGAAACCACUUAGUUGGAUAAAGAAAGGAGUUAGUCAACUAAAACUCAAAAAUGAAGAUGGGCCAGUUUAAAAACAGAGACAACUUAAUCGACUAAGAAAUAUUGUUAGUCGACUAAGAGCUUAUUGCCAGAAACUAGGUUCAGAGACAAAGACAACUUAAUCGACUAAGAAGUAUUGUUAGUCGACUAAGUGCUUAUUACCAGAAACUGGAAACAGAAGACAGAGACACUUAAUCGACUAAGAAGCAUAGUUAGUCGACUAAGAGCACUCUGUUAGAAAAUUUGAAUUUAAUGCUAGAAGACAGAAACUAUUUACCAAUGGUCAGAAACUAUCAAACAUCCAUCAAAGGUGGUUCUUCAAGUAUAAAAACCCUCCCCAAUGGCUAAAGACAAGAUUAGAUGCUUCCAAGAACAAAAAGAGCUCAAAAAUAGCAAAAACUCUCUGCAUACUUUCUACAUUUCACUCCUAUCCUUGUAAUAGAGUUAAACACUUCAUCUUGUACCAUUCAGAUUAGGUUAGUGAUCAUAGGUACAUCUUUAUUAUUGUUCUCCUUGUUUACUUAGAGUGUGCGAGUCACUCUAAGGGGAUUAAUCAAGCUUAGGUUGCUUGAAUGGUUGUAUAGGUUCUAACUUAGCCUAAAAAAGUUAGUUUUGGGUUUUGGUUGAUCUUGAAAAAAACUAUUAUUAAAGGUUGUGACUGAGCCUGUGAAAAGCUAUUGUAAAAGCUUGGUGGGAGCUUGGGAAUUCCACCGUUUAUAGUGAAUUGGUUUAGAAAAUCCUUAAUUGAACAAUCAAGCUAAUGGAUGUAAGUUUUUGACCGAACCACUAUAAAUCUUUGUGUAUUGUCUCCUCUAUUUUAGUUUUCAUUUUCAUUUUUUCUUAAAUCAUUCCUUCAUCUUGCAUCAAACUUCUCAUUAUUGACCUUCAACUUGCCCUCAAUUAGAAAUCAAGUUUAGUGAGAGCCAAAAAGUGUUAUUCACCCCCCCCCCCCCCCCUCUAGCACAUUUAUUUAGACCCAACAAGGUUCCCUUUUUCCUCUUUUUUCCUCUUCAAAAACUCUAUUUUCUUAGCUCAAAAACAUAAAUUUGUACCCCUCACUUUUAGCCCUAGCCAUAAAAACUCAUGCAAAAAUUUCUCAUUAAAUGUGUGUUUUGGCUACAGCCAAAAUGGAUUCUCAAUAUAGCCAAAAUGGAUUCUCAUUGUAGCGAGAAAGUCUCUAACUUGAAGUUUUAAGGAUGGCUGAAAUUCUUGUUGCAGCCAAAAUGGGAUUUCGUUAUAGCGAGAAACUUGCUGUCUUGCACUAUGCAAUCUGUUACAGUCAGUCAACUUUCUUUGUAUUUUUUACCAUGAUCCUUUUUAAACUGGGUUAAGUGCUAAAUAUCAAAGUUGUAACUCUUCCUCUUAGCUUUCCAUAGUUCUAAGAAUUGUGAUUGGAGUUUUGUAGCUCAAGAUAUGCUCUGAUUACUGCAGCAUGGUUUGAGGUCAACUUAAGCAAAAGUGCAUAAUCCUUUGCAAAUUUGACUUCCAAGCUCUUUGGCACCUUCAUUAACAUAUAGCAUAAUCAAUAGAAGGUACAAACAAGACUUAAUAACAUGAAAAUAAACUCAAAUUACUUAAUUAAACUAUUAAAGCAUGCAUAAACUAAAUACUAAGAAAAAUUAUAAAAACAUCAAAGGCCUAAAUUAAUUAAAAACAAGAGGAUGUUAGUCAUUUUUAAGCUCAAAAGAAUGCAAGACAACUCUAUAAAAUAGAGUUUUCAGAUGGCGCAUUAUGAAUCCCAAAAAUUUACCAAAAGAUACUUUAAAGGCACACUUUAAGGGAUUCAUCUUCAAUUAAUAUAGAUGCAAUUGUUCUCUAGAAAAGAUACAUAGAAACCUCUAGAAAAAGGCCUAUAAACAUUUUAAGAUAUUUUUAAUGGCUUUUGAUCAUAGAUUUUCCAUGGACAAAAAGAGUAGGGAGUGAACAAAAAAGAAGUCAUGAUUAAUGGUGGCUAGAUAGCAGCUUUGCUGGUUUAAUCUGUAUUAAAGAAAAAUGUUGAAGUUAAAACUUAAAACCAAUGCUGAAAAACUUAGUUAAAAAUUGAACAUAUAGCUAUCUCAGCAUUUCAGUUUUACCUUGAAAACAAAUCAUUAAAUAAUAAAUAAAAACUGGUUAGCAUAUGCAGGCCAAAAAAUUGACUUAUAAGCUAAUAGUAGUGUAAUAAAAGAAUGAUGAAAUUCCAAAACUAAUGUGCAUCUAAUUAAUUUCUUUCCUUGAAUUUUCUUCAGAUGAUUUGAAAAAUAAACUUAAAAGGAAAAAUGUAGCUUCCUUAAUCAAUUUAGAUAACCUGAGCAGACAAAACAUGAAUUUCCUUAUUAUUUUUCUUAUAUAUCUGAAGUUUCUGUAGCAAAAACUAAAGCUUACUUUAACGUGGAAUUGUGUAGCAAAAACGUUCUUCUGUGACUUCAAGAAUAGAUAUCAUCUGUCCCAAAAAGGAUAGGAUAUAUAUUCCCUAACAAUUGUCAGCUGUCAGGGAAGGAUAUCAACCAUAAUACUAUCUCCCCUUUCUCUCUCAUAUCCUCUCCCUCUCUAUUCUUUUCUUCUCUUCCUCCUUUGAUGAGUUGUUACUCACUUAUAAAGAAUUAGAAAAGGAAUCACAAGAAAACCUUUGAUGUCCCAUUUUUUUGUAGGCCCAAACGCUUCAUCUCAGCCCAGAUCAUGCCAGUCCCUGUCUAACAACAUAAUGCAUUUACAAAGACAAAUCGAAAGUAAUCUCUAAUAUUUAUUUAUUCAUAUUGGUUGUUUCAAGACUACGCAUCACAAACAUUACAUGAAUAAGCAUAUUAAAAUAUUAUAAUUGAUUAACAAUGUAACAAGCAGAACCUAAUUGUGUCUUAUUGUAGAAUUCAUUGAACUUAAUGAAAUACAUAAUUUUCAAAAAAAAAAACCUAAUUUUUGGGCACCUCUAAAAGUUAUAUUUGUACAGGUUUCUAACUUUUAUUUUUCUUUUUUCCUAUAAGAAAUAUAAACAAUAUAAACUAAAUCUUAUACCUCGAUAUAAGUAUUUUUUAUGAGAUUAUAUUUACAAAUAAAAAUUACAAUUACAUCAAAUAACUUUUAAUAUAUAUUAUAAUAUAAAAUAAAUUUAUAAAUAAACCAAAAGUUAUCCAUCCAAUAAAAUAGAUCUAUAUGAUAUAGUAAAAAAAAUUAUUUGGGCUCAGUUUUCAUAGCAUAACAUAAAACUAAAUAAAGUUCUGAAAAUUCAAUAUUAAAGACAACAUCCUAAAGCAACCAUCACGCAAAGAAAAGGAAAUCAAGACAAACACUUGCCUUCAAAAAAAAAAAAAAAAAAGGAAACAACCAAUUACUAGGUAAAAUAAAAGCACCUUGAUAUUGAUACGUUGAACCUGCACUCAAACUUAUUUUCUCGAUUUGGGAUUGAAAGGAGUCCAAUGGAAAUGUCAUCAAGAUGAUGGUAUUUUCAUCAAGCCCGCCUAUUAGAAUCCUUCAAAAACUUGAUUUUGAUCUUCUUCAAAUGAGCAACAACGUUUUUCAUGUCAAUCCUCUCUUCUGGCAACUCUUCUGAACAUUCUAACGCUAAUUGCAAAAUAGACAAUGCACAAUCUUUUAUUGCAAAAUGUUCUUGCUCCUUGGUACUAAUUAGCAAAUUGGCAUCUACAACUUGAGUUAAUGCAGAUGGUAAUGACUUAGUCAUCCAAUGUUUUAAGCUCAUUUCUUCAACAAACAUUUCAUCAGUGGGCUUUUUUCUUGUUAAGGUUUCAAUUAGAAGAAUACCAAAACUGUACACAUCGCCUUUUAUGGAAACAACUCCUUGUGCUUGGAAUUCUACAUGUAAGUGAUGAAAACAAUAGUCAAAGUAUGAAAUGAUUUUACACGAAUUAUCAUAAUGAUUAAAAAUGUUUAAAGUUUAAGCAUUACCUGGUGCCAUAUACCCAAUUGUUGCUAGUGUUAUGGUUUGUACUGUUGAACCCUCUUCACCUAACAGCUUUGCAAUGCCAAAAUCACCCAAAUGUGCAACCAUAUCUUCAGCUAAUAAAACAUUGCUGGGUUUUAAAUCACAAUGGGCCACAGGAAUUGUCUGUUCAUGAUGGAGGUAUUCUAAUGCGGAUGCCACAUCAAUCAUAAUGUUCAACCUUUGCAAGAUAUCAAGAAAAUAGUUAUGAGAAUACAACCACUUCUCGAGGCUUCCAUUAGGCAUGAACUCCAGUACCAAGGCUUUAAAAUCAACAUUGCAACAACUACUGAUGAUUUUGACUAGAUUCCGGUGACGAACAUUGCGCAAGACCUCACACUCAACGUCAAAGCUCUUAAAUGAUCCUUCUACCUCCAAAUUAAAGACUUUUAUGGCAAUGCUGAGUCCAUCUGAAAUAGUACCUUGGUAUACCGAGCCAAAACUCCCUGCACCAAGUAAUUUGCUUUCACAAAAACCAUUUGUGGCGUGGUGAAGCUCUUGGUCUGAAAUUCUUCUCCACUUUGCAAAAACAUUCGAAUUUUCUCGAUCAAUUUUUUGCUUUGAAUGCUUUCUUUGUCUUUGCAGGAAAAAGACAAUUACGGUUAAAAUUAAUAGCGUUGAGCCAACUGGCAAUAGAAUAAAUAUUAUAAGCUUAGUAACUUUCCUAGAAUGUUUAGCAGAAUUAGUUUUGCAUGGUGGGAAUUGCAGUCGAGGUGCACCACAUAGCGCUUCAUUCCCCAUGAAUGAUUGAAUCGAGUAGUUGGCAAAAGGUCCUCCAUCAGGAAUUUCUCCGUGUAGCCUAUUGAAUGAGACAUUCAAAUACUUGAGAUGCAAGAGUUUUUGCAGGGACUUUGGAACAAUUCCAGAGAAAUUAUUCCUUGACAAAUCCAAGAAUUGCAAUUCUAUCAGCCCACCAAAUAACUCAGGUAUAGACCCGUACAAUCUAUUACGAGAUAAGGAAAGAUAAACUAGGCCUUCAAGAGCACUAAUGCUACUUGGAAUUUCGCUUGAUAAUUGAUUUUUGGAAAAAUCAAUAUGAGUAACAACCUUCCACUUUCCAAUGUCAAUUGGGAGAGCCCCAUUAAGAAAAUUGGAGGACAAGUUUAGUUCCAAGAUAUCUAUAAGCCUUGUGACGGUGGAAGGUAUUGAGUUUGUAAACUUAUUGGAGCCCAAAUAUAGAGCUCUUAGAGAAACGAGAUCACCCACGCAUGCUGGUAUUGGUCCAGCCAAUCUGUUCUCUUCGAGAUGCAAGAAACCCAAACUCUUCAGACGGCAUAAGUUAGAUGGAAUAGAUCCUUCUAACUUAUUGACUUCAAGAGAGAGAGCUUGCAACUUUUCUAAUCUUCCUAUUGUGGUGGGAAUAGAUCCAAUCAGUUGAUUGUUAGCUAUGGACAAGCUGAUCAAGUUGCUUAGGUUGCUAAUCUCUUCCGGAAUGUUGCCCCUAAUGUUGCAGCCCACAGAAUCGAAAUAUUGUAGCGAAAUAGAAAGAUUUCCUAUAGAAAUAGGAAGUUCAGCAUCGAUCAAUGGAUUAUUACUAAAAGACAAGACUCUCAAGUCUUUGCAAUAUGCUAAAGAUGAGAGAAAGCUCAAUUUUGGAGAUGAAAGUGUGCUAGCUAAAUUAUUAGAAUGUAGGUUGAGGCGUUCUAGAUCUCUUAGAUUGCCGAGAUCAACAGGAAUAUAUCCAGAAAAUGAAUUCUCUGACAAGUCAAAAAUUGUUAGCUUAGAGGCAUUGGAGAUGGAGGUAGGUUUUGUUCCGUUCAACUCAUUUAUAUCAAGUAGAAGCUGUUCAAGCUUUGGAAGCCAUAGUCCUGUGCUCCAUGGAAGACAACCUGAGAGAUGGUUUGAAUAGAGUGCAAUGAGCGUCAUAGUUGAGCUAUUAAAGAUACCAGGAUGGAUAUGUCCGGAGAUACUGUUCGAUCCCAAAUUCAGACGCACCAAAUUUGGUAGGUUGCCUAUCUUAAGUGGUAUUUUACCUGCCAUAAAAUCAGAAGUCAUUUGGAUUUGUUCCAAUGAUCCAGAAGCAAAUAACAAAAUUAAUCAUCAAAGUUUUACACACAUUUCUAUUUUUAUAUUUUAUAUUAUAAAUAUAUAUAACAAAGAGUGAAACAGUUGGGAUUGGUAAAUAAUAGUUUUAAAAUAUUUAUAACAUUUGCAACUAUGCAGAAACUCAACAUACAUAAGAAUAAAUGUAACAUAUUACCUGUCAAGUUAUUGUCGCCAAAAUCAAGUUCUUCCAAAAGUGUUAGGUCACCAAUUUGUUGUGGAAUUUCACCUGCGUAAUGUAAUUGAUCCAUUAAUUAUUUUUAAAUUUAGCAACAAAUAUAAGGUCCAUUUAUUUGUCAAAUGAAACUAUCAAAAUUAUCAAAAAAAGUUUAGAAUUUAAAUAAUACAAAGCAAUGCAAUCUUUCACUUUGUAAAUAAUUUAUUAUUUUCCUUUUUUAAUUUAUAUAAUAUAAUGAAAAUAUAUUAGAAAAAGUUGGAAAAAAAAGAACAUAGAUAAGUAGAUAGUAUAUUUGAAUUUUUGGUUGAAUGGUUCUUGAACAGAAUAGAAAUAAAAUUCUUGAUUAUAUAAAAAUGAAAAUAAAAAAAAGGUGAAUAUCAACGGUAAUAAUUAAUUUAAAUAAAAAUAAUGAGAUUAAUAAAGAGUGCAACACUAUGACCAAAAACCAGAAAGAUAUAAAAAAGAAAGAUUUGGAAAAUUCACAUUAUAUCAUAAGCUGAAAAACAGGUAAAACAAUUAUUUUUCCUUCUACCUUUGAGGUUGUUCCGGCCAAGAUAGAGAAUUUUAAGCAUAGUCAAAUUUCCAAUUUCUUUUGGUAUAGUUCCCUCCAAAUCAUUAUAAGAUAAGGAUAAUUCUUCCAACUCUUGGCAUUUGAAAGACAUGUUGAGCGGGAUGGAACCAAUUAGCUGGUUGUCGUUAAGAGCAAUCACUAGCAAUGAAGAUAUGCUGAAGACCGAGGAAGGUAUGGAGCCUGAAAGCUGAUUGCUGUCCAAAUAUAAAAUUCUCAAGCUAGAAAGAUUUCCGAUUUCCACAGGGAUACGUCCUUGCAGAUUGUUGUUAUACAAGCCCUAUAACUCUAGUUUUGACAAAGAGCACAAAGAAGAUGGGAUAACUCCCACGAAGUUAUUACCGCCCAAACUCAAGUAUUGAAGAUUAGGGAAGGAACCAAACCAGGAUGGGAUUUUCCCGUUGAAAUUGUUGUAACGCAAAACUAGAGAUUUCAGCCGACGAAAAUUAGCCAACUCGAUAGGCAAUGAACCAUGAAAACUGUUGUUUGCAAUGUGGAGGAAAGCAACGAAAGACAGAUUUCCCAUGUCUGGUGGUAUGGUUCCAGAAAGAUUCAUGCCGAAUAGAUCCAAAGCAAUGACUCUGUGGUGUCGGGACCCGCAAGUGACACCAACCCAAUUACAAAUAGAGGUAGCAGUUGACCAGUUGGUAGCCAGAAGAUCACUGUUGACACCGGCUUUCAGUGCAAGAAGAGCCAAUUGGUCUGUACUGAUGUUGGUUGUUGAUUUCAUAGAGAAUGAAACCCCAAAAGUGGGCAGCAGCACCGCCACCGUAAGAGCCAAAAUGAACCCAGUGUUUCGCAUAAUGUUAUGUAGAAGUGGAACUUGAGAAAGGAAAAUUUUUGAGUUAUAAGUGGGAAAGAUGAUGUUUCAUUUACCAUACACACAAGGUGACCAAAAUUGUGAUGGGACCUAUUUCCACAUGCUUCCACCGCCCUUCCACAUUGAGAGGAAAUUUACCACUUGCAUAUUGGAGAGAAUUCUAAAGAGCAAUGUUAUCAUGUCUUUAUUCAAUUUUAUUAACAUAUUUAAAGGUCUAAAAAAGUAUUUUUAUUGAUAAAAUUUAUUACAAUUAUCAAUUUAAUUUUUAUGACACAUGUGAUACAUAAUUACAUAAAGAGAAAUAACUCUCUUCAUCACAUAAAUCUCAUCCUCUUAUCAGAUCAUGAUUAAAACUUGAAACUUCAAGUUAAAACCCUAAAUUCUAAUUACCAAGGAGGUAUUUGUUCAAAUACUAAAAUAAACAACUAUAUAUGAUUAAGGAAAUAUGUGUAGAUAUGUAAAAAAAUUUAUUCUGACAAUCAAAACGAACAUCGAAACAGUAGGACCAUUAAGAUAUUAGCUCCACACAAUAGCGUAUGAAAAUGUGAAAAUGAGAAAUCACUUUCUGUCAACGUCCAUAAGUUCUAACAAAGACUUUUGUGGUGGCUAUAAUUUAUGAAGUCUUCUCAAACACGCACUUGGUAAGAAUACUUCCACUGAGUCAACGUCGAACUUAGCGCAAUGACUCUACGACCCUUAACUCGAUUAUCAUUAAUGUUAAUAUUUUUCAAGAUACUAGUUUUUCUUGUAAUGCAUGCGCUUUGCAGUUCCCAUGUGUCUAUUUAUUAUGUUUUUUUGGAACUAUUUAUCUAUUCAUUAUUAAUCUACUGAAAACUCUUCAUUAUCUUUAAUUUUUUGCUUAUCUAAAAAUUUAAAUUUAAUUUUUGAAAUAAAAAAUUAUAUAUAUAUAUAUAUGUUUGUUAUUGAAUCAAAUACUUAAGUCUUAUUAGUAACCAAAAAAUAACUUUUUGGAGAAAAUUUUUUUGUGUAAAAUAUUUUACAAGAAUAUUUAAUAUUUUUUAUUAUUUGAAUAAAUUAUCAAAAAUAUUUUCUUUUAUUUGUAUCAUCUCACAAAAAAUAUUUUCCACAUCACUGCUGGAGUUAUCUGAUGUUAAAAUGAUAAAUAGAAGUUGAUGGUGCCAUUUGGGUUUUACUAAUUUGGGAUCAAAAUUUGGAAUCGAUAUGAAAAUGGGAAAAAUCAAUAAUGAUGUAUCCCGAAACAUUUAAUCAUAUAUAUAUAUAAUAAAGUAAGCUCUAAUUUUAAUACAUUUUCCAUCUCAUCACUUUUACCAUAACACUAUAAAAAUAUCAAUAUUCAUCAAUUGUGUAAGACAUCCAAAACUUAUACUUAUAAAUUUGUAUUUAUCAAAUGACAAUCCAAAUGACAAUCAUUCAAAUAUUUUUUAUUAUAAUUAUUAGUAAGAUUUAUUCAAUUUAUAAAUAAAACUUUUAAUUGUGUUGAAUGAUUUCAUUAUUUUUAAAAUUUAAUAGUAUUGAACAAUUUAAAUAUUAAUAUUUUAAGUUAAAUUUUUUAAAUUAAAUAUUAAUAUUUUUUAUUUUCUUAAUAUUUUAAGUUAAAUAUAAAUAUUUAUCAAGCCUAUACUUAUAGAGUUAGCAAUAAGAGUUUUUAUUCUUAUUUUUUUGUUAUAUGAAAAAUGUCUUACGCGUGGGUGAUUUUCGUGUUAAUUUAUAAAAUGUUUUACAAAUGAAAUAAAGUUUUAAUCUUUCAAAUAAGCAUAAGUUUUGAAAACGUUUUACGAAAAAUAUUUUAAAUCAAAACAAAUUAAACCAUAAAUACAAUUUUGUUUUCUGUUUGAGCAACAACUCUCUAUUAUCUUUCUUUUUAAUAUGAGAUUCAAUUUCCACUUCCAAUUUGAUAAAAUUGUGGAAAAAUUCACAACUUUCAGUUUCUUUGACAAAUGAUAAUAUACGGUGGAAUGUCUAAGAUAUGGAUUUAACCAUUAAAAAGAAAAGACUCAAGAGAAGGGGCAUCCAAUUGUCAAUUGACAUGGCUAAAAUUGAAGACCACGCAAUUAGUGCAAGAUUCUCUGAAUGAUUAUCACUUCUAGAUGGAGUUCUUGGAAGCAAUGCUUUUGUGUAAGCCUCAUUUUCUCAACAAAAUCCAAAUUAUUGCUUCUUUUGGGAUCAAAUCUUUGAGCAUAGUUUAAACAUUUAGGAAAGUGAGUUAAUUAAGUGUGUUAAGACAAUACAAACCGUUUCUGAGAAAAAAGAAACUUUAAAAUUAGUUCAAUUAUGAGUUUACAAUUAGCAAAAGCUAGAAUAAGAUACAGGAUUAAUACUGUAGAAAUUUUUGACUCAUUUUUUAAUUAAAAGUUAGAAAAAAAAUCUUCUAACUCGAUUAUUAAUCAUCAUUUUAAUGCUGAAAUUAAAAAACCAAUAAAGUUUUCUAACCCGAACAAUACGCUAUAAUUGCAGCUGCGUAUGACUUGAAGGCAACAUUUUCUUGUAGCUUGUAACUUGGAAAGAUUGUGGUUGACAGAAGACUUAUAUCAUCACAAUAUUCUACCAUCUAGCUUAAAAAGCAAGUUUAAGUUACACUGUUGUCAAUUCAAUUAUUUCCAUACGACAUUUUCAUAGCUAGAAAUCAACCAAAUACUGACAAAAGUAGAAAAUGUAAACCAUUUUAAAACAGCAAAAGACUACUGCAGAGACAUGAGAUAUAUUUAUCAACAGAUUUUAUCUAUCACAAAGCCACCUGCCACCUUGACUAAUUUUUUUUUUUGACAAUUAACAUGGAAAGAUGGUAAGGGUAAAGAUUGCUACAUCACACUGAAGUUUUACUUGUUGAUGUUCGAUAACAAUGCAGGCAAUCUUCCAUAAGAAUUUUGGAGGUUCUCUCAAUCCAUUUGAUUUGGUUUCUCGAAAAACAGAAUGUGUUGCUUGACACCACUGUACAUGUUAAAGCUUCCUUUACAAAUUAUGAUACGAGAGGGGAAAAUUAGGACAACCGACGGACCCAUAGGCAGGUCUAAUAAUGUGUUCAUAGAAAGGAAAAGCAUGAAGCGUGUUGAAUGUUUUGGCUCCUAUUUGACGGCACAUAUCCAAAUUCAAUCCCUUUCACAGUUUUUUUCUCUGAUCCUUAGCUCACAUUACUCCCUUUUCUCAAGGUUUUUAAGUUUUAACCCGAACAAUACGCUCUAAGUGUAGAAAGUUUAUGGUUGACUUAAGUCUCAUAUAAUAAACAAAUUCUACCAUCCAACCCAAAUUGCAAGUUUACGUUGCAAUCUGGUCCAUUGUUUUCAGUAGGACAGUUUGUUGUUAGAAAUGAUCUACCAUCCAACCCAAAUUAUAAGUUUCCCUUGCAGUCUUGUCCAUUGUUUUUAAUAGGACAUUUUGUGAUUAGAAAUCAACCAAUAUGAAGAAAAGACAUGUAAAAUAUUCUAAUAUAUAUACAGCAAAAAGGAUUACUAUGAGAUAUUUAUAAAAGAGAGAUUUUGAUUUUAAAGUUAAUAUAAAUUGUGUGAUCAAACAUGACUCUCAUAAUUUAUAUUUAAAAUUUAUGUUCCAAACAUAGCAUAAAUGAAAAUUGAAAUAAACUUAAAAUUUUUUAUAGAAAAGUAGGAAUUCUUUCCUAACUCUAUUGAAUUCUGCCUCGAAUCUCUAGAAGAACAAGAGAAAUAUCAAUUCCUUUGAUUUGGAGAAGAGAUGAUUGAGAUACACAAGAGGCAAACAAUCCAACUAGAAACAUAUUACAGCAACUGAGAUACACCACCAGAAGAAAACAAUUAAAGAUCAUCAGAACAAGUACUAAUCAUAACAUUCAAUUGAAUUACUAAUGAAACAAAGCAGAACACCAUUACCCAUUCACGAAACAGAGCACUAGCAUGAAAACCAUCAACUGAAUUCCUAUAUACACAAAACAAACCCUAGUCGUAUUGCCUAUUUUUUUUAUCGAUAUACAUAAGUUAAUAUCUAAAGAGGUAAACAUAUAAUAUCACGAAUAAAACUAAUUGGAGUAUCAAUUUAGAUAAGAUAGUUUUGAGUAUAGAAAUGCUUUUUGACAAAAGUUGUAGUCUAUAAACUUAAACAAAUAUUAAAUCAGAGUACAAGAACAAUUAGAAUACUAAUUCCACAUAAUAGCACAUAUAAAUGUGAAAUUGUACAUCCUAGAUUUUCAACUAAUUUCUUUGUAUUCAGUGAAAUUGUAGUGGUUGGUGAAAUUGUAGACACAUCCCUCUCAUUUACCCUCCUGCAUUCAGUGAAGGUCCAUCAUUGAUCAGAAGAGUUUGUUAAGUCAUCGUCAUCUCAAUCGCCUAAUCCAUACUUGGUAAAGAAUAAUUGUAGCGUGUUGUGCACGGCGAAGCUAUUGCAGUUGGCCAUGUGUCCCUUCAAAUAGACAAGCUGCUAGUUUUUCUUGUAACGUGCUUUCCAAUUCCCACCUAAUCAUUGUUACUCAAUUGACUAUCUUUCUUUUUUUAAAGUGGGAUUCACACUUCCAAUUUGAAUAUGUAGGACAUUCCCCGACUUUCAAUUGCUUUUCCAUGUUAAUUGACAAAUGAUACUUGAAUAACAUGGUCCAUAUGGGACAUCCUAGUUGUCAAUUGCUCUGCCCAAACUUGAAGACCCCGCAACUAGUGUAAUAUUCUGGCUGAUUGAGGUCACUACUAACUUCCCAAUUCCAUGAUUAAGAUUGCAACUAUGCAAAGGUUCACCAAGAUUUGGAUCUUGAAUCCGGCUGGUCUCAUUUGGUGUCCUCUUUUACAACCUAAGUUUAAUUGCGAUCCUAUCUAUAAAUUAUUAAUUCAGAUGGAUAAUAUUUAAAUUAAAUUAUAAUCUUAAUUUAAUAUAAUUCAGAUUCAAAUCUAAAUAUGCAUAAUAAAAUCUAAAAAUUAGAAUCAGAUUACAUUCGUUUAUUUAGCCUGCUGAACUGUUUGGUCUGCUAAAUUGCCUGACCUCAUCUGGACUUAAUAAUCACAUUUAUACAUAAAUUCCUAACAUGCUUAUAUUUAUUCCAUUUGUCAUUUACACAAUAUUUAGUCAAAUGCUUCCGUAAAUGAAAUUGUUAAGUCAAUAUUUAAAUGGCCAGAGAAGCACAAGCAGGAUAAAAAGAAAAUUUGUUAAAAGCAGGGAGCAUUAGAUGCAGGGCGGCAUAGACCACUCCCAAAGACAUAGGCAAAACAUUGAUUCUUAACAUUAAUUAGUGAGAAAUUUUUCGUUCAUAGAAUACGAGUGCAACUAUAAAAUGGUUAACUAAGAUUUGAAUCUUGAAUCAGGCUGGUCCUAUUGGGCCUUCUCGUUUAAAAGCCAACUUCGAUUCCGACCUCCCUAUUUAUUUGUUAGUUAUUUUAUUAUUAAAAUAAUAAAUAGCAUCUUAUAUUAAUAUAUAAAUAUUUUAAAAUUUAUUUUAAAUUUCAAAAUAAUAUAAUAUUAUAACUUAAUCGAACUCAUACUUAAAAAAUUCAUGCCUAAGCCUAACCCAAAUCCGGUCAAAGUCCAUGGAUCUAGGCAAAGUAACUUAAUCUUUAAACACCUCUAAAAGUUGUAUUUGUACAUGUUUCUAACUUUUAUUUUUCUUUUUUCCUAAAAGAAAUAUAAACAAUAUAAACUAAAUUUUAUAUCUCUAUAAGUGAUUUUUAAUGAGAUUAUAUUUACAAGUUAAAAUUAUAAUUACAUAAAAAAUCUUUAAAUAUCUUUAAAACAUUUAUAAAUAAACUAAAAGUUUUUGACCCAUAAAAUAGAUCUAUAUAAUACAGUAAUAAAAUUUAUUUGGGCUUAGUUAUCAUAGCAUAACAUAAAACUAAAGACAAUUUUGAAAAUUUAAUAAAUUAAAGACAUGAACGUUCUGGAACAACCAACUAACAAAGAACAGAAAAAAUCAAGACAGACACUUGCCUCCAAAACAGAGAGAACUAGAAAUAAUGGAUUGCUAGGUAAAAUAAAAGCACCUUGACAUUGAUACAAUUGAACCUGCACUCAAACUUCAUUUUCUUGAUUCUGGAUUCAAAGGAGUCAAAUGGAAAUGCCAGCAACAUGAUGGUAUUUUCAUUCGACCCGCCUGUUCUAAUCCUUCAUAAACUUGAUUUUGAUCUUCUGCAGCUUUGCAACAACCUUUUUCAUGUCAAUCCUCUCUUCUGGCAACUCCUCUGAACAUUCUAAUGCCAAUUGCAAAACAGACAAUGCAAAAUCCUUUAUUACAAAAUGUUCUCACUCCUUGCUACUGAUUAGCAAAUUGCCAUCUACAACUUCAGUUAAUACAGACGGUAAUGACUCAGUCACCCAAUGUUUUAAGCUCAUUUCUCCAACGAACAUUUCAUCUGUGGGUUUCUUUCUUGUUAAGGUUUCAAUUAGAAGAACACCACAACUGUAUAUGUCGCCUUUUAUGAAAACAACUCCUUUUGUUCCAUAUUCUACAUGUAAGUCAUUAAAACCAUUGUCAAAAUAUGCAAUGAUUUUACAUGAAUUAUCAUAAUGGAUAAAAAAAGUCAAAAGUUUAAGCAUUAACUGGUGCCAUAUACCCAAUUGUUGCUGGUGUUUUCAUUUGUACUGUUGAAUCCUCCUCAUCUAACAACUUUGCAAUGCCAAAAUCGCCCAAAUGUGCAACCAUAUCUUCAUCUAAUAGAACAUUGCUGGGUUUUAAAUCACAAUGAGCCACAGGAAUUGUUUGACCAUGAUGGAGGUAUUCUAAUGCAGAGGCCACAUCAAUCAUAAUGUUCAACCACUUCUCGAGACUUCCAUUAGGCAUGAACUCAAAUACCAAGGCUUUAAAAUCGACAUUGCAGCAACUACUGAUGAUUUUGACUAAAUUUCGGUGGCGAAUGUUGCACAAGACCUCACACUCAACGUCAAAGCUCUUAAAUGAUCCCUACCUCCAAUGGCUCUACUGAAAUUUCUACCGAUUGGAGCUUUUUCAUGCAUUCUACCAAAAUUUGUCUAGAGGAUUAACUUUCUUGUGUAUAUUUCAUGGCAUAUAGAUUUUGGAAGAAAUUUGUUGGCAAGAGGCCACUAAACUCAUUUUGAGAGAGAUUUAUUAUUUGCAAUGACAUAAAGGAAGGUGUAACUAUCGAAUUCUCCAGGGGACCAUGAAAUCAAUUAAAUCAAAGGAUAAGAACUUGCAGCUCUGGAAGUACACCUAAGAAACAAUCAAGAGAAGUACAAUUAAUCAAGAAUCGUGACAGUAACCAUUCGAAUUGGUUGUUAAUAAGGGCAAGAUUUGUCAACGCGUUACCCUUGGCAAAGUAAUCAGGGAUUUUGCCAUGAAAGUUAUUCCUUUGUAUGUUUAUGGAUGAGAGAAAUUGACUAAAAUUUCCAAGGCAUGCCGGAAUAGUUCCACCUAAGUUGUUUCUAGACAAAUCAAGAAUUACUAGUGGAGUCAUAUUGCAAAUCAAAAGAGGGAUCCGUCCUGUCAAUUUGUUUUUUGAAAUGAAGAAGUUUCACAAUGAAGGUGGAAAACACAUCAUAAAAUUUAAUGGAAGAGAAGGGGACAGAUGUAAAGGAAAAUACAUCAUAUGCUUCAUCCUCUACCAACCAGAAAUAAUGUUUGAUGCAUGAUAAGGGGUGCCCUACUGGCUGAUGAUGCAUGAGAAAAAUAAAAUUAAGCUGGUUGCAAUUUAAACUUCCUAAUUAUGUUUCUUACCUAGCUUAAUCACCUUAGGAAAAAAUAAUAAAAAAUCUACUAAUAAGCGAGACUAAGGAAGCUAGUCUAGUGGCCUAUUCAUUCAAAAAAGUUCACAUGGCAAUAGGGGCACUAAGUGACUGCUGGUAUUUGGUGUCUUUAAUUAAACCUUACCAAAUGAUACAAAUUCUAGCUUUUCAGAACGUUACCUGAAGUGCAGCUCCCUGCAUGUUCCUUGUGUCACUUUUUUGGCCAUUGAAAACUUGAUCAUGAUACAUAGGGGCAUUUAAAGCAAAUAAGGCUUUUGACUACAUUUAUUUAUUUAUGCUUUCAAGAGUUACAAGUUUUAAAUAAAUGCCUAAUUAACAGUAGUGUUCCACACACACAACUUUAUACAAUUGCAUAUUUUUACCUCUUUCUCACGAACUCAAGCAAAACUCAUAGAUCUAGUAGUGUGGAUGCAUUGUUGCAUACACAUCAGACCCAGUUCUUGUAAUAAAAACUAAAUCAUAUUAUAUUUCAAAAUGCAAUGAGACUAACAUGAAAGCUCAGAUCAAAGCAUCAUCUCCAAUGGUGACAUGUCCUAUGUCAUAUCUUGUGUCAUAUGUUUCUUAAUUCCACGGACUCUUAAUUUUACAACAUAUCCUAGAUUUACCAUCUAAAAUCAAAUAUUAAAUUAAUGAGUUCACCAUCCAAACAACAAUUUAUCUCUAACCCAUUUCAAAAUUGAAUCAAUUUAAGAUACUUUGAUUGACAAUAUAAAACAAAUGAAAAGUAAGAAUAAUACAGAAACAAAAUUGAAUAUCAUUUUGAAAACAAUCCAAAAAAUGUAACGUGACCUUUGAAAUAAAAAGAGUAAUAAAAUUGAUCAUACAACUGACAAAGAGAUGAUAAUUUAAGUAAGCAUUUAAUUUUUGUUCCUUUUUAUUAACAAAAAAUUAAAGUAAACUUCAUAUUUUAGUUAUAUAACUUUUAAAAUAAAAUAAACAUAAAAAAUCAGAUAAUUUAAUUGAAAAUUUCCCUCAAACACCCCAUUUAUUAGAGUUUUCUGUUUUACCUCUAAAAUUAAUCCAUAAUUUUAUGUUCAAUUUUCCUAGCAAAAAAAUGCAGCCAUUAAAUGAUUUUUGUUUAUAUAUGAGGUGAUAAAAAAUUCAAUAUUGAUUGAAUAAAGGAACUUCUUAUCAUCAAAGCAACUUUAAGAAAUUGGAAUGAUUAUUACAAUUAAAGGGAGGACCAGAGAGAUAGUUUUUUCUGUUUUUUUUUUUUCCCAAGAAGAAGAGAGAGCUCAAAAGUAAGAAAUUCAUCUCACAUGCAAGAAGCCAAAACCACUUUAUGCAAUGCAUAAAACUUGUAAAACUAAAAGAAAACUAAAAGAAAACUAAAAGAAAAGCUUCAAAGAGGAUACAAAGGAGAGGAGUUAGGAAAUUGCUGGAAAGUUUCUAUGCAAUGCAUGUUCACCUUAAAACCACUUUACUAAAACUUGAAAACGAAAAACAUGAAAGCGUCUUCACUGUUCUUGAUUGGGCCUACUACUCUUCACUCAACAAACUUAGUUCAUUCUUACAUGGAUCCUUAGCUGCAAAAUUAAACAAAAUGACAAAAAAAACCUAUCAAAUUAAUAGAAUAUAUACAAGAAAUACUGUAAAGAAUAUAUAUUAUUAUAUAUGUUUAAUGGCUUAUGAAUAUGAUAAUAUACAUUCAUUGAUCAUCAUUUAUUCAUUUAAAUUAUUUAAUUAUGUUUAUUAGUUUAAUGUUGCAACGUUAAACUUUUUUAUUUAUAAUUACUACGAUCAAUUAAAUUUGAUAGUGGAGUUUUAAAUUUCUUAUAUAAUUUAUAGAAUAAAGAUCCAAUUUGUGUAUACCUAUUUAAGUAUAUUAAAUUGUGGUUCUUGCCCUCCAAAUUAGAGAUCAAAAUUCUUAUUUCAAAUUAUUAUAAUGAAAGUAUGUACUACUACCUUUUUCAUCAAAUUUUUAAUUUUCAAUAUCUAAAUUAAACAAAAGGUUAACAUUGUUUUGAGUUUUUUGCAUUAUUUUCACUUUUCAUUCUUUAUUAUUUUUUCAUUCAUUACUUAUCAUUCGAAAAUAUAGAAUAUAAAUGUUUAUAAUUGGAUUUAUGGAACUUGAUUUGUUAUUUCCGUCAAUAGUUUAAUAUAAGAUUGUUUAUUAUAUAAGUACGAAUUUAAUUAACAAGUUCUUUUCACUUUUUUUUCCAAUAUUACCCAUUCUAAUUUGUUGUUUAGGGUGUUAAUGUUUGAUUUAGUAUCAAGCUCAAUAAGAUAUUUUAGAUUUUCAAAUGCUUUAGUUUUUUCCACCAUUGACAUUACCUACUACGUUUUCAAUGACAGAAUUUUCAACAAAUUUUUUCAUUGUAAUUUCGUUGGAAAAAGUCAAUUUUUUUGGAAUGUUAAAAUUGAGUUAAUUAUAGAAAAAUGGUCUUAAUUUAAUUUAAUUUCCAAAUUUGCAAAAAUAAUCCCAGACAAAAUGAGAUGUCUACAAAUAAUAUUUUAUAUAAAGAUUUGAAUAAAAGUGCUAAGAUAUGUACAAAAACUUGACUUUUUUGUAGUGUUAAAAUAUUAGGUUAAUUAUUAAAAAUGGUCUUAAUCUAAUUAAUUUCAAAAUUUAUAAAAAUAAUCCUGGAUAGAAUGGGGUGUUUACAAAUAUUAUUUUAUAUCAAGAUUUGGAUAAAAGUGCUAAGAUAUAUGUAUGCAUAUUUAUGAAAUACUUGUUGUAAUUAUGAACAUCAUCAUUGACCAUAAACUAUAUUCACACCAAAAUUUUAUCAUGUCAUAAAUUAACAAAUUGAAGAUAAUACUAAAAUUGAUUUGCAUUUAUCCAAAAAUUAGAACAACAUUGAAAUUAUUAUUUCUUUAGAAUUUUUAUUAAUAAAGUCAAUUAUUAACCUUUUCAAGAAGGAGUGGGCGAAACAUCCUUACCAAUUAAAGUACAUUUAUUCCAUAUUUGAGCGGUUUUUGAUCAAAUCACUGACGUAAUGUUAUUUUUAAAUAGAAGACUUUGAAGAGUUUUUUCACCAAUGCAUUAUGACAAAGUUGAUCGAAUCUUAUUUGUUUAUGACAACAAUUAUCAAAAAUGAUUUUGAUCUUGAAUAUAUUGACGAAAACUUUGAUAACACAAUACAAUGUCAAUCUUAUUUUUACAAUUUUUUGCUUUGAUUGGAUCAACAUCACGUGCCAUGACCACUCCGCUUAUCAUAAUCACCAAAAUACUAAAAACAAUAUAAACAUUGAAACUUACCAUUACGUUCAAGGAAUACUAACUUCUCUUGCUUUGUGGUUGAGGUUGAGGGACAUGAAAAGUGAACUACUAGAGCAUCUCUUUUUCAAGUCAACCAUCAAGUCAUUCCAGAUCUUUUUAAGUUGUUUUCUAUUAAUGUAUUUCGAGUCAAGUCUUUUCAAAUUAAAACAUUAUUCACUGUGUUGAGAAUUUUUAAGAGAAAACGUGUUUGCCUAAAAUCAAAACUAAAUUAUUGGAAAAAAUUGUUGGUGGCAUGUGAGAAUGAAAAGCGUGGAGCCCACUGAUCCUAUCCCAUCUGAGACGUUAGUAGGAUUCGCCUACUUUCUUGAAUUCUCACUGUAUGCCUCCUUUUAUUUUGUUGUUUAUAGGAAAGGCUUAUUGGGAUAAGCAAAUUAGACCCAAAUUUCAUUAUCGAAACCUCAGUGGAGUAGAGACACAAAAACUAUUCAUCUUAGAAUUGCAACUCAUUACACAAACAUGAGUUGUGGUUGAGGCUGAGGGACAUGAGAGGUGAACUAUGUACCGGAGAAGUAGGGACAUGAAAGUGUUUGUGCUGUGUUAGACUGAAAAGCAUUAAGGCUGCUGAAUCCUAUCUCAUUAGAGACGUUAGUAGGAUCUGCAUAUUUUUCUUAAAUUCUCAUUUAAUGUCCAUUUUUGUUUUAGACCCAAAUAUUUCAUUAUGGGAAUCUAGGUGGAGUAGAGACAAAACAACUGGCUUUAGAAUUGCAACUCAGUACAACCAGUGUUAUUGUUUUUGUCAGAUUUAUUUUUGAUAUUUAAGUUUCAUUCUAUUCAUGAAAUGCUAAUGUUACUUGGACAAUGUUCAAGCAAGAACAUGAGUGCAAGGGAUGCCAUUAUGCAAGAAUAUAAGCCCUACUUUUAUCAAUUAAUGGAAGUAACAUUUUUUUCUGUAAGUAUAUAGAAAAAAAUUCUUAAGUCUUAAAAAACAGAAGCAACUCUCUCCAAUCUUUUUUUUAUUAUUUUGAAAAAGAAAAAUUUCAAACCUAAUUUUUUGAAUAUGAAAAAUAUAUGCCCUUAUAUUGAAUCAGAUACUAAAAUGCAAUUUUUUUCAAUCUAUACACUAUAUUUUCUUAUUUUGAAAAGCUGUUAAAGUGGCCUUUAAGAAAAAGAGAUGAUGAUUGAAGUAAACAUUUAAUUUUUGAUCCUUGUUAUUAACAAAAUAUUAAUGUAAACUUCAUAUCUUAGUUAUAUAACUUUUAAAAAAAAUUAAAAAUUAAAAAUCAGAUAAUUUUAUUGAAAUUCUCCCUAAAAAGCCCCCCUUCGUAGGAGUUUUUCUGUUUUACGUCUAAAGUUAAUCCAAAAUUUUAUGAUUUUAAGCCCUCAAAAUCAUUUUUGUUUGUACGAUUUAACUCACACGAGGUGAUAAAAAAAUUAAUAAUUCAGCAAAUAAUUCCGAAAUUGAAAUCUAUAAAAUUGGGUCAAGGCGGUGGGCCACCCGGCCCCUGGUCUAAUGUCGUGUUUAUAAAAGGGGAAAGCAUCAAUCGAAUUGACUGUUAUUGUUUCUCAAUAGAUGGGACGGAGUCUUCACUCAACAAAGUUAAUUAAUUGUUAUAUGAACCCCUAGUUCACGUUAAUCCCUUUUCUUAUGUAUGAAAAUAUAUAUAUGCAAUUUUUGAAUAUUUAAUUCAAUAAUAGGGACCAAAUCUGUACUUCAACCUUUUCAUUUUUAUUCUUUCAUUGCAUAACAAAAAAUUAUUAAAUAGACCAUUUUUGUUAUGUCAUCCGUAAAUUUGAUAAAUUAUGAUACAACAUGUAAUAUGAACUCAUGCAUUCUCACAUGAUAACUUUUGAUUACUUAUUACAUCAAGCUGAUAUAUAUGAUUAGAAGAACCUAUCUUAAUAAUUUAAUUUAAUGAUGCUUAUUGAUGUAUGAAUGACAGAUGCUGAUGUAAUUAUUAAACAUUGAAACCAAGAGGAAGAAAUGAAAAGGGAAAUUUAAAAAGAAGGGCAAAUUGCCGUCUUAGAAAGGAAAGGCAUGGAGCAUGUUGACCGUUGUAAAUUUGGAUUCAAAUGUUUUCUAUUUGCAAUAAAAAAUGAUAAAAUAGUAAUAGAAAAAUCAAUAAAUCAAUAAUAAAGAGCAUAAAUAAAUUACUUAUUCAGUACGUUUUUCCAAAAACAUACCUAAGGAGUUAUAAAUUUAAGAGCAUGGUUAUUCUAUAAAAAAAAAUGGAGUGAAAAACUUUUUCAAAAUUUAGUGUUCAUUUUUUAACCAAACGAUACUGGAGUGAAAGACAGGAUCAAAAUUAAUUUUCAAUUAAAAAGAUAGAAAAAGUUUUUUUUUUUAAGGAGAAACAAUCCGCUAUACGUGUAGCUGCAUAUUGACAAAUUGUAGUUUAGAAAGAUUAUGAUUAAGUCUCAUAUAAUAAUCAAAUUCCAUCAUUUAAUCAUAUCCGAAUAUUUAGUUUAUUGGUUGGUGCAUGUUCCCUACUAAGAGUUUACAUUUUGCAUGUUCUCUUUCUCUCGAAUUAAAAAAACAAAAUUCCACCAUCCAACCCAAAUUGCAAGUUUACAUUUUGCAGUUAGAAAAAAAUGUAAAACAUUCUAAUGUAUAUACAGGGAAAAGGAUUAUUAAGGGAUAUUUACUAACGGACCUGACCUGCCACAACCUUCCACCUUGACUGAUGUCCGUUUUAACAAUUAGCAUAGAAAAAUGUUAAGGGUAUAACUAGUGAUCUUUAUGUAACAUCCUCCCUUAAUUAUCAAUUCAUAUUGAAGAUUGGCCAUUUCAUGACUUUAUCUUCCCACUGCUCUUGUUCACUUUUCCUGAAGAAAUUAAUUUACAUCAUGUCAUUCUCUUUGUUCUAAAGAAAUUUGAGGGAUAGGUCUGUACCUUUCAGCAUAAACUUGAUAAGCUAUGUGGCCAAAAGAAGAAAAAGAAAUUGGUCCUUUACUCUUUGAAAUACAUGAAUAUAUUGAAUAUUUACUAAUUUUUUAAUAAUGCUUGUCUUCUUCCUCACCAUUUUAUAUAAUAAAUAAAAUUCAUAUUCACUUUUCUAAAUUUAUGUUUCAAACGUUUCAUAAAUGAAAAUUGGUACAAACUUAGAAGUUUAAAUAGAAAAUUCUAGGAAUUCUUUCUUAGCUCUAUUGAGUUCUGAUAUGAAUCUCUUAAAAAAACAGGAGAAAUAUCAAUUCUUUUGAUUUGGAGAAGAGGAGAUUGAGAUACACAUGAUGAACAAGAAGCAAACUGUCCAGCUACAAACAUAUUACAGCAACUGAGAAACAUUACCAAAAGAAAACAAUAAAAGAUCAUCAGAACAAGUACCAUUCAUAACAUUCAACUGAAUUUCUAAUAAAACAGAGCAGGACCAUUUCCCAUUCAUGAAACAGAGUAUCAUCAUGAAGAUCAUCAAGAGCUUGCACUGGACAGAUUAGCACCAAACAAACCCCAGUCAUAUUUCCUUUUUCUGGAUUAUAAAACAGUUGUUUUUGUCCUUAGUCAAUAGGCAGUUCGGAAAGCACAUUAGCCUUAUGACUACGACCAAACUUUCCCAUUUCUGAAACCACACAACAAAAUGAAAAAAUACAUAGCUUAAGGAAAAACCAUUCUUUCUAAGAUUUUCAAAUAAAAAACCAUAUCAGAACAUUACAACAAAUUUGACCUAAAACAGCACAUUUUUAAAAUGUGCUACUAAAAAUAUUUUUAAUAACGUUUUUUUUAUGUUGUUUAGAACAUUUUGUAAAUCUAAUUUCACUAUAUAAAUUUUUAAAUGCAUUAUGAAUAAAAGGUAACGAUAAGAAUUGCAUGCAUUAACAAAGGUUGCACUUUUUUAUAUUGCUACUAAAUGUGAAAAAAGUGAAGUUAAAAAUUUAAAUAGUUACACUUUUUAAAUUUUACGAUACAAAAAAAUAUGUCGCCUAAAGAAGUGUGAUUAAAACUCAAUUUUUUUUGUAGUGGAACAAACUGCUGCCUCACAAACAAAGGAAAGGGAAAUAAAGACACAAAGAUAGUUUCAGAAAAAAAACAUUUUUCCGUUUAGGAAAAUUGAAAAGCCAGCUACAUGAUGGUCUCAUCAUUUGGCCUGCCUGUUCAAACCCCUUAAAAACUUGAUUUUGAUCAUCUUCAGCUUAGCAACAACUUCUUCCAUAUCAAUCCUCUCUUCCGGUAAUUCUUUUGAACACUCCAAUGCUAAUUGCAAAACAGAUAAUGCACAGUCCUUUAUUGCAAAGUGUCCUCUCUGUCUAUUACUUAGCAAAUUGGUAUCUAGAACUUGAAUUAAUGCAGAUGGUAUUGACUUAGUCACCCAAUGUUUUAAGCUCAUUUCUUCAGUAAACAUUUCAUCUACGGGCUUCUUUCUUGUGAAGGUUUCCAUAAGAAGAAUACCAAAACUGUACACAUCACCUUUUGUGGAAACAAUUCCUUGAGAUCCGUAUUCUACAUAUUUGAUUUCAUGGAACACAUCAUCGAAAUAUGCAAUACAAUGUUACAUAUUAAUUAGUUAUGAUAAUAAAUAAUCAAACCAAUUUUUAAAAAUUUAAUCAUCUACUUCAAAGAGUUACUAUGUGCAAAUUCUUGUGUGUUUAUGGGUCAAUUGCAUGAUUUGAAUUAUAAAAUAGAAGCAUUACCUAGUGCCAUAUACCUAAUUGUUGCUAGUGUCAUGGUGUUUGUUGCUGAAUCCUCUUUUUCACCUAACAGCUUUGCAAUGCCAAAAUCACCAAGAUGUGCAACCAUAUCUUCAUCUAGAAGAACAUUGCUGGGUUUUAAAUCGCAAUGGAUCACAGGUGUUGUACAACCAUGAUGAAGGUAUUCCAAGCAGAAGCCACAUCGAUCAUUAUGCUCAACCUAUGCAAGGUAUCUAGAAAAUGUUUAUGAAACCUCAACCUUUAUAGACCCGUAAUUAGAAGUAGACGCGAUAACACCAACUAGGGGUAAUUUCAUCAUUUCUCAUGGGGAGCUCCUGGGAGUAGUUUUCUAAUGUUAUUAAGGUCUAAGUAGGCCUAAGGAAUAAAUGAAUGAGGGUAAAAUAAAUGAAGAAGAUAGAAAUACUGAUAAUUUCCACGAUAUGGGUAAAAUGGUCAUUUUGCACCUUAAGCCAAAAUUUUUAAGUUUUCGUGAACUUGAGUACUUUUAGACUAUUAUGGACUUUGUCUCAGUGUCAAAUGAGUAAAAAGAUUGCAUAAAGGAAAGGAGGAAGACAAGUGGCCUUGUUAAGGGCAUUAUUGUAAAUUGUAUGAAAAUUGGAUAAACUUUAACUAUAAAUAUUUAAUCUCCAGCAGCUUUUCUUCAGUUUUCCAGUAGCUUCUCUUCUUCUUCUUCCUCCCAUCCUCCUCUCCAUUCCAUGUUUCUUUGCACCUUUCAUGGAAGUCUCCCUUGAAACCUUUAAAACUUUCCCAAAUUAGCUUCAUUUCUCAUGUUUUUCUACACCCUUUCAUAAGGCUUUUCAUGCUCUUCCACUUUUACACCUUAACAACCUUCAAAAGUCUUUCUUUAGUACAUUCACUCACUAGCUGGACGUGUAGAAAGAGAGAGAGUGAUUUCUCUUAUUAGCUUGAAGGAUUUUGAAAGAGAAUUCAACUACAAAGACCACCAAGGUUCCAACAAAAACCCAUUCCUCCAUUCGGAACAUUAGUUGAAGUUAGAGCCCACCAAAACAUCAACAAAGACUGUUGCGUGAACUUGCAUUAAAUGUUUUGGGGUUAGGGUUUAUAAGUUUGAUAGAAUCAAAUGAAACAUGUUAUUUGACUUUCUUUAAAAAUGCAUGGGAACAAGCCCUUAAUGGAACAAUUUUAUGUUGUGAAAUAUGUAAUGUGAUGUAAUGAAUCCAUGUGUUCUAUGCUAUGUUGAUACUUAUGUUAUGCCUUGGAUGGUAUCAUUGUGUGAUGAGAUUGGAAUGUGUGAGUAGGGAGUGCACAUGAUGAUGAUGAGAUUGAAAUGUGUGAGUAAGGAAUGCACAUGAUGAUGAUAUUGAAAUGUGCGAGUAGGGAAAGCACAUGAUGAGGUUAUUGCCUUGUGCAUGUAGGGAGUGCACAUGAGCUGAGUCAAGCGGGGUGGUGUACGUGUUGAUAUAUGUUUAUGUAUGUGUAUGUGAUAGAAAGUUUAUGAUUAUAAUAUGUGAUUGUAUUGCAUGUUGAAUCCCGCAUGAUGAAUUUUGAAAAUUGCUAAUUACUUGCAAAUUGAUUUUAUUGCAAAAAGAUCUUUUUUACUUAAGUGCCCUGUUUCUCGCUGUAGCGAGAAUGCCUUUUCUGCUGUAGUGAGAAACCCUCUGUCUGUUUGUCUUCCUUGGAUAUUGACUGAAAUUUUUCAUUUUUUUUCAAUUUCAUGGUUAGUAUGGAUCUUUCAACUCUAGAAGAUCAAACAAUCAAGGGUUGAAUUGAGGGGCUUUACAAGAAAUUAAGCUAAAGUGCAUGGGUUUAAACAUAAGUGCAUCAUAUUUUCAAAAAAAAAUCUUUCCGUGUCAUUUGCUUGUUCACUGCCUAUGUUCACUCAUUGGUUUAUACUCACUGAUUUCAACUUUAUGUUUUCAGAUUAGGAGGCAGUUGGAACCUAGGUCGAGGUGUCCACGUAGAUUCGUCUCCGUGGUUGGUAUCUCGGCAUUCAAUAGUUGUACCUUUGCCAAGGUCACUCCGUUGGAAGUCGAGUGUCUUUUUGUUGUGUAUAGAUAAACGCAAUGUAAAUUACUAAUAUAUAUGUCUUAAACAAUAUAUGUAUAUUUUGAUUGGUAAUGCCACUAUGAAUUGGUAAUGGUUAACAUUAUUUUGGGUUAAUAAAAAUGCAAGUAUUUGAUUGCUGUAGCACAUUAUUAAAGAACUUGUAGGUUGGAAUUAUGAAAUGUGACAUUAGGAACAUUUGAAAGAAGGAUGAACAGGUUAUAUAAAUAGGUUUGCUUGAGCUUAGUGGGCUAUGCCCAUUGGGCCCAUGCACCAGUCUUGGCCCAGAAAUUGGGUUGUGACAAUGUUUAUGAGAAUACAACCACUUCUGGAGACUUCCAUUAGGCAUUAACUCAAGUACCAAGGUUUUGAAAUCAAGGUUACAACUACUUAUGAUCCUGACUAAAUUUUGAUGGCGAACGUUGCCCAACACCUCACACUUAAUGUCAAAGCUCUAAAAUGAUCCUUCUAACUGCAAAUUGAAGACCUUUAUUGCAAUGUUCAGUCCAUCUGAAAGAGUUCCUUGAAAUAGUGAUCCAAAACUCCCCACACCAAAUAAUUUGCUUUCAGAAAAUCCAUUUGUAGCCUGAUGAAGCUCUUGGUAUGAAACUCUUUGCCGUUCUGCUAAUGCCUGCAAAUUUUCUUGAUCUGUUGGCAGAUUUGCGUUCAGUUUCCCUUUUUUUUUGAGCAAAUGAUUACCAAAGCUAGUACUAAUACUGUUGAGCCAACUGGCACUAAAAUAUAUUCUACUAGCUUAAUAGCUUUCUUAGAAUGAUGUCUAAAAGAAUUAGUUUUGCAUGGUGGGAGUGGAAGGUGUAGUCGAGGUGUAGCACAUAAUGCUUUAUUCCCCAUAAAUGAUCGAAUAGAGUAGUUGGGAAAGGUUCCUCCAUCCGGAAUUUCUCCUUGUAGUCUAUUGAAAUAGACAUUGAAAUAUUCAAGAUACAAGAGUUUCUCUAAAGGCUUGGGAAUGAUUCCAAAGAAAUUAUUCCUUGACAAAUCCAAGAACUACAAUCCUUUCAAGCCCCCGAAUGACUCAGGAAUAGACCCUUGCAAUCUGUUGCCAAAUAAUGAGAGAUAAGUCAGGUCUCUAACAUCACCAAUGCUUUUCGGGAUUUCACCUAAUAAUUGAUUUUUGGAAAUAUCAAUAUUAUUAACAACCUUCCACUUUUCAAUGUCAAUCGGGAGAGCCCCACGUAGAGUAUUGGAAGACAUGUUUAGUUGCAAGAUAUCUACAAGUCUUGUCAAGGUUGAGGGUAUUGAGUCAGUAAACUUGUUGCGAUCUAAUAAUAAAUGUCCAAGAGAAAUGAGAUCACCCAAGCAUGCUGGUAUUGGUCCAACCAAUUUGUUACCCGCGAGAUCCAAGAAACCCAAACUCUUCAAGUGGCACAACUCAGCUGGAAUGGAUCCUUCUAACUUGUUUCCUUCAAGCGAGAGACUUUGCAAAUUCCGUAAUCUUCCGAUUGUGGUGGGAAUAGCAAUCAGUUCAUUGUUAUCUAAGUUCAAGCCAAUCAAGUUGCUUAGGUUGCCAAUUUCCCUUGGAAUACUGUUAGGAUAAAUUGUCGAAAAUAUUUAAAUUUAUUUGUACCAUGUUGUAAUAAAUAUUUUCCAUAUCAUUGGUGGAGUUAUCUUGUGUUAAAAUAAUACGUAAGAGUUACAAUGUCAUUUGGUUUUCAUUAAUUUGAGAUCAAAAUUUGUAAUAAAAAUGAAAGUGGACAAAAUCAAUAAUGAUGUUUGCCAAAAUAUUUAACCACACAUUUGUAAUAAAAGUAAGCUCUAAUUUUCAAACAAUUUUCCUUCUCAUCACUUUGUACUAUAACACUAUAAAAAUAUCAAUAUUCAUCAAUUGUGUAAGACAUCCAAAACCUAUACUUAUAAAGUUGUAUUCAUCCAUCUAUGAUCAUUCAAAUAUUUUUUAUUAUAAUUAUUAGGAAGAUUUAUUCAAUUUAUAAAUAAAAUUUUAAUUGCAUUAAAAGAUUUCAUUAAAAAAACAUAUAUUUAAAAUUUUAAUAGUAUUGAAUAAUUUAAAUAUUAAUAUUUUAAGUUAAAAAUCCUCGGAGGCAUAAGACAUUUUAUAUGGUCAACGGGGUGUUUUUCCCCUUGACCUGUAAAAUGUUUUACUUCUAAAAUAAAUAUUUAGUCUUUUAAAUAAGCAUAAGUCAUGAAAAUGUUUUCUAAAAAUUAUUUUAUGUCAAAAUAAAUGGACCCUUAAAUACAUUUUUAAUUUCGGUUUGAACAACAAACUCUCUACUAUCUUUCUUUUUAGUAUGGGAUUCAAUUCCCACUUCCAAUUUGAUAAAAUUGUGGGAAAAAUCACAUCUUUCAGUUUCUUUCACAAAUGUUAAUAUGGUCAAAUGUCUAAAAUAUGGAGUUAACCAUAAAAAAGAAAAGAAAAGACCCAAAAUAAGGGGCAUCCAAUUUUCAAUUGACAUGGAGAAAAUUGAAGACCACUCAACGAGUGCAAGAUUCACUGAAUGAUUAUCACUUCUAGAUGGAGUUCUUGGAAGCAAUGCUUUUGGCUAAGCUUCAUUUUGUCAACAAAAUCCAGACAAGUGCUUCUUUAGGGAUCAAAUCUUUGAGCAAAGUUUAAACAUUUAAGAAAGUGAGUUAAUUAAGUGUGGUAAGACAAUACAAUCUGUUUCUGACAUCUUAAUUCUUUGCAUAAAAGAAACUUUAAAAUUAGUUCAAUGCUCACUUUUCAUUUAGGAAUAACAGGAAUAAGAUACAGGAUCAAUACUGUACAAAUACUCAUUUUUUAAUUAAAAGUUAGAAAAAAUAAUUUCUGAGUCGAUUAUUAGUUGUCAUUUUAAUGCUGAAUUAGAAAACGGAUGAAGUUUUCUAACCCAAACAAUACACUAUAAUUGUACCUACAUACGACUUGAAGGCAACAUUUUUCCUGUAUUUACAACUUGUAACUUAGAAAGAUUGUGGUUGACUUAAGACUUAAAUGAUCACAAUAUUCUACCAUCUAGCUCAAAAAGCAAGUUUAAGUUGCACUCUUGUCAAUUCCAUUAUUUGCAGUAAGACAUUUCAUAGCUAGAAAUCAACCAAACACGGACGAAAGGAGAAAAUGUAAACCAUUUAUUAGAGCUUUUUUUUCCUUUCUAACUCAAAAUUAAGUCUUGAGUAGUCUUAUUUCUUUUCAUAUUUUAUUUCAUAUUAAUUGUUCAUUUUUAAAAAAAAAAUUUGAUCAGGUCCAGGUUUUGAAUCUUUCUUUCUUUCCUUGAACUUCCUCGUAGAAAUGUCCCAAAAUGAAACACGUCACAUGUCCUUCUACUCUCGUGAAUUCUUCACUUAAUUAGUUUUAAUUUGUUGCUUCUUAAAGUCAAGGUCCACUACUUCCAACAACCAAUCGUAAUUUUUAGUAAUUAAAGAAUACUUCUCCGGGUCAGGCACGAUAACGACCUCAUUGCGUUGGCUCUACAUGGUAAUGACCCUUGAAUUUAAUCGAUUUCCAUUAAGGUUAAUAUUCUUCAAUUUUUCAAUUGGUAUGGUCAAACUUCAAAAUUAUGGUUGGUUAAGAUCUAUUCUACAUUGAGUAUAGUAGUUGCAAGAUAUUCUUUCGAUAUAAACUUCCUUUGUGUUAAUCAAAUCCAGGUACGUGCUUCAUUCGGAGAUCAAAUCUUGAAAACUUGCCUCCAAUCUCAAAAAAUUGAGCAUCUCAUUUUAGUGAAACUUAUUUUGAGAUUGAAGUGUUAUAUAAGACAAUACAAUCCGUUUCUAACUUCUUUAUUCAUAAUAGCACCUUCAAAAUUUAGUGCUCAUUUUUCAACAAGAAAUUAAUAAACUGCAUUACUCAAGUUCCAAUUAAAAGCUAAUUAGAAAAGGGGGAAAAAUCUUCUGAUUUGGUUAUUGAUUGUCGUUUACCCAUUUUCCACACUGAAAUAUAAAACCACUAAACUUUUUUAACUCUUAACAGUAUACUAUAAUUAACCAUGUAAGACUUAGAGGAAAAUUUUCCGGUAUUAUUGACUACUUAAAAUGGAAAUAUUUUGAUUGACUUAUGACUUAUUGCAUCAAAUUCUACCAUCAAGAAAGCGAGUCACGCUACGGUCUUAUCAAUUUAAUUGUCUUCAAUAGGGCACUUAUGAUUUAUAUCCUCAAAUUCUACCACCUAGAAAGCAAGUUAAGCUACCCUCUUGUCAAUUCAAUUGUUUUCAAUAAGACAUUUUGUGUUUAGAAAUCAACCAUUACUGACAAGAAAAAAUGUAACCAUUGUAACACAGCAAAAACGACUACUGAGGAAAUGCUAUUAAUAUUUAUCAACAGACCCUCUAAUUUCUCAGAAUCCACAUUAUUCCAGCUUGACUAAUUAAUGACUUUUUUGACAAUAAUUUAAUGCGUACACCUAUUAAUUUAUCUCAUUAAUUUCCCCUAUUAAUCACUUGCAAUAAGAAGGAAAAUUUUGGAAACAAGGACAACAACAGCUAUUUUUCUUGUUAAACAUUGAAGAGAAAGCAUCAAAAGCCAAAGAUUUUGCGUACACCCACUUAAAACAGAGGACUACAAUCAGUGAGAUGUCUCACUGAACUUCUUAUGAGCUAACAAUAAAACUAAACGCAGUCAUUCUGCCGACAAACAUAACAGAACCCCAUAAAAGAAAAUUUACAAAUGAAGACAACCAGAAGAUCAAAAUCUAAAUAUUUAGUGAACCUUGUCAUAGGGAAUGAACUCAAAGCAACUAAGAAGAACAUACUUGCAAGCCAAAUCUUACUCAAGCAGACAAUUCCAUCUUCCUUCCGAUUUAUUUCAAAUGCCACUGUGACAACCAAAAAUAAAUAAAUAAUGGAAAAUUAACUCCAGGUAAUAGCAAAAGCUAUAAGAACCUAAGUAGUACCUUUACAUUAUUCAAAGCAGUUAAAACUCACUUAAAGCAUGUUCGACGUAGAGCUAGUUUCUUCUUCCUCUAUUCCUGCGAAUCAACCUUGUAACAUUCCCUUGCCAAUCUCUCUCAAUCAUUCUUACCCACCACCAUGAUCUUUCAGUUGUGAAUGCGAUGUAUCCCAUUCUCAAUCCUAACAAGUAUAGUAGAGUGGGCCUAGCUAAAUAUUAGACUCAUCAAAAUGAGCAAGUUACGAGUCAAGAAUGAUAUCAAAAGCCUCCUAUAAGGAUAUGUCUAAUUAAGAUCAAAUCUUUCUUAGUUAUUACCCCAAAAUGGAUAUCAAAUUUGUAAGUUCCCAACAAGGAUUUAGAAUACUAAACAAUUUCAAUAAAGAUGACAAAAACUAAACCUAAGGUAUUUGCUCUAGAGUGAUGAACCAUAGUCAAAUUGCAAUUCAUAAAGUAAUGAAGAGCCAAAGUCAUAAAAAUAUCAUACAUGAGCGGGAAGCAGGUUGUUUUGGACCUUACUGUUCUCAAUCGGUAAUUCUAUUGUUUACGUCUUCUUGUUGAAUAUUCUGUGUAAGUCUUUACAUUCAAGAAGCGAAUGACCAACUGUUUAGUGAUAAUCACAGUACAUUGGUUUAGGCUUCUCUUUUAUUGUUGGUGGUUGUGUAACAUAUGGUAAGUUUACUUGUCCAUCGUUGAUCCAUUCAUGGAGAAGUGCUCUCACUUUGUUUAGUGGAAUUAAAAAUGACAGAGAAGAAUCGUUCUCUUCAUUUGGUCUUCUCCUUGGGUUGUCUCUUCUAGGAUACAAAUAGAUUGAAAAUGACAUAUUCUUUCUUUACCUCAUCUUUGAAUUGCAUUCAUUGUUGGAGUAUUCCUUCUAUUGAAGCAAGUAGCUCCUUUUUGUUUGAGAACUGUAUUAUUGGUUUUUCUUGUCGCUUCCACCAAGGUAGCAGAAGUUGGAAGAGGUAAGUUCUCCAAGUGUAGUCUAUACUCGAACGAACAUCCCUUGAAUGUAAACUUUCACCAAUUCCUUCUCAUCAUGAGACUCUUGUAUUUACAACACCCUUUCUCUAAAAAGCUGGAUGUAUUCCAUGAGAUGUUCUUUAGACUUUUGAUAUUCGCUUCCCAAAUAAACAAGAGUAACCUUCUCUUGAGUUAAAAGAAAACUUCUCCUCAAACAUCCUACACAUUUGAUUUUAAGAUUCAACAAAGUUAAGGGUGAAAUUAACAUACCAUGUGUGGGCCUUUUCAAUGAGAGAUUUAGAGAAUUGUUUUAAUUUCAAGCCAUCAUCCAAUCCCGCUACUCCGAGUGUUUCCAUAAAUUUCAUAACAUGCUAUUGUGCAUCACUAGUUUUACCAUUGAAUUACUUGAAUUAAGGACUAGUGUAGUCCUUAGAAUAUGGCUUAAUAGCUACACUUGCUAGGCAAGAAAACUUAAGUUCAAAUUCGAAAAAGCUGAAGCUUUUAUUCUUCUGAUCUAGUAACUUUUGGAGCUCUGCCAUUGUCACAAAGCCUUAAGUAGUGGUUGGUGGAAUUAUUGCAGUAGAGAUAAUUGCUGGCAUAACUAACAUACAAGAGUUGAUCAAGUUGGGAUUUCCAACACCUACCACAUCAACUACAUUUUCUCCCUUUCCUCCAUUCACAUUUGUGUUUACAACUAAGGGAGUGGAUCCAUCAAGUGCAUCCUCAUCACCAUUAAAGCGUAUGGGUUGAGCUUGAAAAACGGUGGUAGUGGAGGAUGCAAGUUGAGAUAUGGUCUCCAACACUUGCCUAUUGUUGUCUUCCAACGUUUGCAUUCUCUCUUGAGAAGCUUCGAUCAUUUUCAUCAACUCUUGGAUGUAGGUGGAAAUAGGUGCAUCUUGGUUGCUAGAGAAACUGUCCUUCUCUUAUGGUAAUGCAACGUUUUGUUAAUAAGAUUUUACUUAAUACAAUUACUCUUCCCUAGUAAAGUCGUCAAAAUGUAAAAAAGGUUCUUGUGAUAGGGAGAGAAAGCGUUGCAAACAAGUAAAUGAUGCCCCGGAGGUGGCGAACAAGAAGAUCAUAGUAGUUUCUGAAAUAUUGAGUGUUGUGGCAAGUGAAAGACAAGAAGAAAAGAAUUAAAGAGAAAAGCUCUAAAGGAGAAUGUGUUAGCUCUAAGAGGAAGAGAAGGUCUUGAAUGAAUUGUGAAGGCUCUAUAUAUAGUGCCAAAAAUGGUGGUUACAAGAAACGGCUUUAAUGCACGUAAUGAAUGACAUUAUUAAGAACAAUUUUAAUGUUGGGUAAUCGUUAUUGAGAGUUAUGUUGAGCAAUAGUUAGAAACCCAUUAUGUGACCGUUGAAAUAAUUAGAUGUAAUAAGACUUCUUCUCGAGUAGAAGGUAAUAGAGAAGAGGUAUACGUAAAAAGGCACAAGAAAAGAAGUUGUAUGUGAAUAGGUACUGUAGACACCUAAAAAAUAAAUAAAAAAUUUAAAUUAUAAUAAAAUAAAAUAAAAUAUAAAAAAUAAAUAAAGAAAAUAAAUUAAAAAAAAGAAGAAGAGGUAUGGUUGGGCGUACGCCCAGCCAUCCUUUCCCCAACCACCAUGAGUCAUGGGGCUCUGGCUACCAACUCUUUGGUGCCAGAGCCCCAUUACCGGGUUGUCCAAAUUUUUUGGACAACCCCAUUUUUAAAGAAGAGGAGAAAGCAAACCAGAGAAGGGGACUGAUCACCUGCAAAAAGCCAUAAAAAAAAAACAGAAACGAAAAAAACCCAACAAAGAACCCCCCUAAAAAAAAGAGCAAAAAAAAAGGAAGAAGAAGAAGAGAGAGAAAGGUGAGAGGUCGACGUAGGGAAGGAAAGAGAGGCGUCGACGGUGGGAGUGUUACGUCGGGGAGAAAAAGGAGGAGGAGAAGGAAAGGAAGAAAGAAGAAAAAGAAAAAAGAGAAGGGAGACCCGCAGGGAGAAAGGAGAGAAAGAGAAGGAGAAAGAAAAGAAAAAAGAAAAAGAAAUAAGAAGCCAACGGGGAGAGAGAAAGGAAAGGAAAGAAAGAAAGAAGAAAAAAAAAAGAAAAAUGAGAAAGGAGGUGGGGGGCUUUUCACGGUUUUUUUGGAGAAAUUUUUGCAUGUUGUUGUACCUUUGGUGGCUUGCCUUGGCCCACAUAGUUUAGUCCUUUUUGAGCUAAUCUAAACCUACACAAGGUAAGAUCUAACUUGCAUGCCUUUUUACUUUAAUAUUUUUUUUAUUUUAUUUUUAUUUAUUGUGGUGGCUCAAUUAUUUAUGUUAAAGACAUAUUAUUAGGAGCAUAAGGAUAAUUUAAUUAAGACAAAAAAUAUAUUAUGUAGAGAUUAUGUGAUAUUUUAAAGUAGAAAAAUAACAACAAAAUAUAAAGUGGUAAAUGAAAAUAUGCGUAAAUAUUUGAAAAAAAAUAGGUAUAAACAAAUAUCCAAAAAAANNNNNNNNNNNNNNNNNNNNNNNNNNNNNNNNNNNNNNNNNNNNNNNNNNNNNNNNNNNNNNNNNNNNNNNNNNNNNNNNNNNNNNNNNNNNNNNNNNNNNNNNNNNNNNNNNNNNNNNNNNNNNNNNNNNNNNNNNNNNNNNNNNNNNNNNNNNNNNNNNNNNNNNNNNNNNNNNNNNNNNNNNNNNNNNNNNNNNNNNNNNNNNNNNNNNNNNNNNNNNNNNNNNNNNNNNNNNNNNNNNNNNNNNNNNNNNNNNNNNNNNNNNNNNNNNNNNNNNNNNNNNNNNNNNNNNNNNNNNNNNNNNNNNNNNNNNNNNNNNNNNNNNNNNNNNNNNNNNNNNNNNNNNNNNNNNNNNNNNNNNNNNNNNNNNNNNNNNNNNNNNNNNNNNNNNNNNNNNNNNNNNNNNNNNNNNNNNNNNNNNNNNNNNNNNNNNNNNNNNNNNNNNNNNNNNNNNNNNNNNNNNNNNNNNNNNNNNNNNNNNNNNNNNNNNNNNNNNNNNNNNNNNNNNNNNNNNNNNNNNNNNNNNNNNNNNNNNNNNNNNNNNNNNNNNNNNNNNNNNNNNNNNNNNNNNNNNNNNNNNNNNNNNNNNNNNNNNNNNNNNNNNNNNNNNNNNNNNNNNNNNNNNNNNNNNNNNNNNNNNNNNNNNNNNNNNNNNNNNNNNNNNNNNNNNNNNNNNNNNNNNNNNNNNNNNNNNNNNNNNNNNNNNNNNNNNNNNNNNNNNNNNNNNNNNNNNNNNNNNNNNNNNNNNNNNNNNNNNNNNNNNNNNNNNNNNNNNNNNNNNNNNNNNNNNNNNNNNNNNNNNNNNNNNNNNNNNNNNNNNNNNNNNNNNNNNNNNNNNNNNNNNNNNNNNNNNNNNNNNNNNNNNNNNNNNNNNNNNNNNNNNNNNNNNNNNNNNNNNNNNNNNNNNNNNNNNNNNNNNNNNNNNNNNNNNNNNNNNNNNNNNNNNNNNNNNNNNNNNNNNNNNNNNNNNNNNNNNNNNNNNNNNNNNNNNNNNNNNNNNNNNNNNNNNNNNNNNNNNNNNNNNNNNNNNNNNNNNNNNNNNNNNNNNNNNNNNNNNNNNNNNNNNNNNNNNNNNNNNNNNNNNNNNNNNNNNNNNNNNNNNNNNNNNNNNNNNNNNNNNNNNNNNNNNNNNNNNNNNNNNNNNNNNNNNNNNNNNNNNNNNNNNNNNNNNNNNNNNNNNNNNNNNNNNNNNNNNNNNNNNNNNNNNNNNNNNNNNNNNNNNNNNNNNNNNNNNNNNNNNNNNNNNNNNNNNNNNNNNNNNNNNNNNNNNNNNNNNNNNNNNNNNNNNNNNNNNNNNNNNNNNNNNNNNNNNNNNNNNNNNNNNNNNNNNNNNNNNNNNNNNNNNNNNNNNNNNNNNNNNNNNNNNNNNNNNNNNNNNNNNNNNNNNNNNNNNNNNNNNNNNNNNNNNNNNNNNNNNNNNNNNNNNNNNNNNNNNNNNNNNNNNNNNNNNNNNNNUUCAUUCAUGCAUCGAAUACGCAUCUAAUUCAUGUUUAUGAUUACAAUAAGGUUCCAAAAUAGCUCGACCACCUAAGCCAAGUGACCAACGUGUUCAUAAUACGCGUCAGCGAGCAAGGAUCAUGGAAGAAGAACAAAGAGAGCGAAUGGACAGAAUGGAAAGAGCUCAGGAAGAAAUGAGAGAACAGUUAGCACAGAUGAUGGAAUUGAUGAUGAGUUUCAGUAAAGGAAAAAGAGUGAUCGAAGAGCCAGCUCCGUCAGAAAACCCACCAGCUCAAGACAGUGGAAACCAAAAGGAUGACCCACCCUAUCCCCCAGGGUUCACUCCACCACAUGCCCAAACCUCUCAAAGGGUCCACCCUCAAAUGAUGCCUUCCGUUUAUGCGCCACCUUUGAUGGGCCAUCAACCGACUCAUGGGCAAUUUGGGCCAUAUUCUGGGAUAAAUCCUACUGAACCAAUACACGUCCCAGAUUUAGACGAUCCAAAAGAACAAGAGAAACUAAGAAAAGACUCGUCACAAACAGGAAAAAAUGAAAAAGACCAAAAAAAGUACGAUCUGUUGGAAGAGCGUCUUCGUGCUAUCGAAGGAGUUGAUAGGUUUGGUACCAUGGACGCAACCGAGCUAUGCUUAGUCCCAGAUGUAUUGAUCCCUGCCAAGUUCAAGGUUCCGAAAUUUGAAAAAUAUGACGGAACAAAAUGUCCCAUGGCACAUAUUACCAUGUAUUGUCGGAAGAUGGUUGCACAGUCUCACGAUGAUAAGUUACUGAUCCAUUUUUUCUAAGACAGCUUGACUGGGUCAGUUGCUCGGUGGUACGUAUAGCUAGAUCGAAAUCGUAUUAAGACUUGGAAAGACUUAGCAAGAGCCUUCAUAGCCCAAUACAAGCAUGUGGCUGAAUUAGCCCCCGAUCGGUUGUCAUUGCAGACUAUGGAAAAGAAACAAAGCGAGAACUUCAAGGAAUAUGCCCAAAGGUGGAGAGAUACAGCAGCGCAAGUACAGCCACCUCUCACUGAUAAAGAGAUGACUGUAUUGUUCAUAAACACACUCCGAGCUCCAUUCUAUGAGCGCUUGAUCGGCAAUGCCACGAAAAACUUUGCAGAUUUAGUCUUAUCAGGAGAAAUAAUAGAAUGAGCUAUCAAAAGUGGAAAAAUUGAAAGGCAUGAAGUUACUAGCUCAAAGAAAGGGAAUACGCCCAAGAAAAAAGAAGAGGACGUGCAAGCAAUCGCUCACGACAGCCAACAAGACCACAACUUUAACCCAUAUUACCCGUACCCCCCAUACCAACCCUUCUAUCCGAACAUAGGCAACAUCACACAAAACCCAUAUGUGUACCAACCUGCCCCGUAACCAACCUUUCAGACCAAUGUUCUUCCACAAACUCCACCACCAAGACCGGUAGCUUCAACCAAUAAUCCUGGCCAUGGUCAAUGAGGACCUAAAACUACCCUAGAAAGAUCAAAGUUUGAUCCUAUUCCAGUCCCUUACACUACAUUGCUGCCACAACUCAUAGAAAAUCGACUCCUUGCUCGAACCCCUUUAGAACCACUCCGACCACCUUUCCCGAAAUGGUAUGACCCGAAUGCGCAUUGUGAUUACCAUUUUGAAAUUCAAGGGCACUCCACUGAGAAAUGUACUGCUUUAAAACAUAAAGUUCAAGCGCUCAUUAAGGCAGGACUUUUAAAUUUUUCCAAAAAAGAUAGUUCGAGUGUUGAUGGAAACCCGUUACCUAAUCAUGGAAGACCAACUGUGAAUGCUAUACAUGAAGGGAUGAUUCGAAGGGUGAAAAAGAGUAUUGAUGAGAUUCAAACGCCAAUGGAUGAAGUGUUUGAGGCGUUGUCUAAGAUAAAUGUCAUCACUCCAGAACCCAUCAACACAAAGGAAUUAGGGCAUGAUCUCGCUUAUUCUUGCGAAUUUCAUAUGGGGGCAAUUGGGCAUUCCAUUCAAAAUUGUGAUAGCUUUCGUGGUAAGUUGCAAGGAUUGAUGGAUUCAUCGGUAAUUGAGUUUUAUGAAGAAGCUGAAGAGGAGUUGGUCGAAACCAUAAAUGAAGACACCCCAGCUGAAAUGGCAUCGAGUUCAUUCGGGGCGAACAAACCUAAACCUCUCACCAUCUUCUAUGAAGAAAACAGGAGCCCGAUGAAUGAUACAUCCCCUACUAUGAUCAGAAGUGGUAUUACCAUCGAAGUCCCCAGCCCGUUCCCUUACAAGAGUGAUAAGGCUGUCCCAUGGAAUUAUGAGUGUAAUAUUUUGGGCACAGCUUCAUACCCCCCCCCCCCAAGCAUCUUUUGAAGAUCUAAUUGGAGUAGGGGGUAUAACGCGAAGUGGACGAUGUUAUUCCCCUGAGAUGGCAGAAAGAGUUGAAAAAGGGAAACCUGCACAAGGAGAGAGAGGCCUGAAGAAAGCAGAUACUUUUUUCAAGGACCAAGUUAUCGAAUCUGUAGUUGCUCCGAACAAUAAGGUCAAAAAUCCUGUUACCGAGAAAGAAGCGGGUGAAUUUCUCAAGUUUAUCAAACACAGUGAAUACAGCGUGGUAGAACAAUUAACCAAAAUGCUUGCUCGCAUCUCACUGUUGUCCUUACUGUUGAAUUCGGAAGCACACAGGAACACGCUGCUCAAAGUCUUGAACCAAGCUUAUGUGGCACAAGAUAUAUCAGUGGAAAAGUUAGACCUUAUCGUGGGGAACAUCACAGUGGGGAACUUCAUUGCCUUUAAUGAUGAAGAAAUACCAUCGGGUGGUCGAGGGAGUAACAAAGCUCUGUACAUUACUAUCAAAUGCAAGGACCAUGUCGUGCCUAGGGUUUUGGUUGACAAUGGUUCAGCGUUAAAUGUCAUGCCUCGCUCUACUUUAACCAAGUUGCCAAUAGAUGUGUCGUACAUGAGAACCAGUCACAUGGUUGUAAGGGCCUUCGACGGGACCACAAGGGAGGUGGUAGGGGACAUUGAAGUACCAAUAAAAAUUGACCCUUGCGUUUUUUAGGUCCAAUUUCAAGUCAUGGACAUUGCCCCGUCAUACAAUUGCUUGUUAGGGCGUCCAUGGAUUCAUAUGGCGGGAGCCAUACCAUCCUCCCUUCAUCAAAAAGUUAAAUUCAUAGCUGAGGGCCAAUUGAUAAGUGUAUGUGCGGAGGAAGACAUACUGGCUAUUCAACCAUCAUUUGCUCUCUAUGUAGAGGCGACAGAAGAAGUCCCAAAAUGCUCUUUCAGAUCUUUUGAAUUUGUUAAUGCUACUUAUGUGGGGGAAAGAAAAGUGAUACCGACUCCUCGUUUGUCAGUAACAACUAAAAUGGGGGUUAAGCAGAUAGUGGGUAAAAGAUGUCGUGCCGGUUUUGGGUUAGGAAAGAAUUUACAAGGAAUCAACCGUCAUCUGACUCCAAUAAAAAAUGAAGAAAGAUUUGGUUUGGGGUACAAGCCUACUAAAGAAGAAAUAAGGAAACUGGCAGCUCGAAAGAAGAUUAAAAGGAUGGCUCAACUUGAGGGAAAGGAAGAAGAAUUUGGGGAACGGACAAUCCCACACUUAUAUGAGACUUUUCGCUCUACGGGUUUCAUUCAUCUCGAAGCACCAACAAAGGUCAAUCAGGUUCUACGGUUAUUUGAUGAGUUAUCAAUCCAUAUGAUCAGAGAUGAAGAACCUAAUGAGAAGAUUCCUGUGCUGUAUCCAGUACUGCCAGGAAAUGAGCUAAGCAAUUGGACAGCCACGAAACUGCCCAUCAUCUUUAAGUCUUCCGAAAUGUAAUGAAUAAUUUUAUCUAAAUGCCUAUGCCCAAGGGUGUUAAGAGUAAUUUCUUGUUUAAGUAGGGCUUUCUGUUACUUUCAUCAUUUAAAUAAAUGACAAUGCAUAAUGUGUUUCAUAAUUCAUCAAUCUUUUUGCAUAUUUCCUUUCAUCUAUUCUUUUAGCUAAUAAAUACUUACCCAUACACGCGUCCAACUUUACCUGUUUGCAGGUCUUUAAAUAAUGAACACGAAGACAAUCUAGACAACGAUUCGAAUAUCGAUUUUGAGAUGAUUCCGAACGUUGAUGAAUUGAAAAAUGAAGAGGAGGUGGAUGACUAUAACUUACCCCCUGAUUUGUCGAGAAUGUUGGAACAAGAGGAAAAUGAGAUUUUAACUCAUCAGGAACUCACAGAAAUGAUUAACCUCGAAAAUGGGAAAGAAAAGAAAGAGGUUAAGAUUGGCACCUUGCUGUCAUCUGAUGAACGGCAGAAGCUAGAAGAAUUGCUCCGUGAAUAUGUGGACGUUUUUGCUUGGUCAUAUCAGGACAUGCCAAGUCCUAAUACUGACAUGGUUGUUCACAAGUUACCUUUGGAAUCAGAUUGCAAGCCUAUUAAACAGAAGUUGAGAAGGACGAAGCCAGAAAUGUUGCUGAAGAUUAAAGAGGAAAGAAAAAAGCAAUUCGAUGCUGGAUUUUUAGAGGUGGCUAAGUACCCUGAAUGGGUGGCUAAUAUAGUUUCAAUUCCUAAGAAGGAUGGAAAAGUUCGAAUGUGCGUCGAUUAUAGGGAUUUGAAUAGAGCGAGUCCGAAAGAUAGCUUUCCUUUGCCACAUAUUGAUACUCUUGUGGACAACACAGCAAAACAUGCUUUGUUCUCAUUCAUGGAUGGCUUUUCUGGUUACAAUCAAAUUAAGAUGGCACCCAAAGGUAUGGAAAAAACAACGUUCAUAACCAUGUGAGGAACGUUUUGUUACAAAGUAAUGCCAUUUGGAUUGAAGAAUGCAGGCGCCACCUACCAAAGGGCAAUGGUAGCUUUGUUCCACGAUAUGAUGCAUAAAGAGAUAGAGGUAUAUGUGGAUGACAUGAUUGCAAAAUCUCAUACAGAAAGGGAUCAUACUGUCAAUCUCAAGAAACUGUUCGAGAGAUUGCGAAAGUUCCAGCUCAAGUUGAAUCCUGCAAAAUGCACUUUUGGUGUAACUUCUGGGAAAUUGUUGGGGUUCAUAGUAAGUGAAAAAGGAAUUGAAGUGGACCCGGAUAAAAUACGAGCUAUUCAAGAGCUACCACCUCCCAAAACGCAAAAAGAAGUGAGAGGAUUUUUAGGGAGGCUGAAUUACAUUGCUCGAUUUAUAUCCCAACUCACUUGCAAAUGUGAUCCAAUCUUCAAGCUGCUUCGGAAACGAGACCCAGGAGAGUGGAAUGAAGAAUGUCAAAUAGCCUUUGAUAAAAUCAAAGAAUAUCUCACAAAUCCACCGGUGUUGGUGCCACCGACGGUCGAAAAACCUCUCAUUCUGUAUUUGACUGUGAACAAGAAUUCUAUGGGAUGUGUAUUGGGACAACAUGAUGAAACUGGGAAGAAAGAACGAGCCGUAUAUUAUUUGAGCAAGAAAUUCAUGGAGUAUGAGUCCAAAUAUUCUGCGCUCGAAAAGAUGUGUUGUGCACUAGCAUGGACCGCUCAGAGGCUCCGGCAGUAUAUGUUGUAUCACACAACAUGGUUGGUGGCGAAAUUAGAUCCCAUCAAGUAUAUUUUUGAAAAACCCUGCCUGUCCGGAAGAAUAGCUCGAUGGCAAGUGCUAUUGUCUGAGUAUGACAUUGUGUAUGUGUCCCAAAAAUCAAUCAAAGGGAGCGCCAUCGCCGAUUUCCUUGCAGAUCGAGCUAAUGAAGAUUAUGAAUCUGUAAGUUUCGAUUUUCCAGAUGAAGAUUUGAUGGCCGUCUUGCAUGUAGAAGAGGUUAGUCCCAAUGAACUUAAUCCAUGGAAGGUGUAUUUUGAUGGAGCAUCCAAUGCUUUGGGGCACGGAAUUGGGGCAGUGUUGAUUUCUCCAAAUGGAAAGUACUAUCCAGCCACGGCGAGAUUGAAUUUCAAUUGUACUAACAAUAUGGCGGAGUAUGAGGCGUUGGUACUGGGAUUACAAGCAGCAAUUGAUAUGAAGGCUGAUGCGAUAGAUGUUUACGGAGAUUCGGCUUUAGUGAUAUGUCAAAUGAAAGGUGAAUGGGAAACUAGAGAUCCUAAACUAGUUCCAUAUAAAAAGCUGGUUACAGAAUUAAGCAAACAGUUCAAAGAAAUCAGCUUCAACCAUUUGCCUCGAGAAGAGAAUCAGAUUGCUGAUGCUUUGGCCACCCUCGCAGCGAUGUUCAAAAUAAAAGAGGCGGCCGAUGUACGCCCUUUUGAUUUAGAAGUUCGUGAAGUCUCCGCACACUGCUUGAAUGUUGAAGAAGAGGUUGAUGGUAAGCCGUGGUAUCAUGAUAUCAUGCAAUACAUCAAGCAUCAGGCAUAUCCUGAGAAUGUCACGGAUAAUGACAAGCGAACUCUUCGAAGAUUAGCAAUGGGUUUCUUCCUUAGCGGAGAAGUGCUCUACAAAAGGAGUCGAGAUCAAGUACUCUUGAGAUGUGUGGAUGUUGCGGAAGCCAACAAAAUAAUGAAAGAAGUCCACGAAGGAACUUGUGGAGCUCAUGCUAAUGGACAUAUGUUGGCUAGACAAAUUAUGAGAGCUGGUUAUUAUUGGUUGACAUUGGAAUCAGACUGCAUAAACUUUGCUCGAAAAUGCCACAAGUGUCAAGUAUACGCUGAUAGAAUCCAUGCUCCACCAGCCCCAUUGCACGUUUUCACGGCACCUUGGCCAUUUUCAAUGUGGGGAAUGGACGUGAUUGGACUUAUUACGCCAAAAGCCUCUAAUGGACAUCGAUUCAUAUUGGUGGCCAUUGAUUAUUUCACGAAAUGGGUAGAAGCAGCUUCCUAUGCCAAUGUGACACAAAAGGUGGUGUGCAGGUUCAUCCAAAAGGAGAUCAUAUGUCGGUAUGGGCUUCCAGAAAGGAUCAUUACGGAUAACGCAAGCAAUUUGAAUGGUGCGAUGGUGAAGGAUGUUUGCGCUAAAUUCAAGAUCAAGCAUCAUAACUCGACAACUUACCGUCCGAAGAUGAACGGAGCGGUAGAGGCAGCCAACAAAAACAUCAAAAAGAUUGUCGAAAAGAUGACUGAAGUUUAUAAAGACUGGCAUGAGAAACUUCCUUUUGCCUUACAUGCAUAUCGAACUUCUGUGCGUACCUCCACCGGGGCAACUCCGUACUCAUUAGUAUACGGUGCAGAAGCAGUUCUACCUGUUGAAGUAGAAAUCCCAUCAUUGAGGGUGUUGUUGGAAACGGAAUUGGAAGAUGCUGAGUGGGUCCGCUCCCGCUACGAACAGUUGAAUCUGAUUGAGGAAAAAAGGCUAACGGCUCUUUGUCAUGGCCAGAUGUACCAACGAAGGAUGAUGCGAGCAUACGAGAAAAAAGUUCAUCCCAGGCAGUUCCGAGAAGGAGAGUUGGUUCUCAAAAGAAUACUCCCUAAUCAAACUGAUUUUCAGGGGAAAUGGAUGCCGAAUUGGGAAGGGCCAUACGUGGUAAAGAAGGCUUUUUCAGGAGGAGCUUUGAUUUUGGCUUACAUGGAUGGGGGAGAUCUGCCUAAUUCGAUAAAUGCGGAUGCGGUGAAAAAGUACUAUGCUUAAAAAAAAAAGGAAGGGGUUCGUGCUGAAAACCCGAAAAGGGCAGCUUGUAUCUAAAAGAGGAGGCUCAUGUUGAAAACCCGAAAAGGGCGGCUUGAGGCCAAAAAGCAGGAAGUUAGAAUGGAAUUUGAGGAUGUCAGCCUAAACGGGACACAAGAUUGAGGUAAAAAUACACCAUGAAUGGAGCUCCGCAAUCUCACAAAAUAGGGGAAGCUAGGGAGUCUGCAACCUACAGAUUUGCUCAAAGCAUCAAUCAAGGACAAUUCUUGAAGUCGAAUAUUAGAUUGUUUUCUCUUAGUGGUCUGAGUGUUCAUUACUUAAAGAUCUAAUGUUUGCCCUGUAAAUUCUUUUUGCCUUGAAUUAUUUGAUUCCUCAUAUAUAUGAAAUUCUUCUUCGCCUCUUUAUUUUAACCCUUUCGUUAUUCACCAUCCCAUGAUUCACAUAGUGAUUGUCAUAGAAAUGAAUGAUGACUAGUAAAAGAAAUAAACUAAUUAAGUAAGAAAUUAUACUCAUUGUUCAGCAAAAGACUUAAUAACGAAGAAAAAGAAUGGCGGAGCCUUAAACUUGGGGCAAAAUCAAAUGUCAAAAGAAAAGGUGCUUAGGGAAAAUCCGGAGUUACUAGAAGAAAGGCACAAGACGAAGGUCAUUAAAAGCUACAGUGAAAAAUCGGAUGAAGCAAGAGAAGGGUCUUGGAACCUUAAUGAAUCGUAAACAUGAAAACAUUUCAUCAUGUCAAUCAUGCAUACAUGCCUAGCCAUGCACUCGACAAGAAUCAAAAUUAAUUCAUGUCCCAAGCUUUGAAGGUCGAAAUUCACUUGACCUAAAAUGUUGAGAUUGUAAAACUUUAAUGGAAGGAUUUAAGUCUUUUCAUUUCAUGUUAAUCCAAUUAAGUUAGCAUUAAAGAAUUAAAUCGAAUCUGUUGUGAGAUAGGUCGAGCCUAGAUUAAGUCUAGGAAUUUCAAUUUUUAAAAUCGAACCUGUUGUGAGAUAGGUCGAGCCUAGAUUAAGUCUAGGAAUUUCAAUUUUUAAAUCGAACCUGUUGUGAGAUAGGUCGAGCCUAGAUUAAGUUUAGGAAUUUCAAUUUUUAAAUCGAACNNNNNNNNNNNNNNNNNNNNNNNNNNNNNNNNNNNNNNNNNNNNNNNNNNNNNNNNNNNNNNNNNNNNNNNNNNNNNNNNNNNNNNNNNNNNNNNNNNNNNNNNNNNNNNNNNNNNNNNNNNNNNNNNNNNNNNNNNNNNNNNNNNNNNNNNNNNNNNNNNNNNNNNNNNNNNNNNNNNNNNNNNNNNNNNNNNNNNNNNNNNNNNNNNNNNNNNNNNNNNNNNNNNNNNNNNNNNNNNNNNNNNNNNNNNNNNNNNNNNNNNNNNNNNNNNNNNNNNNNNNNNNNNNNNNNNNNNNNNNNNNNNNNNNNNNNNNNNNNNNNNNNNNNNNNNNNNNNNNNNNNNNNNNNNNNNNNNNNNNNNNNNNNNNNNNNNNNNNNNNNNNNNNNNNNNNNNNNNNNNNNNNNNNNNNNNNNNNNNNNNNNNNNNNNNNNNNNNNNNNNNNNNNNNNNNNNNNNNNNNNNNNNNNNNNNNNNNNNNNNNNNNNNNNNNNNNNNNNNNNNNNNNNNNNNNNNNNNNNNNNNNNNNNNNNNNNNNNNNNNNNNNNNNNNNNNNNNNNNNNNNNNNNNNNNNNNNNNNNNNNNNNNNNNNNNNNNNNNNNNNNNNNNNNNNNNNNNNNNNNNNNNNNNNNNNNNNNNNNNNNNNNNNNNNNNNNNNNNNNNNNNNNNNNNNNNNNNNNNNNNNNNNNNNNNNNNNNNNNNNNNNNNNNNNNNNNNNNNNNNNNNNNNNNNNNNNNNNNNNNNNNNNNNNNNNNNNNNNNNNNNNNNNNNNNNNNNNNNNNNNNNNNNNNNNNNNNNNNNNNNNNNNNNNNNNNNNNNNNNNNNNNNNNNNNNNNNNNNNNNNNNNNNNNNNNNNNNNNNNNNNNNNNNNNNNNNNNNNNNNNNNNNNNNNNNNNNNNNNNNNNNNNNNNNNNNNNNNNNNNNNNNNNNNNNNNNNNNNNNNNNNNNNNNNNNNNNNNNNNNNNNNNNNNNNNNNNNNNNNNNNNNNNNNNNNNNNNNNNNNNNNNNNNNNNNNNNNNNNNNNNNNNNNNNNNNNNNNNNNNNNNNNNNNNNNNNNNNNNNNNNNNNNNNNNNNNNNNNNNNNNNNNNNNNNNNNNNNNNNNNNNNNNNNNNNNNNNNNNNNNNNNNNNNNNNNNNNNNNNNNNNNNNNNNNNNNNNNNNNNNNNNNNNNNNNNNNNNNNNNNNNNNNNNNNNNNNNNNNNNNNNNNNNNNNNNNNNNNNNNNNNNNNNNNNNNNNNNNNNNNNNNNNNNNNNNNNNNNNNNNNNNNNNNNNNNNNNNNNNNNNNNNNNNNNNNNNNNNNNNNNNNNNNNNNNNNNNNNNNNNNNNNNNNNNNNNNNNNNNNNNNNNNNNNNNNNNNNNNNNNNNNNNNNNNNNNNNNNNNNNNNNNNNNNNNNNNNNNNNNNNNNNNNNNNNNNNNNNNNNNNNNNNNNNNNNNNNNNNNNNNNNNNNNNNNNNNNNNNNNNNNNNNNNNNNNNNNNNNNNNNNNNNNNNNNNNNNNNNNNNNNNNNNNNNNNNNNNNNNNNNNNNNNNNNNNNNNNNNNNNNNNNNNNNNNNNNNNNNNNNNNNNNNNNNNNNNNNNGCUCAAUUAUUUAUGUUAAAGACAUAUUAUUAGGAGCAUAAGGAUAAUAAUUAAGACAAAAAAUAUAUUAUGUAGAGAUUAUGUGAUAUUUCAAAGUAGAAAAAUAACAACAAAAUAUAAAGUGGUAGAUGAAAAUAUGCGUAAAUAUUUGAUAAAAAAUGGAUAUAAACAAAUAUCCGAAAAAAAAAUUAAAAAAAAAUACUAAAAAGAUGAUAAUGGUUGUAAUAGUAAAUAUAUAUAUAUAUAUAAUUGGGAUCAAUAUUCAUAUUUAGAUACUUGUAAACAUAAUAUAUAUAUAUAUAAACAAAAAAUAAAAAUAAAAAAUAAAAACGACAUGAUACAAAUAUAAAAAAUUAUAAGAAAAAUGAGAUGAUUGUUUGAGAAAUUCCAUGUAAGAAAGGCAAAGAGUUGCUUCUUUUAAGUGGAUUUUUUUUUUAGUGCGAAGUUUGAGACGAAUUUUCACCGAACCGUCGGGAUAAAUCCGAACUCUAAACUCCAAUACCCAUUAAGUCAAAUAGCGUUGUUAAAAAAAUAAAUAAAUAAAAUAAAAUAAAUUUACAUGAUGUUGAAUCCAAACUUAAAUUAGUUAAUUAGCUUAAAUAAAUAUUACUAAAUAAAGUUAACUUAAUCGUUUAAAAAAAUUAAUUAAUUGUUUAUUUGAUAAGUUAUAUAAUCAAGUUAAACGUUAAUCAACAAUGUUAAUUAAAAGAUAUGGAUCUAAAUAAAAAAAAUGAAAAAUAAUAAUAAUAAUAAAAUAAAUAAAUAAUUCAUGAAAAAAUGGUAAAAUAAAUAUAUAAAUAAGGUGAUAAAUUAUUAAAUACAUAAUUGGAUGAAUUAUGAACCGCUUAAUUCAAUAAACGCGUGCAUGUAGAUGUCAUCAUUCUAUACUGUCAUUGCAUGCCACAUUUAUUUUGCAAAUGGUGCGGGAAUCCCGAUGAUGGAAUUUUCCCGAAGAGCUUGUAGAGACGAGGUCUUCCGGGGAUAUCUCUAGGUGAGGAGAAUUUUGAGACUUCACCAAAGCGUUGGGAUGGUCUUCGAAUAAUUUUUCGAUAAAAGAUUACCGACUCCAUUAUUUAAAACAAACAAGUCAUGACAUCAUUUUACGCUUGUAUCAUGUGCAUACGUAAAACCAAAUAAAAACUCUCAAUCAGUCAAUUUAAUAAAAAUUUAAUUAAUAAGUAGGGAUUAAAUUAAAAGUAGACUAUAUUAAGAUAACUUAAGAUCAAAUGGUACUGUUCGCGGAACGGGCGCCACGGAGGUGCUAACCCUUCUCCGUGCGUAACCGUACUCCUGAACUCAUCUCUAAAAAUGUAAACCAGUUCUCGUUCUUUCGACGAACCUAAAAUUAAUUUAGGACUUCAUCGAUUAGAAUCAGAUUAAUAGGUGACCAAUCACACCUUAGAAAAAAGAUUGGUGGCGACUCCCACACUAUAUAAUUUUUGCCCGCGUCUGGUGGUUGGGUUUUUGGACCCGCACGUUACGACAAGUACAAGAGAAGAAGAUGUUAUGUGAACAGGUACAUUAGAACAAGGUAAAAGAGGGAAACACUUGUACUUUAGGAAAAGGCUAACUACCUCCAUAUCUGAGCCACUAAGCCAAAAUCUCCAAAAUAUCUCAAAAUGGAAGUAACUAGUAAUUCCUACCACUUAUUUUGGGUUGCUUCCACUGCUAUUCGUAUGUAGUAGUGCUUCACUUGCUCUAGUUGUUUUGCGUAAUGUAGCACUUUAUUGUUUUUUUUUUGGAAAAGUAUGGGAAAGUCUAUCAUUUAAAAGGGGAAAAUGUUGAACAAAAAGGAUGUGGGUAAUGGUUAACCAAAAAAAAAAAAACUUCUUACCCCACGAGAACCAUAAGUUGCUCUAAAUUAGGGGUCAGUAAGCCAAAUAAUCCUGCAUAAAAUAUACAGCCUUUAUUCCACUCAUAAGAAGCAAAAUACUUACACCUAACUCAUAGAUAGCCACAACAAGCAAGAAGCAAGAAAAAUUUUAUCACAAAAGACAAGGGUACAAGAAUCAGAAACAAGAACAAGCUAAAGAUGGCAUUAGGCAUUCUCAUUGAUCUAGAGAAAGUUUUGAAAGCAUGAUGCACCUCUUUUAGCUUGGCAAUCAACUUUGUCAUUAGCCAAUCUAGGAAUGUGCAUGAUAUUCCAACAACUAACUGAGUUGAGAGUCCUAAGGAUUUGGAUGAUUAACGGCCUAAGCUUCCAUGGAACUUCAGAUGGCUUCUUGAUCCAACAAACCACAUUCUUAGAGUUAAUCUCAAUUAUAAAAGAGUGAAAAGAAUUCCACCUUGAAAUCGCAUAAAUCAAAGCUGCCUCUUUGAUCACCAGAAGUUCAGCACGGUUGGCGUACAAGAUCUUAACAAGUUUAGAGAAAAUGAUAAGAUUGACUCUGUUUUCAUUAUGCAAUAUACCGCUAAUUUUGGAAUCACUAGGGUAGCCUUUCGUAGCCCCAUCAAUGUUAAAUUUAAAGACCCCAGUUAGAGGCUUGGACCAAGUUUCCACCUCUACUGCCAUUUCUUUUUGUACUAGGAACAAUACCAGCAUUAAGGAAUCACGCAAGAUCACCUACAGAGGAGUUAGUAUGAGGCUAUUUCAUAUUAAUCCACCCGACAAUUCUAAUUUUAAUGAGCUCAAAGAUUGAGCAGUCAUCCCAUUGUUUGCCCCUAAACACCACUUCAUUCCGAGUUAUCCAAAUAGCCAUAACAAUGGCAUACUAACCCAUUUUCCAAAUUUCACCAUUUUUAAAAGUGUAAGCAAAACCAAGCCAAUUAAGAAAACAAUUGAGUGGGUUAUUAUGUGAAACCUAAUCAACGCUCCACAAAGCACACCAAAGUUGCUAAAUAAGCCAAGAUUUUUCACAAGCAAAGAAUAAUUGAUGUACCGUUUCAAGCUCACUUCUACACAAAAGGCAUGCGGCUGCAUUACUACUAAUAGCACCUCUCUUGGCAAGCAUUUCUCAAACUGCCAAGCAGCUUCUCACAAGCUGCCAGCAAAAACCUCUAUUUUGUAUAGAGCCAAUCCCAAUCAAAUCAUCUUCCAAUGAUUUGGAUGAGGGGUGAUAGUGAAUUAAACAUGCCAACAAAAAGAAUUAAAGGAGUAUUCACCUCGAGAGGUCCAUUUCUAGAUGAGUUUGUCUUAAAAGUCCUUAUUAGUCACCUGGUCAUCCAGCAAAAAGCAAAAGCAGUCCCAUUGUUCACAUUCCAAAUCAAAAACGUCUCUCCAAAGUUCAAUUUUCCAAGACUAGCUAUUCUCAUUCCAUUCCCCGAAUUCAUAAACUUUUCCUUCCUUCUUGUGCACAAGUGCAAAUACUCUAGGAAAAGUCGUUUUCAAGACGAGGCCUUCAAUCCAUUCCUCCCCCCAAAACUUGAUUUUAAUACCGACACCCAAAAAUAAGUGCAUGCCCUCGGAUACAAAACUACUAUGCUCACAAAUACCUUGAAGUGGUUUGACAAUAUUUUUCCACAUGACAGAGGCUUUAUUUCUACCACCAAGACUAGGAAUCAAGCUGUUAUGAUCUAACCCCAAUUUACCAUCGACGACUUGCCUCCAAAAGCUUUCAAGUUUGUUAUCGUAUCUCCAAAAUCAUUUGUUAAGAAGAGCUCUAUUUUUAAGCUUGAGCUCCACCAUCCUAAGGCCACCUAAGUCUUGAUAGUUGCACGCAUUUGCUCAGUUGACAUAACAAAGUAGCCCUUUUCUUGCUCUAGUUGUUCUUCGUGAAAUAGCGCUUCACUUAUUUUAGUUGUUUUGUAUGAAAUAGUGUUUCACUUGUAAUGGUUGUUCUCACUGUUCUUUGUACAAUAUUAUACUGUAAAAUAAUUCUUUAGAGAAUUGUAUUAACCAAAAUCAAGUAUUUACAAUAUUUAUAUGGAACAGCAAACUUUAGAGUUUUGGUUUUUAUUUUUUCUUUGAGCUAUGAUAAAAUGAUUAAAAUGAUGGGCAAAUUGCAUUAAGUUUAAUGCUGACAGUUCAUGAAUAAAGGAGGCAGCUUCAAGUAUGGAAAAAACCAAUCACCUUUAAAUAGCAUUACUAGAAAAUUCAAUCAUAACCUGCCUUUAAAGAAAAGAAACACUCUGCUUUUAUCAUGAACUACUUUAAAAUAACCAAAAAUGAAAAACGCCGAUGCCUCCGACCAUAAUGUCCUAAAGUAACAGGAAAUAAAUUCUAUAUUAGCUCUUAGGUCAUCCUUUGGGUAGCUUCCUUGGCAAGUACCUUCUCUUUGGCUUUGGUUCUCACUAGGGAUUUGGAACCCAUGAUACUGCCACCCCAUUUCUUCCUAUAUUCAUCAUACUUGUCAUUGACUUUAGAAUAUUGAUUGUAUUGGCUUAUUUAUUCUUCCUCUAAUUUUGUGAAUUUGCCUUUUGACUUUUUGGUUUGGGCCGAUCUGGAUUAUCUUCACUAGCCAAGCUGGUUUUCCUGUUAUGAAUACAUUGUAUCCCAUGCUCAAUGCGAACACAGGUCCACAUCCAUAACCCAUCAUUGCACAUUUCCAAGUAAGUGUUCUUCCAUAAUCAUCAUCUUCAUCAAAUAUUGAUGGAGGAAGUUUUGUUCCCUCACUUUCGCCGCAUUCCUUUGACAAUGGAAACACACAUAACCGUAAGUUACCAAUGUAGGAAUCAUUUGUGAAAGUAUCAAAUUGAUUUCCUCUAGGAACCGAUCCCAUGAGAUUGUUUUGAGAAAGAUUUAACAUUGUGACAAAUAUCAGAUUCCUUAAUUACAUAGGGAUGCUUCCUUCAAUCAUAUUUGAUGAGAGAUCUACUGGUUCGAGUGCUAACAAAUUCCCCAAUGAUGAUGGGAUUUGACCUGUUAGGCUGUUAAGAGAGAAGUUGAGGACCAAAAGAUCUUUAAGUUCUCCCACUACUUCAGGAACCUGUCCUUCUAAUUGAUUGCCUGAAAAAUCAAUAGUUGUGAAAAUAUCUAAUAUUUUCUCAAAAUUUAUCUCCAAUCCUUUGAUUCUUAAAAUCAUGGAAUCAUAAUAAUAGAACUCUCCAAUAUAAUUUGGACCAGUUGGCUCUUCAUGGAUAUUUUUCUUAGCCUUCAAAUUUCGAAAGAAUGUGGUUGGCAAGGGGCCAUUGAACUCAUUUUGAGAGAGAUUGGUGAUUCGCAAACUAGUAAAGAAAGAUGUGCCCCCUCAAAUUUGGUAUUGGACCAUGAAAUUUAUUAGAUCGCAGGACAAGGAUUUGCAGACUUGAAAGUACACCUAACAAAUGAGGAAAGGAGUCUUUCAAGUUGCUGUUGCCCAAAUCUAAAACUUCCAAUUCACUGCAAUUCACCAAAGAUUGUGGCAUGGAUCCUUCUAGUUGGUUGUCUUUGAGGUUAAGGCUUCUCGACAAAUUACCUUCAUCAGUACACAUCCUUGGGAUUUUGCCAUCGAAGUUAUUCAUUCAUAAAUUCAAACAGAGACGAAGUCAUAAUUUCCAAGACAUUUUGGAAUGAUUCCACUCAAGUUGUUCUUUGACAAGUUGAGGACUUGAGGGAAAGUUAUAUUGCAAAACCCUGAAGGGAUUUCUACUGUCAAUUCAUUUUCUGAAAUGAAGAGAUGAUGUAUUGUCUGUGGGGGAGUAGGAAGUGGUCCUUGAAGCGAAUUUGAACGAAGGUCAAUUGUCUGAAAAGUCUUCCUAGGAAAUUGCUCUUCAUUUGUCAACAAAUUGUUAAAUGCUGAUGAUGGCAAUAAACCAUGGAAAUUGUUAAAAGAAAAAUCCAACUUAAUUAGUUUCUUGAAAUUCCCAAAAACAUCUGGAAUUUGACCUUCAAAAUUGUUAAAUUUUAAAUGUAAGAAAGUGAUUUUGGUGAGGCUUCCAAGAGAUGAAGGGAUAGACCCUGUGAAAUCACAAAAAGAAAGGUCAAGUUCUUCCAUUUCAAGAUUUCCAAUUGAGUCUGGUAACUCCUCUGAGAAACUUGCUCCUGCAAGGGAGAUAACCAGUGAGAUUAGGAUUACGGGUUAAUAUGAUUUUUUCUAGAUAUGGAAAGCAGAAAAUUUCACUUCGAAAUUCCCCUUGCUGUAAACCUUUGACUUUAAUAUGAUCAAAUGUUUCCACAUUAAGAAAAGUUAUUAAAUCAACAUCUCAAUGGUGACAGAAGCACUAGAACAAGGUGUAAAAUAGUAGUUUGAGAAGAAAGGCAAAUCAGAGAAGGUUUUGGUGCAAGACGGACUAUAUAGAAUACUUGCCGGUUAUGAAUAAGAACAUUGUUCACAAGCUUAUUAGGCUUAGUUUGUAGGUAACAUUUAGUUUCCGGAGUACAUUAUACAAGCGAAAACAAAGAUUUGCACAAUGAACAUUAGUUUGCAGGCUUCAAACUUUUAUUUAGGAACUAAUUAAGUGAGGUGGUCUGGCCGUCUCCAAGGGCUGCAAUGCCACCAUAUUGCCACAAUGUAAGCAAUAAGAUUAGCCUGGAUUGUUAUAGUAACAUAUUUGGAUCCUCUUCAUUACGAACCAGCAAUUAUACAGCAAUUAUAGAAUCAAUGUGGUUUGCAACCCACCUCUUCACAGUCAAGAGUCCAUUCCAGGAGCUGUCGCUUAGAUUAUUUGCGGCAAUGAGUCAUUUGGAAAAUUUCCAUAACAAAACUCAUUGUUCUCAAGAAAAGAUACAUAGAAACCUCUAGGAGAAGGCCUAUAGACAUUUUGAGAUAUUUUGAAUGGCUUUUGAUUAUAAAUGUGCCAUGGACAAAAGAAGUAGGGAGUGAACAGAAAAGAAGCCAUGAUUAAUGGUGGCUAGCUAGCAGCUUUGCUGGUUUAAUCUGUAUUAAAGAAAAAUGUUGGAGUUAAAACUUAAAACCAAUGCUGAAAACUUUGUUAAAAAUUUAGCACAUAGCUAUCUCAGCAUUUCAGUUUUACCUUGAAAACAAAAAAUUAAAUAAUUAAUAAAAACUGGUUAGCAUAUGCAGGCCGAAAAAUUGACUUGUAAGCUAAUAGUAGUGUAAUAAAAGAAUGAUGAAAAUCCAAAACUAUUGUGCAUCUAAUUAAUUUCUUCCCUCAAAUUUUCUUUAAACGAUUUGAAAAAUAAACUUAAAAGGAAAAAUAUAGCUUCCUUAAUCAAUUUAGAUAACCUGAGUAGACAAAACAUGAAUUUCCUUAUUAUCUUUCUUAUAUAUCAGAAGUUUCUGUAGCAGAAACUAAGGUUUACUUUAACGUGUAGUUGUGAAGAUAAACAGAGAUCAAAUUAUUAUGAAUACAUUGUCUUAUUGUGCUCUAUUCCAAUUUCUGUGUAAUUAUUUGAAAUUUUCCAGAACUUUGAGAUAACUUAAAUCAGAAUCAACCAUCACUUGCUUAAUCAAAUCAUCACCUUAAUUUCUCACUAUUUAAACCCCAAUUUCAUGACCCUCCACCUACUUUUAUGUUUUGUAAUGUGUCGUGAGCAGGCCUAAGGCCCAAAGCCAUAUGGAGUCCUAUCAGAAGGUUCUUAUGUGACUUCAAGAAUAGAUAUUCCAUCUGUCCCAAAAAGGAUAGGCUAUAUAUUCCCUAACAAUUGUCAGCUGUCAAGGAAGGAUACCAACCGUACGACUAUCUCUUCUUUCUCCCUCAUAUCCUCUCCCUCUCUAUUCUGUCCUUCUCUUCCUCCUUUGGUGAGUUCUUACUCACUUAUAAAGCAUAAGAAAAGGAAUCACAAGAAAACCUCUGAUGUCCCAUUUUUGUGCAGGCCCAGACGCAUCAUCUCAACCCAGAUCAUCCCAGUCCAUGUCCAACAACAUCAUGCAUUUACAAAGACAAAUCGAAAGUAAUCUAUAAUAUUUAUUUAUUCAUAUUGGUUGUUUUAAGACUAUGCAUCACCAAUAUUACAUGGAUAAUCAUAUUAAAGUAUUAUAAUUGAUUAACAAUGUAACGAGUAGAACCUAAUUGUGUCGUUAGUGUAGAAUUCACUAAAAGCUUGAGCUAUUACAAGUUAACGAAAUACAUAAUUUAAAAAAAAAAAACCUAAUUUUUGGACACCUAUAAAAGUUAAGUUAUAUUUGUAAAGUUAAGUUCAGAAAUAUAAGCAAUAUAAACUAAAUCUUAUAUCUCUAUUAGUUUUUCUUUAGGAGAUUAUAUUUACAAAUAAAAAUUAUAAUUAAAUUAAAUAACUUUUGAUAUAUAUUAUAAUAUAAAAUACACUUUUAAAUAAACCAAAAGUCAUACACCCAUAAAAUAGAUCUAUAUAGUACAAUAAUAAAUUUAUUUGGACUGGAUUAUCAUAGCAUAACAUAAAACUAAAGACAAUUAUGAAAGUUCAAUAAAUUAAAGAUAACAUCUUAAAGCAACCGGCUUGCGAAGAAAAGAAAAUCAAGGCAGGUACUCACCUCCAAAAUAAAGAAAAAGGAAACAACCAAUUAUUGGGUAAAAUAAAAGCAUCUUGACAUUGAUACGUUGAACCUGCACUCAAACUUCAUUUUCUCGAUUUGGGAUUAAAAGGAAUCCAAUGGAAAUGUCAUCAACAUGAUGGUAUUUUCAUCAAGCCCUUUUGUUUGAAUCCUUCAAAAACUUGAUUUUGAUCUUCUUCAGCUUAGCAACAACGAUUUUCAUGUCAAUCCUCUCUUCUGGCAACUCUUCUGAACAUUCUAAAGCCAAUUGUAAAAUAGACAAUGCACAAUCCUUUAUGGCAAAAUGUUCUCGCUCCUUGCUACUGAUUAGCAAAUUGGCAUCUAUAACUUGAGUUAAUGCAAAUGGUAACGACUUAGUCAACCAAUGUUUUAAGCUCAUUUCUCCAACAAACAUUACAUCCGUGGGCUUCUUUCUUGUUAAGGUUUCAAUUAGAAGAAUACCAAAACUGUACACGUCGCUUUUUAUGGAAACAAUUCCUUGUGUUCCGUAUUCUACAUGUAAGUCAAUAAAACCAUCGUCAAAGUAUGCAAUGAUUUUACAUGAAUUAUCGUAAUAGAUAAAGAAAAAGUCUAAAGUUUAAGCAUUACCUGGUGCCAUAUACCCAAUCGUUGCUAGUGUUAGGGUUUGUACCGUUGAAUCCUCUUCACCUAACAGCUUUGCAAUGCCAAAAUCACCUAAAUGUGCAACCAUAUCUUCAUCUAAUAAAACAUUGCUUGGUUUUAAAUCACAAUGGGCCAUAGGGAUGGUCUGACCAUGAUGGAGGUAUUCUAAUGCAGAUGCCACAUCAAUCAUAAUGUUCAACCUAUGCAAGAUAUCAAGAAAAUAGUUAUGAGAAUACAACCACUUCUCGAGGCUUCCACUAGGCAUGAAUUCAAGCACCAAGGCUUUAAAAUCAACAUUGCAGCAACU
RNAcentral lists this long non-coding RNA (142911 nucleotides) under Theobroma cacao (cacao). RNAcentral describes it as "long non-coding RNA (TCAC_LNC004284)". The record is from RNAcentral. Lineage: Eukaryota; Viridiplantae; Streptophyta; Magnoliopsida; Malvales; Malvaceae.